CCAAUUAGUGUGAAAUCUCUCUCAAAUCACUUCCUCCCAUUCGCGAAGAACCCUAAGUAUCUGAACCAAGAUCCUCCAAAAAUCUCUCAAAUCCUAUCAUCCUGAAAUCCAUUUCUACAAAAUCUCACAUGAAGUCUCUGUAUUCUGAAAAUCCAUUCAAUUCAUUCGGGUAAUUUUUAUCAUGCACCGUGGUAUCCCAAAUCACGUCGUCUAAUUUUUGUGAGCUUCAAAUUCAUCUACCUCAAGAUAGAAAGGUAAUUUUUGUUUAUGUUUGUUGUAAAAUUGUUCCCAUGAUAUGGUAGGACACGAAUUGAUGAUUUUUGAAUGGAAAAUUGGUUUUGUUUAUAACUCAUUUUAUUUUUGGUUUGCAUCUUCGUCUUUCCGAUAAUGGUCAAGAACACUACUUUCUAGUCGUUAAUGGAGGAAAAACAUGUUUAUACCAUUCCUCUCCAUAAUCCAAUUAACACUCAUUUUGGGUAUUCUGCCAAUGUGAAUGUUGGGUAUUUUUUGUUUGGCUCUAAUAAAGAUAGCUCAUUGUUGAAUCCGGUGACUGGAAAAAAGGCCCUGUUGAUGAAACUACUUUGACCGUUGAAGGAUUUGAAUCCUGAUGGAGCUACUUUGCUUGUUGAUGAAAUGAAUAACACUAAAUUAAAAUUUGGAAGUAGGUGUGUUUUAGGUACUGAAUUUCAGAAAAAGCCUCCUAUUUAAACUCUCGAAUGAGAUGAAGGGAUUAAAGAUUGUUAAUUUUGCAGUGUUGCUGAGAAGAGUAAAAAAUUUGGCAGCAAUUCAUCUGUCUGUCACUGCCAAUAACAUAUUCAUGUUUGCAAUCAAUGGAAGGGGGGUAUCCGUUGCCUUUGUCCACCAUUUAUGGUAAUAGGAACUGGGACUGGUUGUGCUUGGAAACAGCUACAAUUUGCUUCAUUAAAAAUACUGGUAAUUUGUUCUAUUUUACUGUAUUAUUUUUUAUUGCAUUCCCAGUUCUAUCAUUAUUUGUUUAUUUAAUUAAUGUUUAAUGACACAUCUUUAUGCUUUUUGUCCUUCAUUUAUCUCAGUUAAGUAUGUUUAUAGAAUUAUUAGUAUGUUUAUAGAUAGUGUGUAGAAUAAUUUAAUUUAUAAUUUGUAAUUAGUUAAAAUUGUAUGUUUUAUUCGAAAGAAUCAUUCUAUUAACUUUUAGGGUCAGUUUGAUUGUAAAGAUGAAAUUUGGAUAGAAAGAAAAUGAAUUUCAGGAAAUUGAAUUGUCUAAAAAUUAUUUUACUGAGAAUUAUCAAUUAUUGUGUUUGAUUGAUAUAAUUUUUUAUGUGAAAAAUGUUAAAAUAAAAGUAUUUUUUGAUGUUCGUUUGACUUUAUUUUACAUAAAAAUUGUCAAUUAAAGGGAUAAAAUUUACUGGUAUUGGGGAUAGAAUUUGUUCCUCUUGCCCAAAGAAAAAAAAAAAGGAGCCAAAAAAAUCAUCUAUCUUUUGGUGUUCAUUUGACUUUGUUUUAUAUGGAAAUUAUCAAUUAAAGAAAAAUAUUUUUUUACAAUUAAUGAUAGAAUUUGUUUUCAAUGCCAAAAAAAUAAAAAAUAAAAAUUGGCAACUUACCUAGAAAACCAAUUCCCACCAUUCCUUGAAAACUAAGAAAAGUCCACUUUUCAAAAAAACCAAGCAAAUGAAUUACAUGGAAAAUAUUUGCUAUCAAACACUAUCAAAAGGUGGAAAAUAGACAAAAUUUUCCAUUUUCCAUGGAAAAGAUGCCCAAUCAAACAGGGCCUUAAUAUAUUUUUCCAACAGAAAUUGUGUAGUUUUAGUUCGAAAAUUUUUAAUAUAGUUUCAGUAUAUUAUUUUCAUAUUACCAAUAGAAUUUUAUCAUUAAAAUUUCUUAAUUUAUUUUUUAGGAUUUUGUUUUUUUUAUAAAUUAAAAAUUUAAAAUAAUCUUUAAUUAAUAGGUAGGAUUGAUUGAAAUUAAAAGUAUGUGAAUUUUUAUUUUUAUUUUUGUUCUUUUUUACAACAAGCAAUAAAUAUAGCAAAUCCUUGUUGCAAAACACACUUUCUCGCAACAUUUAAUGAUUGUUGCAAAAUGUUGUAUCGUAAGAAUUUCAACAAUAUGUACUGAGCAUUGCUAUAGAACAAAAUUUUAAACAGUUCAAUGAACAUUGCAAAAAAAAAAAAAAAAGGAAGAUUAAAACUUUUGCAACAUAAUAAAAAAAAAUUAAAACUUUUGCAACACUCAAAGAACGUUACAAAAAGCUAUAUAUCAAGAGUUUCAAAAACGUUUAUUGAACGUUACUAUAGAACUUUAUUUUUACAACAUUCAUUAAACAUUGCGAAAAAUAAAACUUCUUACAACAUUCAAGAAACGUUGAAAAUGGUAAUAUUGACAACAUGCAAUUAAAAAAAAUAUAUUGCCAAUGCUUAAUUAAAUUAAUCAAUAGCAACAUUUUUCACUUUUUAAAAUGUUGCAAUAAACCAUUUAGCAGCAUACAAUUCACGAAUAUUGCCUUUUGAAUAUUGCAAAAGCUAUUUUAAUUGUAGUGAAAAUUCGUCAUAUGUAUAUAAAAAUUCAUAUGUCAUUAAAUUAAUUUCAGUACACGUGAUAAAUGAUCAUACCUAAAAAAAUUAUUACCUUCACUAAACUUUGAAAAAUUAAGCUUUCGGACCGAUAACGUAUUAUGAAAAGAGAUAGAAAAAGCAGGGAAAAUAAAAGUCAAUAGACUUGUAUGUAUUAUAAUAAGAACUAGAGCCAUGUAUUCAUAAAGAAGGAUUAUGGAUACAAUGAUAAUAAUUUCUAAAUUUAUAGGGGUACAAUUGUCAUUCACAAAUAAAACUUACCAUUUACAACAAAAUGGUCUUUUUUUUUUUUCUUCAAUUUGCUCCUAAAAAGUUUAUUGAUAGCAACAAGAUAAGUCGGACGUUCUCUUUUUUGAAUUUUAAGAGGCGCGUAGGACAUUUUGAUCUUCAUUUUUCGUCCCAUUCAUUUAUGUAUUUACUUAUUUAUAUAUUAUUAUGCGUUUAAAUUUAAAUUUUAUUCAAAAAAAAUUUUAAAAAAAAUAUUAUGAAUCAUGGAUGGGUUUGUGAUAGCGAUCAUGUUUCCUAACCAAAUGCCUAAUAAGGAUUAUAGAAUUCCCGACCUUCAAUCCACGUGGCGCGUUCCGUCCCACAUUGUCCUUCCUUGAAUAGUAAACGAGGCGGGAUGCAAAACCUAUAGUCCCUAGUUUCGAAUUUUUAGUACUAGCUCUGAAUCAUUUUUCAUUAUUAUAUUUCAUUUUAUUGUUAUGUUCUUCAUUUAAAUCAUAUUUAAGAAAAUUUAAUUAAAUAAAUAAAAUGAUGAAUGAUGUUUUUUAUGUCUCAACCUACCCUACAUUCUGAAAAAUCAGAACGAAACAAGAAUGAUAUGAUGGUUACUAUCCAUUGUCAUCCUUAAAUUCAAAUUUCUUGUUGGGCGAAGUAACUUGGGGCCAGAGGCAGUCCUGAGGGCGCACGAGUUGAGCGAUCGCACAGGGCCUCAAAUUUGUAAGGGCAUCAAAAAAAUUUUUGUUAUAAUUGUAUAUUUAUUUAUAAUUAAAUAUUUAAAAUAUAAAAUUUUUAUUAUUAUGCAAAAGAUAUUAAAAUUAAGAAUAAUGUGACUAACUAGUUAUAAUUUUCUUGAAUAUAAUAUUCUUAAAUAGCGUUCCUACCUUAAAUAAUGUGAGGAAAAAGUAAAAAGUCAAAAAGAGAUUAGCCCGACUAGAGAACUGAGAGAAGAGAGAAAAAUUGAGCAACUACAUUUUCCAAAUCGUCUUUUUGGAGAGAAGAAUUAAAGAAAACAACAAUCUUUUCCAAUUGCCCCAAAGAUAAUUGAGGUAGAGAAAAUAGAAACCAACCGUUUUUUUAUUUGUUUAUUUUUUUUUUUGAAGAAAUCAUCUUUUUUUCCAAUCAUCUUUAAUCUGGCUCCAAAAGAUUCUCUUUUUUCUUUAAGCAACGACUGACGAUUCAUAUUUUUCACUGAACUCUCACUGAAAAUUUGAAUUACAUGUUAUCUUUUCUUUAUUAUCUUUUCGUUAAUCUUAUUCUAUGAUUUUACUGAUUUGAAUUCUUUUUGCAAGAACUUGUUAAAAUUUGAAUUCAGGAUUGAGGAUUGAGAAAGCACGACAUAAUUUUCCUCCGGAGAAGUUGAACACUUACAAGUAAGUUUUUGUUUCCUUAACAUAUUUUUCUUCAAUAAUUUCUUUGAAUAUUCAAGAAAAUAUAAAUUCGUUUUUAAUAUUUUUUUCUCAACGUUCUGAAGAUGGAUUCAUCGUUUAUAAUUUAUAAUUACUAAUUUAAUAAGUGAAAUCAAUUAACUGUGAAGAGAUUUACUGUUAAGUGAAAUCAAUUAAUUGUGAAAAUGGGUUCACUGUUCAUAAUUUAUAAUUACUAAUUUGAUAAGUGAAAUCUACUAAUGAAAUUGAUUCAUUGAAUUUUUACUACCCUCUAACUCUCUUUUCAUUAAUUUGUGAUACACGGGUUUUCGAAGAAUCAAGAUUGAUUUAAUUCCUGUUACUGUUGUAUCUGCUGAAAGAAAAUUUUCAAAAUUGAAGUUAUUAAAAUCUUAUUUAUGAUCAACCAUUUUACAAGAACGAUUGAAUGGAUUCGUUUUGAUAUCUAUUGAGCAAGACUUUCUAAAAAAUAUUGAUUACGAAAGUUUAAUUAGUGAAGUUGCUUUUAAAAAUGCGAGAAAAAAUAUUUUUACAUACUUUGUAUCAUUUCAAGCUUUACACUUGACUUGAUUUAUAUAUUUGUUUCAAGGUUUGCUUAUAUGGAAUUGCACGAAGAGGUUAGUGGUUUGGAUGGUUCUUUGUUGAUGACACAUGAAUUUUGAUGAAGUUCGAGAGAUACUUUUGAGUUUUAUUUAUGUUUUUCUUGUUUGUGUAUGUUAAAAAAAAAAUAUUCAAAUAUCAUAUUUUUGCAAUGAAAUAAUAUUAUUGAAAUAUUUUUCUUUACUAUAUGUUUUAAUCACUUGAAGGGGGUACCAUUUUAAAAUUUCGCACAGGACAUCCAAAAUCUUAGGGCUAGCUCUGCUUGAGGCUGGCGUUUUGUUAAAGAUUUCCUCUUAUAAUUUUGUAGAAAAUAAAAAGCAAUGAAAAAUAAAUCCACUUGAAAAUAGGGUCAUCUCUAAAAGAUAAAUGUAUUAUCCAUUGAUUCCCAUUUUUCAGUUGAAACCCAUCUCCGUAGCAAGGCUAUGAUCCAAUCCAACCUUAAAAUUUCUCAAAUUAUCUUUAAAAAAAAAAAAAAAAAAUUUCACCACAUUUUUAACUCUACAAAUAAAGUGGAGUGUUGCCUAAAUAUCCAUUACAACAGCUAUGUAGAGGCAACCCUGAUGGUUCACAGAUGGUGCAACCGCACAAGGCCUCUACAUUACAGGGACACCAAUUUUUUUUUUUUUUAUUUGUGUAUUAUAAUUUUAAAAUUUAAUUUUUUUUUAUUAAAGGGACCAUGUUUUAAAAAUAUCACAUAGUACACCCAAAAUAUUAAGGUCAACGCUACAUCUAAGUACCACUGUGCAACUUCUCCAUUUCCUAGGUAUCAAAAAAUCUUCACCUCUACAACCACGUACUAUGUUAAUUGCUGAAGAUUAUAUUUACAGUCUGUUUGAGCCACAUUAUUUCAAAAAAAUACAUUUUUAAAUAAUAAUUUGACAUUAUUUCAAUCACACAUUCUUCAAUAAAAUAAUAAUACACAUAAAUAAAAAAAUUCCUUAUUUUUUAACCACACAUUUCCCAUCAAUACAUUAUUCAAGAAUGCAUUAUUACCAAAAUAAUGUUGCUCAAACACCCCCUCAGUAGCAAACAUGAUAGAAUAAAAUUCUGUGACAUACUUAGAUGAAAAUUAAUUCAAUACAGUCUGGCGUUCAAGUCAGACGAUAAAGUAUAUUGGGUGUGGAAGAGAUACAAUAGAUAAAGAUAUAGAUACGGUUUACCAAAACUUUCCUUCGAAGGAAAGGGCAGAGUAUUUAUAGGUGGAAGAAGCUCUAUCUGAAUGCUUAACACGUGACUUUAUUUUAAUACCUCAUUUCUCAUGCUUAAUUAUGUCAAUUUAUAGCCAUCAUAGGUAUGGCUUUCCAUAGUCAGAGUAUAAGCUAAAAACUAAGUAUCGUUGUUGCGGAGUUGUUACAUCAAAUAUUUUGUACGGUGUACUUUGGGCAACUUUGUCAAAGCAAGGCUUGUAGUAGAUGUUCAUCACCCUAGAUAUAUACUGCAGUGGAGAGGUGAUGCAUCGCCUCGAAUAACAAUAACAUUUUAAACAAUGCAUCUAAAAGUAUCCCAUGAUCGUAUCAAAAAAGGCAUGAAGAGGAGACGAUGGGAAUUUGAGUGUUUCCCUUGUAUAGCCUCUUCUUAUUUGGCUGUCAUGUGGCCCACAUUGUAGAAAAAUAUGUAACAAUAUCACUUUUAACAAAAUCUAUUCUCAAACAAUGGAGCUUAAAUAGGGUUACCAGUUUUAUGUUACUGAAAUUUUUUUCAAAAGCUCUGUUGAAAAUUAAUUUUUUUUUCUUUUUAUUAUUUUUUUAUUUUUAGGAGAGUUAGGGGCUAGAGAAUAAAUGUAUGUAAAACAAAGUUGUCAGAAUCAAAUGCUAAGAGAGCAAAUCUCUUUGCAAGAAAGAAGGAAAGGAUAAGGCUGCCAAAAUUAUGAUGAUGAUAGAAAUGGAAGCAAGAAUAUUCAUAAUAUAAGUGAAUUUCUUGGUCGUCCAUGCCGGAUUGAAGCUAUCUUGAACACACGACCUUACCUUUGUGAAGUUAUCAAUCCCUCAAUUCUAUUGUUUACUGGUGCAAAUUCAAUUUUUCCCGUGUUAGAAAUUUUCCUUUUUGUUAAAGUUGAAUAACAUCGUCUAAUAACAUUAGCUUAUAGGGAUAGGACAAAUUUAUUUACGGAAUUUCUGAAGAUCCUUGAGCAACUUGGAUUCAUUUUUCAAUUUAUGAGAUGUGCAUAAUUUUGCUCAUCAAACCACAUCAUCUAAAAGUUUAAGCUAGCAAUUAGGACACAAAUUUAUUUAUUUAUUUAAAUCUUCUUCGACAUUUUGGACAUGAAAUGUGAUUCCUACAACAAAUGUGCACACCUCCAAUUUAUUAAAUGAUAGACUACGAAACUGUAUUUUGAGUGGUAAUUGGUAUGCAAGAGUGGUUAACUAAUGGAUUUGUAAUUUCGACAUCUAAGUUCUGCAAGGCCAAUACAAACCGAUAGAUAGAACAUUUAUUUUUGUCUGCAUUAAGCAUCACAGGCUCAAUUACCGAGAAUUGCAUCCACUUUACACCUGUUACAAUGUGGAAGCGGAAUUGUCCAGAAAUUAAAUAAAAAAAAUUUUAAUUAAAUAAACAAGAUCGUUUAUGUGACAUCUCUAAAAUAUUUUUAGGGAAAAAAAUUAUUAUCUAUUCUAUAUAUUAUAUUUGAUUAUUUUGAAAAUGACGGACUUGGAUGAAGUAUAUUUUAAAUUAUUAUAUUCUUGAGGCAAAUAAUUGGAUUUUGAUAGAGUGAUGAUAAGUCUAUCAAUAUUACACUCGUUGGAGAGCCCGUAUCUAAUUAUGUAUUUUAGGCUCGAGAAAAAGUUAAUUCUAAUAAGUUUGGCUCAAGAUAUUGAAGUUUGUAGAAGUUGUUAUUUAAUUGGAAUUAGAAUUUACCAACUUUUAAAAGGGGUAGCCACGUGUGCUCUUCUAUAGAGAUAAGGUGGUGGAUAUGAGAUUGUAGUUAAUUGUUAUUUUAUCACAUUUUGAUGAUGAUUAAUGUAAAUUGAUAAUUAUAAUCCUAUUUUGAGAUAAUUCAACUUCGGAUAUUGUUACUAAAUUAAAUUAAAAUAUUAGUCCUUACGUUUAUUUUACCUGCACUACAUGAGUGGAUAAGGUGAUUGGGAUAUUUCUAAUUAAGCAAAAUCCAAAUUAAAACUAAUCUAGAACUUAUCAUAUGAAUUAGAUAAAUUUUCCAUCUCCUGCUUGGCCAUGCGUUUAAAGAUUUAUUGGUUUUAAAAAUUAUUUUCACCAAGUAGAGAUUUUACAGAGAUGAGAUAAAAUUUUAUGAAGUCAUUUUUAUCCUAUAUUUUGAUAAAGGAUAAAGGUUUAAAUGUAAUCUUAUAUGUGAGAUAUUCAAGUACUAUCAUACAUGUGUCAUAUCAUGGUUUGGGUUAUCAAAAUUUAAAGUUUAUCUAAGUGGUACACGUUUUCCCCACCGUCAAAAUUGUACCAUGACUCAACUACCAUUUUUUUAUUAUAAAUAAUGUGCAUUUGUACUUUGAUUUUCCACCAAGAAAUUUUUACAUAUCAGACAAUAGAGAGAGAGAGAGAGAGAGAGAGAGAGAGAGAGAAUAAUUUUGAAGAUUCAGUCACCAAAAUUUUGACGCAGUCGAGAAAGUAGAAUAUGGGGGUGUUUGAUAGAUAUUUUUAUGUAAAAAUACAUUUUAGAAUAGCAAAUUGAUGUGAAAUGUGUGGUUGAAAAAUGAAGAAAAGUUUUUGAUUUACGUAUAAUAUUAUUUUAAUAAAGAAUGUGUGGUUGAAAAGAAGAGAGAGAAAAAUACUUUUUGAAUAAAAUAUGAAUGAAUUACCUGCAGACAUUCAUUUUUUUAAAAGAAAUAUGAAAUCCUACAGGAUUAUAAGAAGGCCUAAGAUGGGUGUCACUUGGUCACGGAAUUACUCCAUAAGAUCAAAGUGGUAUGAAAUGCAUAAUUUUUAUUGUUAUAUAUUUGUAUAUGAAAAUUGCACGUAUCUUAUUGGGUGUUUUUGAAUACUCACUCUUACAAAUUUUUAAAGGUUAGUUCGGGUUGAUUGAAGUUGUGACGAAUUGGUGACGCGGACAGCCAAGUGAAUCGAAGAAAGGAAAAAGAAAUUAAAUAUUUAGUUUGCUUUUUUUUUUCUGUAAUUCUAAAUUAUUUGCUAGUUUUAUUUGCUCAAAGACUCUUUUGGUUAUUUUAAAUUGAUAUUUAUGGUUGAAAAUAAAGAAUUUCCUUUUAUUUAAAUCGUUCCACAAUUAUUAUAAAAGAAAACAGCGUUUUUCUUAACAUCCUGGCGUUUUUGGAAAUUUAGGACGUUGCAGUUUAGAUGUUCACGUAUAUGUUAAAUCAAGGAUAAAGAAUUUGAAUUUUUACCUAAAUUGAUGAUUAAUUAUUUAAUUAAUUCAAAUCACGAACUUCCACCUUUUUGGAUCAUAGACUUCUAGCUUUUAAUUACAAGAACUUGAUACAUCAAAUCUCCAAGUCUUCUACUGUAUUCUCCAAAAUCAAAACUACACCAAUGAGUGGGCGUUUUUUUUUUUUAAUUAUAUCAAGAAACUAAUUUUUAAACUGACAAUUGAAUAAAAGCAAGAAAAAUAAUAUUCUCUCUUUUUUCCUCUCUUCAAUUUGAACACUGUGGAUUUAUGUAAUAUGAUUAGAAAUUCUAGGUUCUAUAUAAUCUCUAAUUAUAGAGACAGAAUAGUUCUAAUUCUUGUACAAUAAUAAUUUCACAUUCAAAUAAGAGUUCUAAUUAAAAUCUAAGUAGGAGUUUUACCUAAAGUCCAAAUUCAAUUAGUACACAUUUAAUUACAUGUGUAGUCCUAAAACUUUAUAAUUAAGUUUACAAAUUUCAUAAUAAUUAUAACUAAGUACAAAAUUUUAUUGUAAUUAUAGUUAAUCUCAAAAUUAUUAUAAUUACUAUAAUUCAAUUCCAAUAAUUUAUGGAGCUGACAUAGGGACCUGAUAUAACAUAUAUUAUCCAAACUUCAAUAAUUAGAUCUGUCUAGUAGACUUUAGACCACCCAAUCUAAUUAUUAGUCUUUACUUUUUCACCAAAGACACAGAAACCAAUAAAUUUGUAAUGAUUUCCUCUAACAUGUUGUAUAUGUAUUUUAUCCUCGUCCGAGAUUUAAUAAUUAGGUAUGAGCAUAAAUGACCGUUUUGCCCUUUUAUUUAUUAUCACUAGCUUAAGUAUCAUUUUCUUCAACGAUUAUGUAAACUAAUCACAGAUGUCGAAGUUUAACUGUCGCUAAACACUUAGCUCAAAUUUUAACCAUUCAACAAUAAAUACUUAAGUAAUCACUCUACCCAUUUUUCAAUGUGACGAUUCUCGACACGAAUUCUCUACCUUGCUUAUUUUCGAAUUCUUAGCUCAUCAAGACAUUUAACCAAUCAAAUUAAUAUCACCCAUUGAUGAUCAAAGAACCACUAAAAUCACGAAAAUAUAUACAUAACACUAUUAAGGGAUUUAUAUGAAAUACACAGCGAUCAAGUGAAACUUAAUUCUUCGCACGGUCAUGCUAUAGGAAUUAAAUUUGACACGUGAUCCGUUCAAUAGACUCCAAGUGUACUAGUGCCACCUUUAACUAUUUUUGUAAUAAGGACAAAUCACAAACGUGAAUAGUGAAUCGGUCAAUAUUACAACCUUCCAGUACAAGGUGUCAACCCUUAUACAUUGAUAAUGAACAAAUUAUUUAUGAUCAAAAUAUAAGUUGUGUCACCCUAUAUUUCUCAACGCAAGUAUCCAAUUUAUAUUAUCACAAGUGAUUAUAGGCACUUUAAUUCACAUGCUUAAUAAUAAAUAAAUGCAAUAAAUAAAAUAAACACAUUUUUAUUUAAUAUAACAAUAUUGUUAUUUUUACAUCAGCAAAACUAUACUUGAUAUAUUUGAUAGGUUGAUAGGAUCCAAACCUUAGCAUGCCAUUUAGAAAUCCAUUCGUUAAUAGGAUUCAAUUAAGUUACCGUUGCCAAUUAUGAGUUGAUGCAUGGUCAAAUGACAGCCUCUGUAGCUUCACACACUUGAUAUAUUUGAUAACUUGUUAAACUAUUAAUAUGGGUUGCAGUGAGGGUUCCGAAGUAGUAGAAUGGUAGAAUGACCACUUUUCAGGUAUUAUCGGCAUUAAUAUUUUUCUUAAUUUCGAUGAAUUUAAAUGAAUUAAGGAGAAUCUGCAAUGAUUUCAAUGAUGUUUGAAAAGUCUAUAUCAUCAUGGACGGUUAACAUCUGGGAGAUUCAAGUAUAAAAGUUUUGCAUAAUUUCAUUGAAUAUGCCUCUAGCUUUCAUACCUAGAAUAUUAUGCUUGAAUGCUUAAAAGAUUUAUCCAACUUUAGGGUUUCAUUGUAUUGUAUAAAGUAGCCACUUAAAUACUUCUCUCUUGUACUCAUAUUUGAUAUAGUAAAAAUUAUUUUCUUACAUUUUUGUGAAUUACAAGUACUUGAGAGUGCAAAUGAAGUAAACCCAAUUUUACUUGUGGGUCAUUUGGCAUUCACAUAUUAUAACUAUUUUACUUGUGGACUAAAUUACGUAUAUUGAACUAGAGAAAAAGUCGAUUUGAAUAUACGGAGACCAAUAUCAUUCUAUCCUAAGAUAUCAGGACUUACUAUUAAUUAUUAAGAUAUUUUUCCCAAAAUCAAUAUUGCUAGAUUGAGUUUUAACUAUAUAGGGAUUUAAUUCCCAAAAUAAAUUACACACAUCUACAUUGAAUUCCCAAAAUAAAUUACAUUGAACAAGUAAUCACACUCCAAUAAUUUCCUGAAACCAUCAGUCUUCAUAAUUUCCUGAAACUAACUCAAAUCUCCACGCAUUAAAGAUUGAGUCAAUAUGUUAAAUAUUGUAAAUAAAUAUGAUUAAAUAAUUAAAAUUAAACAUAUCUGAUUUGUUUACCAUACAACGUAAAUGGAUAUAAAGACUUCAAAGGGGUAUAACAUAUUCAAAGUCUCCAACUAAACCUAGUCCUCGUAUCCUCAACUUAUCAAAAAGUCAAUACCUUUAAGGUAUGUGCUAAAGAAAGGCACGAGCGUUGACAACCCCACCAUCUAUACAUUUGACACUUGCCUUGAUGAUUAAGAAAAUGCCUGAUCAUCAUUUACUAAAACUCAUAAAAAUGUUUAUAUCAUCUGCCAAACUCAAUUAUUUCAAAAUUUAUUUUCAAUCAUGUAUUUCAUGGAAUUUACAACUUUUACCAAUUUUCCCUUCAAAUCUUACCAAAGCUAAUUAGGCAACGGCUUAAGGCCUUAGAUAUUUGAGGGACCUCAAAAAUAAACCAUUUGUUCUCUGGUUCUUGCAGACAGUGGGAACAUAUCUUGUUAUUGCAAAUUAUCGCAUGACAGGAAUGACCUUUAUGAUUUGCUAAAGAAAUGAAGGUACUUUCCUGGGUUCUUCAUUUUGCUUUAUUUCCACUCGUCAUUCAUUUACCAAUACGGGUUGACUCCCUUUCCUAGAAAAUAUGCUCAUGCCAAUUUCCUAAAUUUGUGGAUUUAAUUGAAACUCAAAAAAGUUUAACCAUAUUUUCUUACCUUCGUUUCAGUCGAUGAUAAUCUUUGUCAAAUUUUUAAUUUGUGGAAUCACAUACACAUUGAAAGAACAUUUAGUCCAACCUAUCCUUUCCAUCCAAUCUCAUCUUUUUAUUGACAUACUUUAUGUGUUGGUUGGACAAUAAAAGAAAAUAUUAGAUAGCGUUAAAGAAUAAACAACCAUCACAAAUUCACGACAUAUUUAUAGAAUACUGCCAAAGAAAUCCAUUUUAAGGAACUUUUAAUCACUUCCAAACAAGCUCUUAGCUCUAAACAUUUUUCAUGAGCUCGAUUUAUAAUACUAAUUAAACAAUAAAAAGAUAUUAAAACUUUUUCCAUAGUAAUCAACAUUUUUGUCCAGCACUAAGCAUGGCUCCUAAAUAUGAUAUGACAGUAAACAUGUGGGCCUUUCCUGUUUUAAUAGGAAUCCUCAUCUUUGAGAAUUAUGUUAGUUGUUAUUAUGUCCUCUGAGCAUGUUUCCUCAAGAAUCAAUAGAAAAUAGCUAUUUAUUUUUAUUUUAUUUUUUCAUUUUACUCAAACUCGUGUAUUUCAUGUUGAACUGCCUCGUAUAGAAAUUACAGGAGAUUAAGUUAUGAGAAAAAAGUUAUGUUUAAGGGCCUCGUAUUUACUAAUACAUUGUUCUUCAAGGAUCAAUAGGUGAAAAUAUCAUACCUGAGGGCCUCAUCAUAAUUAUUUGCUAGCCCCGAGAAACCGACCCCAAUAGUCCCUUUUCUAGGAACCACCUUGGUGAGCCUUUCUUCGUCAACGAAUUUAGCUCACAGAUUCGCCUCACUUUCUCCACCAACAAGCCUAGUUUGCAGCUCUGCCUCACCGAGUGACUCCAACAAGAUACAUCAAGGUUAACAAAAUGUAGCUCACAUGUAGCAUCCAUGUUGGAUGAGGUUCAAUCAUUUUGAGCCACUUUCAACGAGCCUGGAAGGUUGUUACUACGUAGAUGAAUAUGUGGAUCGCUAGAUUCUGACAUUUGCUCAGCAGAUUAGCACUUUGAGGACGACAGGAUUCAAACAACCCAGUUUGACACAGAACAACUUAUUAAGCAACAGGAAAUCUCUUUCAAUGUGGAUGAGGAAUUUUAUUCAGCAACAUAGGUGGUGUGCUCUAAACUGACUGCAAGGAGCCAAUACUCAUCCAACAAUCUUGAAACCAAUACUAAUCUCGGCAAGUUUAAUAAAUAUUUUGGGUUUCCUUUGGAGUCCCAUGUCCACUCCGUUGUGGCGCAACUCUGGUGCCUAUCCCGCACCAAGAGUGCCUCAACAGCUGAAGCUGGAGGUGAGGGUCCGCUAGAGCUGCCUCCACAACAGUUGCUGGAGGCUGGAGGUUGCGGUGUACCCAGAAACCUCAAAAGUCAUAGUUGGAGGUUGAAUUUUGGUUUAGAUAUUUUAUCGAUCGCCUGAUGGACGAAGUAGCGCUGAGAUUUUAUGAGAACAAAUAAAGGCUUCCUCUAAUCCCAUGCUCAACACAAUAUCCCAAUUAUGCCCGUUUUAGAAUAUCCGCGUCCUACGUAGGUUCGGAGCCGUCGGAAGCGACUACCACUGCGCCUGCCUCGACGGCAUUCAACGGAGGCUACGGAAGCCACGGCGGCGGUGGGAGCACCGGGGCUAGAUCUUGGCCCAGUGUUCAGUCUAACACGAAGAGUUGUAAUUGGUCCGGCGAGAUCAAGGAGGAUCGAGAUCGAGUGGCAUGUAGGUCGCAACGCCGGUGCUACGGGAGCCUCUGUGUCGGUGGGAGCACCAGGGCUAGAUCAUGGCCCAGUGUUCAACACCGAGACCAAGGGGGAUCGAGAUGGAGAGGCAUGUUGGUCCGUCGUAGCCGGACUGUUUUAACGACUAUGGAAGCGGUUCUCAUCAGUAGGAUUUUAGCGAAAAUUAUGGAGUUUUGACCGUUACUCACCAAAAUUUAUAGCAUUGCAGCUGCAAUUAUUGACCAAAUUUUUAUAUACCAUUUUGACAUUUAAUUUAUUCCAUUUGACUGAAGGGCAUUUGUGGUAAUUUAACAAAUAUUGAAUCAUAAAAUUGGGCCGAAAGAGGUGAUCGACGUUUCCAAACAACUCAAAUUUUCCUAAAAAUCUUGUCAGAAUAGCUUCCAAAUAAACGGUCAAUUAAUUAUUGACGCAUAUUAAUUUAAUGGAUUAGUAGUCAAGUUAAUGAUGAAAAUUUUGAGAUAACAUGUUAAUUAUUGAUGACAUAUUAAAAAUUAAUUAAAAGGACAGCAAAAUUGGAUAGCAAAUUUCGACUCUAUUUUUCAAAAAGGGCAGCAAACUUUAUUAUUAUCUCACUUUAAUAAAUGGGGACAAUAAAAUGAAUUAUCAAAAACUAAAUAAAAAGGGGUACGUGAACGGGCCAACACCCUAUCCUGCCUUGCCUUUCAUUAUUAUUUUGCAAAUGAAUCCUAGUAAAUUAUUAAAAUGAUAUUUAGCACAAAACAUCCCUAACUUUCAUUAUUAUUAUGCAAAAUGUCCGUAUCUUUUAUUUUUUAACAUUUUCACCAUUAUUUUUAUAUUUCAUUGCCAAAUCGUUAUUUUCAUCAAUUUUCUCAAUUGAAAGCUGUAAAAUAACAAAAAUACGCUCCUAUUUAAAUAAACAAAAAUAAAGAAAUGAAAAAUAAAGAACAAAUUGUAGCUAUUCUCCCAAAAUUUUCAAAAUAAUUUUCAAAUAAAUAAUUAAAAAACAAAAAUCACUUUUUUAAUUAUUUAUUUGAAAUUGAUUUGUAUUUUUUUUGAAAAUUUUGGAAAUAUAAUUGCAAUUUGUUCUUUAUCUUUCUUUAUUUUUAUUUUUAUUUGGCUUAUUUAAAGAAAAGUGUAUAUUUGUUAUUUUAUAGCUUUUAAUUGAGAAAAUAGAUGAAAAUAACGAUUUUCGCAAUGAAAUAUGAAAUAAGGGUGAAAAUGUCAAAAAAUGAAAGGUAUAGACAUUUUGCACAAUAAUAAUGAAAGAUAUGGACUUUUUUUGUUAAUUACCCUUUUAAUAAUUUAUUUGAACUAACUUGCACUUUUUAAAAAAAGUUUAAGAGUAUAAUUAUAAUUUAUUCUUUAAUUUUUCUUUUCUUUUUUAUUAUUUUAUUUAAAUAGGGGGUAUAUUUAUCCUAUUACACGAGAAAUUUGAUGAAAACAAUGAUUUACACAAUAAAAGGUGAAGGUAAGGGUGUGCCAAAAAAAAAAAGAUAGAGACAUUUUACACAAUAACAUUAAAAGAUAAAGAUGUUUUGUGCUAAUUACCAUUCCUAGAAACAUCCAAAUGAACCAAAGAUGGUUGGUGUUAAAGCACAAAGGGAAAAUUUCAUAUAUUCUAGCGUAAGUAUAGGUGAUUUCAAAACUAAGAUGACAAGUUUGAAUUUGCAAAAAUCAGAAAUAUGGUAGUAACAAUCAAUUAGUUUUCUAAAAAUCAAUGUCCACUUACCUUCAAAAGCCGGAUUCCAUAUAUUAUCCCAUAUGGAGAGAGAGAGAGAGAUGAUUCGUUACAGUUAGUCCCUAAAAUCAAGCAUCCAGAUUCAACUCCCUAAAAUACUGAUUUAAAUCCCUCAACCACAUAAUUAAUUAAUUGUAUAAUUUAUUAAUUAAAUAUAUUAAGGUCACAUAUCUAUAUAAUUUGAUCACAAAUUCAUAAUUUAGUUAGUCACAUAUUAUUUUCUGAUCAUAAAUCAUAAUUUUUAAAUAUCAUAAAUUAUUUUAUAGUUACGAUUCAAAAUUUUAUAGGUCACAAUUUGUUCAUCUGUCACAAAUCAAAAAUUAAUACGUCACAAUUUAUGUAUCGGUCACAGAUCACAAGGUCACAGCUUAUUAGAAGGUCAUAAAUUAAUAUAUUUUUUUAGGUCACAUUGGUCACAAUUUAUCUUCAUUCGUCACAUAUUAUUUAUUGGUCACAGAUUAAUCAAUUCAAUGAUCACAAUCAAACAAAUAAUAUGUGACCACCCCAACCUUUAUGAAAACCACUGCCCCCAAUAGUAUCACCGUCAUCAUUGCCUUCAGAACCACCACGAGCACCGACAGCAACAUCGUCUCCUCCCUGAUAUACUCCUGCCCAAUGCUAGAUCGAAACCUAGAACUUAGCCAAUAUCACCAACAACUCACAUCACAGCCAUUACCAUCGCCAACAUCCCCACCACCACAGUCUCACCACCAUCAUGAUUAGCACUGACGUUUUCGCCACAACACCAUAGCAAACCACCACACACAAAAAAAUCCUGAUGAGCAGUAGCACUUUUGGGGAGGAAAAGCCGUGCUGAAACUACAUUUUCCGAAGAGCGAGAGAGAGAGAGAGACGACGGGUGGAGAGGAGAGAGGAGAAAUUGGAAAGGAAAAGCUGCGCUGAAACGACAUUUUUCGGGAGGGGGGGAGAGAGAGAGAGAGAGAGAGGACGGGUGGAGAGGAGAGAGAGAAAAUUGGAGAGAGAAUAAAUUAAUUGGAGAUGAUCGGUGGAGAGAAAGGACGGGUGGAGAGAGAGAAUACAAUUAAUUGGAGAGGAGAGGAAUUGGAGGGAGAAUAUAAUUAAUUGGAGAGAGAAGACAGGUGAGAGGAGAAAUUGAUUUAUAUAAUUAAUAUUUAAAUAUAAAAAUUUUGAUUUUUGAAAUGUUAAACUACUCAUCUUAUUUUUGAACCCUAGAUUUUAAUUCUAAGGUUUUUUGUAAUUAACACAAGCACAAAUUGGCAAUGUUGUACCGAUUCGACCAAUAAAAUUGGGACCGGCCCAAAACAUUGCAAAUUGGACGUCAUAAAUAAUUCCGAAGCACUAUCACAUGCUGACACUUUCAUAGGUGGGCCUGAAAAAUGAUGCAAAUGCAAUUAGGAGUGGGUGCGGUCCGAUUUGGCUCGAUUUCAAAGGAAACCGAAUUGAACUAAAUACCAAUAGGAAUUUUAGAAAUGGAACCGAACCAAUCGGUUCCGAUUCGGUCCGGUCUGGUUCUUUACAUUGAAAACGUCAAAAUAAAAUGUUCACUAAUAAAAAUUCUAAAAAUGCUACCAAUGUGAUACUUUUAACAAAAUAUAGAAGAACUGAACAUACUAUUCAAAGAUCUAUUUAGGUAUAAAUUUACAAAGUGAAACAAAAUAAUAAUCAUGUAAUCAAAGUGAAAACAAAAUAAAAAUUUCGUAUCUUAUAAAUGAAAUUAUAUAUUGUAAAUAAAUUUAUUUAGAUAUAGAUUUACCCAAUAUUCUAAUUUGGUUUGAAAAUCAAUUAAUCAAAGAAUUAUAAAAAGGGCGAAGAAAAAGAUUCUAAAAUUAAGAAGGAACCCAAUUAUUUUUUUAUAAAAAUAAAAGUGUUGGAGAUUGAGUAAUAUAUUUUACCAAAAAAAAAAAUCCAUUGAGAACCGUCUGGUCCCCACAGUUCCCAUACUAGAAUCGGGAACCGGAUCGGAACUGGUCGAUUCUUAAAAAAUUUUCUCGAAAUCAAAUUUUUUUUUAGAAGAUCCAGAACCGAAUCGGCCAAUUCUAAACGAUUCUAGUCCGGUUCCACCGGUUCUGAGAAAAAGUGCCCACUCCUACAUGAAAUGGCAAUAAUCCAGUAUCCAAAAAGAUGCAGUCAAUUUUGAUUGAAAAUGGUAAAAAUUCAAAAUCAGAGUAAUUUUGGAUUGAAGAUAUGGAUUUAAGAGAGCUUGAGAUAUGUGGAAGACUAUUUCAAGGUGUGGAGUCAUAAGCCAAAACUAUUGAUGGUCGUCUCUUCAUAGUUAAUUAAAUCUUCUUUUGUUUUCCAUCAUUACUAAAGAAAUAUGUUUCCGAUAGCGUUCAUUUUGAAACAUAUCUUAUCUUCUGUCUUUCUAAUUCUCUAUCUGAAGCCAAAGAGUAGGGAUAGCAAAAAAACUCCCUUUAAACCUGAUAUCCGUGGGCCCUGUUCCAAACUAGGUGGGUAUUACCCGCUUAAUCAACUAUUCAGGUUGGGUUCGGGUCGAGAAAUUUUGCCCCGAGGCUGGUACGGUUAACACCCGCCUCCAUCCCACUUAUUUAUUUAUUUAAGAAUUCAGUACUUUAAAUCAAAAAUCUCACGAAAUUUCAUUAAUUCUACUAAAAGACGACAAUUAAGAUUCUUUAAGUAAUACGAAAAACAAUAAGAACCUUAAUUUAUCAAAUAUAUUCUAAUAAUUUAACUAUUAAAAUAAAUUAAUUAAUUAAAAAUUUAAUAACUAUAUUAUUAUCUCACUUUAAUGAAUGAAGAUAAUAAAAUAAAUUAUCAAAAACUAAAUAAAUAUAAAUAAAAAAAAGAGUACGUAAACUAGACAAGUCCCGCCCUGCCUUAAACGGGUAAUGGGGCAAGAAAUUACCCAGCGUGGCAGGGUCAUUGCCAUCCCUACUAGUAGAAUAGUUUCUCUUGCAGGCACAGAAAACUAGUAAUAUUAUCCAUGUCAAAUUUUUUUCCUCCUUCAAAAUUUCCUUAUGUUCUCAUUUUUUAGUAAAACAACAAACUAAAAUGCCAUAAAAAUAUUUAAUCGUCUCAAUUAUUAAUUCUUUUCUCUAUUUUUUUUAUCUCAUUUAUAUUGAUAUUAGAAGUGGGUCGAAUAAAAUUUAAUUGUAAUCAAGUUUAUUAAUUAAUUUUUAUUUCUAUAUAUAAGUCAUUUUGAAAAAAAUAACAUAUUUUGUCAAAAAAAAAAUAUGCAUACAUACACACGCACGUGCGCGCACACACAUAUAUAUGUUAUUAACAGUUAGACCUCGAUUUAAUCUUUCAAUCCUUGAUCCUUUAACUUUUUCGGAUAUAUGGCUAGGUUUUUUUUUUUUCAAAAUAUUGGAUAUUGUAAAUUUUUUAUUUUUUUAUUUUUUCCAUAAUCACCAGUAUUGUCCAACCAACACAUAAUGAAUGUUGAUUCGUUGAUGCAAAGAUGCCAUUGAAUCAAAAAAAAUGGGGUGGAUAGUAUGUUCUUCCAAAUAAACACGGUAUAAUACAAUUCAAAGAUUCUCAUUGACCUGAUAUGAAGGCAAGCACAUGUGGCCAACUUUUUGAACUUAUAUUGGUAAAUGAACAAUCAUGCUACUUGUACAAUGAAUUUGACAAUGUGUGAGUUGACAAGCAUCAUAUUCAUUGAUUUGAAAAAUUGUUUCUAAAUUCAAUUGCUGGGAUCUUUACACUUUACACAUUUUCAAACUCAUUGUAAAUAGUCAUUGUACAAAUAGAUUAAUUCUUAUACGAAUGACUGCAUGGAAAUAAAACGAAAGGAAGAAACCAAGAGAAGUACCUUCAUUUUCUUGAGCAAAUCAUAACCAGCAUUCCUUUCACGCGAUAAUUUGUAGAGCAGUGAUUCAGAACCCGGGAUUAAAUCCCGGGUUUUAAUCCAAGGCCUCGACCUCGGCCCUUGAUCUUAAUCACACGGGGCCCGCAUGAUUCGCAUUGGGGGCCGAGGUUUUGCCACCUUGGCCCUGGCUCCAAACCCGAGAUUUUAUCCUUGUUUGAGCAGCAAUUUCCUAAUUUGUAAUACAAGAUUUCUGGUUUUGUAACAAAAUUAAUUGACUGAUGAUGAUUUGUCAGUAAAUAAUGUAAUUAAAAUUGUAUAUUAAAGGAAGAAAAUUAUAUAAGUAAUCAAACUAAAAUUAGAAAAUAAUGUUUUAUAUUGGUUAUGUUAUAAAUAAUUUAAAGUAUAAAACGAUUUAUUGAGCAAUAGAUGAAAAAUAAAAGAAGUAAAUAAAGAAUAAUUUUUUUUGUCGACAAUAAACUACCAAAGUAAUGUCGAUGAUUGCCACAGACAUCAUGAUCGAUAACUGCUUACCGAAGUGGGUUGGUGAAUUAGGAAUCACUUACAGUAUUGAUGAUAUUUCAUCUCGAAUUCUGCUAGAUACCAUAAGUGAUCAUUAAUGUUUGGCAAACUAAAUUUUUUUAUGAUAGUUUCGUCAAUAAAUAAAGUAGUUAAAAUUUAAUAUUAACAAAUAAAUAUUAUGUUGUUAAUACAAUUAAAACUUGAAAAUAACAUAAAAUUAAAAAACCAAAGAUUUCAUAAGUUACUUCAAAAUAAUAAAAGAUGUAAAAAGAUGCUUCCCUACCGCAUGAUUAAUGACCAAAGCACUGUCGAUGAUUGCCACUUACGUAAUUAUCAUCGAUAAAUGUGGAAGGAGAUAGAGAUGUGCCGACAAUCAUCAAUGGUAUCGUUGUCAAAAGUUCCAACCACAUUAUGUACGAAGUUUUCGUUGGUGAUUGUAUGUUCCAUUAAUUUUAUUAUUAUCAUCAUGGUAAUUAUAUGUCUUUUCUUUUUUCGAAUUAUUAAAGUAGUAGAUUUGUUAUUGGGUGCUUUUAAACUUCAGUUAGCUUUUACUGUAAAAUGCGAUAUAGUGGAUGUUAUGUUAUCUGCUUGAAUUUGUAAUAAUCACAUUUGGUUUCCUUAAAGGUGAUGAAGCUGAAGUAAUUUCCCAACGACCAUUCAAUGGUAUAUUACAUUAAAUUCCAUUAUUACGAUAUCUGGUAAACCUAUUUGUUUCUCAUUCUUUUCCCAUUAAAAUGAAAAAUAUGAUUAUUAUCCGUCACAUCAAACCACCAAAUUUGAAUUUCUAUAUCUUGUGUGGAGUCCAUAACGACUAUAUUUUUCAUUCUCUUCUUACAAAAAUGAGAAACAAAAAGGGCUAGAUGUCUGCUUUGCAUUGAAGUCCAGGAUUGGAUAUGAGAACACCCCCUCCCCCCCCCAACAAAAACAAAAAAAUAAAACAAAAACAAAAACAAAAAAAACUCUUACAAAUGAAGUGGAUGUUGAGAAUUAAAAAUUCUUAUUUCAUUCUACCAAGAGCAAUCAAUUGAAGAAAUAAAAAUAAACACUCAAAAGCAAGCAAAAUAUAUAGAGUUUCGCCUCAACGUGAAACUACGUCUUCUCAUGUCGGUACAGUAACUCACUAUGAUGAAAAAAAGGUUUACAAAAGCACUCCUAUUAUCUCUCUCUCUCUCUUUAUAAUAAUUAUAAAGUCAAACCACGGCUCCCUAUUUAUAAAGCAUAUAAAGGCAAAAUCGAAUUUUACAAUAACUCCAAUUCCUUAAUAAAAUUUUACAAGAAUACAAAUAUCUAAACAAUUCUUAGAUUAAAUUUUGGUUAGGGCAUCUCCACCCCCCACCCCUGGGGCCUCCUACUCCCUUCCAACUCCCACGGCAACCUCACCACAGAGAUUGAUCAAUGCUAACUUCAUGAAAUAACAAUAAUUAUAAUCGAUAAUAAUUAAACUCCUUAACUUAACAGUGAAUGAUUACUCAAAUUCGGCAAGUGAUGUGGUAAUGGUACAUGCAAGUACACUUCUACAACGAAUUUUGGUGGUGAUAUGCAAGAGGAGGUAUGUUUUUAGAUGAAUUAUAAGAAACGGAUCGAAUAUUUGAAUUUUUGUGUUGCACUGUCUUAUUCAUUAAAGCAUGUAUUUAUAGACCAAAAAAGCAGAGCGAAUUCCAUUUCAUAUUUGAUUAACUCAAUAGGUAAUGAAAUUCAUUAAUUUGAUUUUCAAAAUUAGUCCUUUGUUUAGACAAGUUGAUUCACAAAGUAAUGUGUGUCAAGUACUUCUAUCAUGUGUUCAUACAUGGACCAUUGAAAGGGCGAACAAGGCAGUGGAAUGAGGGGGACCACCAUAACAGAGGAGAAUUUGAUUUCAUAAUUUGAAAAAAAGGGGCCGAAGUAUAAAAAAAGGUGGGCAUGAGUAAAAAUGCUUAAACGAGAAACUUAGCCACAACUGCUUUAUAUACUAGAAAAAGAUGUUACAGUUUAAAUAACAAGCUUUACAAACUACGAUAACGAGUAAAAAGUCUAUGCACCAUUUGUGCAACACAAGUAAAAUACAUUGAUAUAUCAAUAUUCAAUUGUAUGAAUAGCGAAAGCUAGAACAGAGUUUGGGUUAUCUACUCUAGCUUACAUUUGGCAAUGGAUCCUUUUUGCCACACAUUGCCAAGAAAAAUUUAGAGACCGACCCAGUGUGAGCGAACAUUGGAGUUGUGCAUAGAAGACGCACUUGGAGAUGUCACACGCCAUUCGUACCAAACCAAUGAUAAUUAAAUUAAAUGCAAUUAAUAUCGGGUGAGACAUAAAGAGUUAAGUAAUUCCAAACCUAUAUUCUCUGUUUCUUGCCCAGUGUUUUUAUGCAUGUCCUAGGACUAAAAGGACAUUUCAAAAUUAGAUGGAUUAAACCCACCAACCUAAAACAAAUUCUAAUUCACUUCUUGCCCAUAGAGAAUAAUAAUAAUCAUUUUCAGCAGCAAGUAUAUAAAUUGCCCGUAUAUCCAUUACUUAAGGCUACGCAACAUAAAAAUUUAUUUAGAUAAUUAGCAUAUAAUUUAAAUUAAACAUUGCAAACACAUUGGGACAGAUAUUAUUUAUCUUAGGAUUCCAAAGUGGAGAUGAUCAUCUGACAAGUUAAUAGCACCAACUCUACUUUAUUAUAGGUCUCUUAGUGCAACGCAUGACUGAGAAUUCUACAAGUGCAAGAUUCAAUUUAAUUUGAGCUUUUAUCUCAUUUCAAUCGCUUUAACAUUUUCAACACUACAUAAUCAAGAAUCGAUGGACCUCCAAAUGAGUAUUCCGUGUCACGCAAACUGGCUCACUCAAUAGGAAAAAUAUUGGAAACCUACAGAAAUCGAAGCCAACCAAAAGAGAACAAUCAUCUCAUGGAUAAUAUAUUCACUCCAAUGUACAAUUUCUUUCAUGGUGCAUUUUAUGUUUUGAUAGAACUUUUUCGAUUGAAUUUUCACUUUUUCUUUAUUGUGUGGUUGGGGGAGAGUAGGAGGGUGUCUUAUAUUUUAGUGGCUUUAAAUAGUAUCUUUACUAAUGAAUAUGGGAUCAACGCAUACCAAAACCAACUGUACCUAUAGAUACGAUAAUAGGCAGAAAUAUUUGUCCAUAAUUUUGCAUGAUUAGCAUUCAUCAUAUAGCAUUACCUUAGAUUUUUGGAAAUAUUCAUGAAGGAAAAUAUUUGGUGUUGCUGUUGAUAGUUCAAUAAACCAUUUGACACAAACACCAACUAAAAGAAUAUCUCAAUGGUCGCCAUCAGCUACAUGAUGUCAUUGGAAGUAUAUUUUCUUGAUUAACAAAAUCAACAAUUUACGCUUUAACCUCUCUACAUUCCAGGACAUGUUGUUCUUGUCCAUUAUGUCAUCUUUUCCAACACUGAUUUGACUACAUGAUUGCCAACCAUGGCCUUGGCUUGGAAAAUGAAACACUUUGUCAACAAAUAUGAAUACAACGCAACUGAUAAAGCUAUUGAUAUUAGCCUUCUUCAUCACUAUGGGCAAAGCUUGCAUUGAGCCCAUAACUAGCUAUAAUCAUCAUGUGGUGACUGAUAGGUAUGUUUUUGCACACUCAUUUAAUGUCUAAAUAAAUUUAAAUAUUAAUUAAUUGAGCAAAUUUCCAUUCACAAUUAUGUAAUUAUUGCAUUUGUAAGUAAAAAUCACCCAAGGUAAUAGAAGAGGUAAAAGGAAGUGAAAAGGGACCAAAAGCGUACAAAAUUGUGAAGUUGGGGACCAAAAUGCAUAAGUGCCAAAAGUUCAAGGACUUGGAAUUGCAAAUUUUGGAGGGUGUAAUUGAAAGAAAAGUCAAAAUUUGAGGACCAAAUUGUACAAUACAAAGUUGAGGGAUAGUGUGCAAAUAUGGGAGGACCUGAACUACAAAUAAUGAAAAAUGGGAAGUAACGCCACUGGCACCACUAUAGCAGUGCCGCGGCAACGAACAGGACCUAUUUGGCUAUAUUUUUGUAAUUGGGGAUCAUUUUAAAAUUAACUAAACACGAUUUUUGGGCCUUUUAAAAGGAAAAUUCAACAAUGUUUCCCCUAUUUCUCUCUUGAACUUGAAGAGAACCCUAGCCUCCUCUUUCUCUCACUUUCCUUUUCAUUUUUUCUUUCUUUUUCUUUUCUUCUUCUUCUUAUCUUUUCUUUGGUAAUUUUUGGGGCAAAAUCUAGAGCACAAGGAGAUUUGAUUAAGGAUUUGACAAAAGCUUUGGGGAAAUCAAGAGCAAGCUCAAAAAAGGGUUUUAUCUACAACUUGUAUUUUCUCAAUUAUUUUGACAAACUUGCAAUGUAUUAUACAAAAUAUUCUCCUUUUUAUCAUUUGUAUGAAAUGGGCAAGUUAUUUGUGUUGGGAUUUAUUGUUGUAGUUUAAUCUAGCCUUGAUUAAUUUUAAUAUUUGCCCUUUGAUUUUGAUUUGCUUAUUUUCUUCUAUUGUAUUUCAUGCAUUUUCAUUUAUGUGGUCAAUGAAUGAUUGUGUUUAGUGAAUUUUAUAUCGUUCAAGAGAAGAUUGUGCAUUUUAGACCAAAUUGUAGAAACCCUGGGUUUGUGUAGGGGAUAGAGAUAUACCCCUAACCCUAGGUGACCCAAUGAGCUAUUUUCACAAAUAUUUAAUGCAAUUGUUUGGUUUUAAUCGAUAUAGAAAUAUAAUAGGGUUAAUUUCGUUCAAGAGAAGUAAUUAAUUAAAAUUAAAACAUGGAGUCUAACAUCGUAAAUGAGUAACUUUUUAAUUGACCUGUGGUGAAAUUAAUUAGGCGACGGUUAAAUGAAACCAUGAAUCUCAACCACAUUUUCUUCCAAAAAUUUCAAGAUUUUUAUGUUUUCUUAUUUUGUAGGUUUUUAGUUAAUUUCCUUAUUUCAAAAUCAUAUUUUUAAUUAUGUGUGUUUAUUUUUAUUGUUAGAAUUAAAUUAUUAAUUACGGUUGUGUAAUCUAAAGUAUAUAUUCCUCAAGGGAUCAACAAUCCGGACUCAAAAUGUCCACUUUAUUACUUGAACGCGACUCGUGUACUUGUGAUGUAUAAUUUUAGCGAAACAGUAACAAGUAAUCAAAAGUACAAGGAUGUUACAAGUAAAGCCUGACAAUAAUACCAUAAUCAAGGAAUGGAAAGUCUUUCCAAUUGAAACUAACGUUCAGCUUGAGCCACCAUAGCUUUGCAAUCCUAAAACAGACAUAAAUUUAGAUAAUAGUAGUUCUUAUUAUAUUAAUUCAUCAACUGCAAUCCUAAAACAGACAUAAAUUUAGAUAAUAGUAGUUCUUAUUAUAUUAAUUCAUCAUCUAACAUAUAAAUCAGUCCUUCCUAUAGAUUACUAGUUGAGUGUGAAGGGGCAAAGCAACAUUGAUGAUUUAUUGUGGUUGAUAAUGGGGGUUGGCUAACAAACCUUACGUAGAAACUAUACCAUUCGCAGUCAAACCAUGAUCCCUGAAUUUGAAACGGGCAUAUAACGAUUUGCAAAAGAGAUAAUGGUGUUGGAUUCCCGGUGCAUAAUGCACAUGUAGACUCUAAUUUCCUGCGCACUAGGAUUGAACAUAGAGGAAAUCAUUGAAAAUGACCUAAUAAACCAUGUGUAUUUUCAAAGUAACCUUUGACUAGUUUUUAGAGAAAAAAAAAACGAAAAUUGAUUUUAAAGGUCAAAAUCCCAAAAGACCCUCAGACUGUCACUUUCUUGUUUGCUUAGAGUCGGCCAAAACCAAGGAAAAGCUACGGUCAAUUUCCAAUUGGUAGACGUUUUCAGUUCAUCUCCGGCGACCUUCUUCUUGUUAAAGUAAGCUUCGAGUUGUUAAUUAACUAGAUUAAUGUUUAGAUUUUCAUAUUGUGUGCGAAUGUUGAAUUUGUGAAGGUUUUUGGAAUGUAAUAUUGGUUAUGUAGGUGUAGAAUUAUGAAUAUGGGUCUAAAUUGGAGAAUAAUAGGUGGAUUUUGAGAUUUGCAAGUUUUUCUCGUUGGAAAUGGAGAUUUUUCGACGAAAAAAGCCGAAAAAAUGCAGGCUACGUUUGUAGCUGGCAUUUUGGGUAAAACCCGAUUGCGUUUGCAGCCGGCAUUUUGGGGAAAACCCGGCUGUUAACAGUCGGGUGCCCGACUGUUAACAGCCGAUUGGCCCAAUUGUCAUGGGGACUGUUUUUAUUUUUCAUGGGCUGAAGUGGGCCGACUGUUAUAGUCGGUCCAAUAACAAUUUUUUUUUAUUUGGGCUGAUUAACAGUCGUCCCAUUAUUUGGGUUGACUAUUUAGUCAGCCCAUUGACUGUUAAGCAGGCCGAAUGUUAUGGUUGGGUCGAUGCCUUUAUUUUUAUUUUUUUACUUUUUUCUUACAUAUAUUUAAGAAUUUCAUUUUAAAUCAUUUUAAUUAUUAGUUUUUAAUAAAUAAUAAUUUAUUUAUUUAUAAAAUUUAAAUGUGAUAUUUAAUUUGAAUAUUUAUUUUUAUUUCCUCAUUUUUGAUAAAUAAUAAUUUUUCAUUCUCGAAUUUAAUUAAUUUUUAUAAUUUUAAUAUUUAGUAAUUCUUUUAAUUUUAAAUUUAAAUUUCAUAUUUAGUUUUAUUAAUAGUUUUUAUAAAUAAUAUUCUUUUCGUUAAUCGAAUUUCAUUAAUUCUUGUCAUUGUAAUUUUGAGUAAUUAUUUAAUUUUAAAUUUCGUUUUUAUUUUUAUUAAUAGUUUUUUAUAAAUAAUAUUCUUUUCGUUAAUCGAAUUUCAUUAAUUCUUGCCAUUGUAAUUUUGAAUAAUUAUUUAAUUUUUAAAUUUCAUAUUUAUUUUUAUUAAUUGGGCUGAUUGUUAAUUGUAGACUGACUGUUAACAGUCUUAGGCCGACUGUUAACAGUCACACUAUUAACAGUUUAAUUUUUUAAAAAAUAUAUAUAUUUAAUUUUUUAUUUUUUAAAUAUAAUUUAUAAUUAAUUUAUUAAUAAUUAUGUUAUUUAUUUAUUUUUUUUAAUUGUCUUUUAUUUAUAUAAUUUAAUAAUUGAAUAUUAUCUGAAAGUAACAAUUUAUUUUCCAUGUUAUUUAUUUAAUUAAAAUUUUUUUUUGUAAAUAUAUUUUCCAAGUGUAAUAUACAAGAUUAAUUUUCUUUAUAAUUUUCAUUUGAUUAAAUAAUAAUUAUGUUAUUUAUUUAUUUAAUUUUUAUAUUCUUUAAUUUUUUAAAAUUUAUUUAAAUAAUAUUUAUAUUCUUUAAAUUUUUUUGAAAAUAUAUUUAAUCUUUAAUUUUUAACUUUUUGUAUUAUUUAAAUAUUAAUAAUUUCCUUUUGCUGAAAAUCUCAUUAAUUUGUAUUUUAAUUUAAUUAAUUAUUUUUAACAUUUGUAUUGAAUUUAUUUUGUUAUAGGCGUCAAGAAUUCGGUUCCCAUUGAUUUUUUGAGAUUAUGCGUUAUUAUAUUAUCUCUUGUUCAAUGUUCUAAUAUUUGAAUUUUUGCAGGAUAGAGUAUCAUUUAGAUGGGGAGUUGAGACGGAUGGCGGGGAAAGCUACUUGGAACAGUAGCUUUGAGAUUUUUACUGUUGUAUUGGAGAUGCUCAAUGAUCAUCAUGAAAAUAUGCUACGACAGUCCUUCUUGUGGGCACUGUACUAGAUGCGAGAGUUGCAGUACUCAGGACUAAUCAUCGAUGUACUUCUAUGUCAGCUUCUGAGGCCAGUCGACGGCGAUUCCCUCCACUUCGACCUCAGGGGCAAGGUCGUCAGUUUCUCGAUAUAUGAGUUUAGCUUGAUCACUGGACUGAAGAUUAUGGGCGAAGAUGCAGCCAUUGAGAGAAGUAAUAGGUUGUACAAGACGUACUUCUAGGGACAUGGGUCGGUGCAUCUACCCGAGUUGAUGGUUGCGAUCAGGGGGUACGACCAGAUGUUAGAUAGAUUGAAACUUGGGCUGGUCUACAUCCUCAAGAAUGUGAUGAGGUGUCAUCACAAGAAGAUUGCCAUCGACAUUUUUUCAUUUGCAAGUUGUUGACGACAUCGAUGCGUUCAACAACUAUCUAUGGGGCCGGAGAUGCUACGAAGACACCGUACAUGUGCAUGUGUUUAUUAAAUGAAUAAUUCAUACUUUUUUGGUGUUUCUUGAUGCAACACAUCGACCUGGCCAUGGACUUGCUACGAGAUCAAGCUCAAAGACAUCCAAAAUCAUUUGACGUCCAUGGUCGAGUCAUAUUAAACACCGAGUUCCUGCGUGCCGUUAUCAUAGAGUAUCAGUCGCUCCAACUUAUGAGUAACGAGUACACGGUGCUAGAAUAUAUGCUCAAGUGGGUCAUAUGAAUGUCGUCGAGUGUCGGGGGGGAAAUCAUGGGAGGGUUGUACACAUAUGUAUAUUCUAGCGUGCAUCAAUAAUCACUAUGUUACGCUGGAGAUCGUUUUUGCCGACACGACUAUAUAUGUGUAAGACGCAAAUCAUUCAUGUUUGACACAAGGCCAGCUGGAGCAAAACCUGGAGUCCGUAGCUGUAAUUGUUCCUAUGAUGGCCAGACGAGCGGGGAUGACUGUACAGGAUAGAUUGCGGAUUGUUCGGAACACGACAACAGUGUGACAGUCCAUAUAGUAAGUGUUUGAACUUUGUUAUUUUCAUUUUUUAGAUUUAGUUUUUAGCUACACAGUACUGAAUUGAUCCAUUCUUGUACAAUUGUAGCGACGACUGCGGCAUAUUUGUCAUUAAGUACGUUGAAUUUUUAAGUAUAGGACAUAAGGUUGAUGGAAUCAACCAAUUGUGGAUACAGAACUGGAGAAAGAAGCUAGCUUGUGAUUUGUUUUAAAUUUUAUGGUGACCCGUAAACUUGUAUUAAAUAUAUGUAACAUUCAAAUUGUAAAUUUAAUUAUUUUUUGUGAUUAUGAAAUAAUUGUAAAUUUGUGUUCAAUAUAUAUAACAUUCAUAUUGAAAAUUUAAUUAUUUUUUUGUAAGUUGAUUUUUUGUUAUUUUACACAUAUGCCGAGUAUGGAACUACUUUUUUCAUAUGAAUCAUUAUAAAUACCAUUUAUCAAGAAUAAAUAUUGAAUAUUGAACAUUUAUGAAGAACAAAUAUUGAACGGUGUAAAGUAAAUGAAAAUAUUAUUCAUUUAACGUACCUGUCUAAUUGUCAUUUAAGGGAAUUUGACUGGUACAAAAUUGCCCAGUAUGCCCUAUGGCUCUGCACCUGCCACACCUACGCGAUCGAGAAAACUCUCUGGUAGAUGGUAUUCUAGAUGUACUUGGACGUCCAGGACCAUGCGGUUCAACUACUGGUGACAACAAAUUAUGAAACGGGAGAAUGUGUUCGGGAACUUCCCACUCGACUUCAUUCGGCAGAGGAAAUAUAGUCUUAGCAUAUGCUGUUCUCCAAGACUCAGUCGUAUAAUACAAAGAGCAUAACGUUCUCGCAGCAAAGUCUCGAAUCAUGGCCACCGCAACUGCAUGCUCACAUGAAAAACUUUCCAACUGAAAUCUUGUACAAAUACAUAUGUUAUCAGUCAAGUCCACCAUAUAUGCCGUAUUACGUACACAUUGCACGAAGAAGCGAAACUUAUCUAGUGCUUCCACAUUCAACUUCCUCACAACCUCUGCCGCCUUAAAGAGUUUCUCCUCUUGAGCUGGGGCCAACACGCUAGUGCAACUCUGUGAUACCGCACGUCGAUUAUGAAACCACUGUUGCAGCUUGUUACGAAUGUGCUCAAUCAUUGCGAGAAUUGGUAACUCUCGAUCCUUCUUAAAUAAUUCAUUAAGAGACUCUGCGUUAUUCGACGUCAUCAUGUUGUAUCGACGUCCUGGAAAGUAUGAUCGCGCCCAAUGUUCUAUCCCCAUGUUCAUCAGAUACUUCAACUCCGGUAAUGAUUUACUUCCUAUCUCGAACAUGAACUUAUUACACUCUUCAACACCGAUACCUAGUUUUCAAAUUAUCUUGUAAAUGGUACAUGCAAUACCCGUGAUGCGCCUCGGGAAAAAUUUUAGUGAUACCGUUUAUUAUAGACUGUCCCCAAUUGGUUACAAAGGCAAGGUCUUCGACUUCCCCGAUCACUUUCUUCAGUUUAGAAAAGAACCAACGCAUGAACAGAUUAUUCUCGUUGUCACUAUGCUGAAUGCAAUAGGGUAAAUUUGGAUGUUGGCAUCUUGACAUGUAGCAAUAAUUAAUUUGCCUUGAUAUUUAGCUUUCAGAGUUGUACCAUCAACUAGAAUUACAGGUCGCAUUGCAUUUCGAAAACCCCAAAUACAUUGUCCGAAAGCCAUAAAGAAAUACGUAAAAUUAUUAUCGCCCCCCAUCUCAAUAAAAAAUGCCAUCUCAGGAUUAGUUGUCCCCAUGUUAUGACAAUACCUAGCCAAUUUAGCAUAGCUCUCCUCAGUCGAUCCCAUUAAAUCCUCCAACGCACAUUCUUUGGCCUUCCAGGCUUUCUGGUAGCUCAUGACCACUCUAUACUCUCAACCGACGUCGUUAAUGAUGUCUGAAGGUCUGUAAAUCGUCCGUGGGUCCUGAUACUUGUGCCUUAUCUGUCGACCAAUAAACCAUGCUCGAGCUUGCUUGUGAUCAUUUCGACAAAUUUCCAAUUCCCAAGUAUGUUCCCGUGCCUAUUUGCGAACUACAAAGCACUCAUUAUUGUCCAUCUUAGUCGCUCUCAAGCACCAAUUGCAAUUGUCAUCAACGCAGGCAACUGUCAACAAUGAUUUGGUUGAUUUCUUUACAUUGAAUUCAAAGUUAUAUUUUAAUGUCAUUCGGUGCACAACUUCCUGCAAAUCUUUCUUGGUUUCAAAUAGUUGUUCAACAUACAAAUCCUCAUCAUCAGGAGCCACACGGGAAAAAUUGGAGGACGGUCCACUUGUUCCACUCCUUGAGCUCCCACCCCGCUCAGAUCUCUGUCGGGAUAAAGUAAUUAAAAUUUCAUUUGUAAAAUCAUUUAUAUUUUCGUUGUCCUCAACUGUCGAUGGAAUUCUAUGCGUAAUAAUGGCUUCACGAUCAGUAGCAAUGGUUUCGCGAAUAACCACAUCAUCUGCAAGAAUUAUCUCCACUGUCUCCCAAAAAUCUCGAUCAUUAUUAUCUGCUCCAUCUGAAUCUUCGCGUUCACCUUCGACAACAUCAUUCUUAACUAAAGUCACGCCAAGAGCAGUCGGAGUCCUAUGCAUUUUAUUCAAUUCUAAUCGAUAAUUCAAUCCAACAUCAUUAAAUAUAGGUGGCAUCGGAAUGGACGAAUCCCCAUAACCAUGGAAUAAAUAUCUCAGUUGCAUAUUGUACUGAGAAGGAUCGACAUUCAACUUAUUUUACAAAUCCUGGUACACUUUCGCGCCGCAUAUGAUGUACUCUCUGUUACGGGAAUUGCAAUACAGCCACAUACAUCACUCGUCCAUCUCCAUUCCCAUCUAUUAUUUUCAUUCAGUUCGAAAUCACCGAAAUAACAAAUCGAGAUUAUCAUAUCUAUAUGACUAUAUAGAAUUUUUAAAUCAAUUACAAUAACAAAAAUUCAGAUAUUUAAUCAACUUGUAAUUAAAAUUAUAAGACAAUUGUCAAAAGAGAAAUUAUAAUAUAAAAAAAAUUCGUAAAACAAUCGGGAAAAACGGCCGACUGUGGACUGUUUUACAGCCGACUGUCAAUUCGACUGUUUAACAACCGACUAACAGUUGGCUGUCGACUGUUAGAUAGCCGACUGUCUAACAACCGUCGGUCAACUAUUAGAGAGUCGUCUAACAGCUGACUGUCGGCUGUUAGACAGUCAGCUGUCUGCUGUGUAACAUUUUUCGUUAACAUCCCACAGUUAAUCGCCGGAUUGUUUAUUUUGCGUAUGACUUUUUAUUUUUCUAUAGUUCUAAAGAAAAAAAUUAUAGAUCUGUUAAAAUUUUUUUUUACUAACUACUGUGUUAUUUAACUACUCAAACGUACACUAAUUUACUGAAAUCGAAAUUAAGCAUGGGUAAAAAUAUACUUACCGAUUUGAAGUAAUUGAUCUGAAAAAAGUUCUGACUUCGACGUUUGAAGUUUUUUGAUAUUUUGAGGUUCAAGCAGAUGAAAAAUGAGAGUUUUUCUGUGUUCGAAGCUCGUUCUGCAGUUUUAUAAAUGGGGUAGUAUUUGGUUUUCAAUUAUUAACUAAAAGGCUAAUAAUGUCUUUAAAACUAUCCAAUAUUUUGUAAUUAUAUAAUAUAUUUAAGGGCAUCUCUGUCUUUUACCAUUCAAGAGGUUAAUGCGAUAAUUUUCAAGUUUUCAAAAGUCAAAGUGGAAAUAAGGGUCUUUGACUAGGUCAAUUUUAAAAAUACCCCAUUGAACAUAGCUGCUUUAAAUGUCCCAUUACAAGAGAACAAAAACUCCCAGAAUCAUCUACAAAUUUAAAGAAGUUAAAUUUGGGUCUGCGAAUUCUUUAAAGGAAAUACCAUAUGCAAGAGCCAAUAACAAGGCUCAAACACAGAUCCAACCCCGAUUUUGCCCUAAUUGGCAUUGGCGACUAGCUGUGACGAUUGACAUUGCAGAUUUGACGACGAUUGACAUUGCAGAUUUUUCAGAUCAAUUACUUCAAAUCGAUAAGUAUAUUUUUAUACAUGCUUAAUUUCUAUUUCAGUAAAUUAGUGUGCAUUUGUGUAGUUAAAUAAUAGAGAAGUUAGUAGAAUUUUUUUUUUAACAUAUCUAUAAUUUUUUUUCUUUAAAACCAUAGAAAAAUAAAAAUUCAUACGCAAAAUAAAUAGUCCCACCAUUAACUGUGGGAUGUUAACGAAAACUGUUAGAUAGUAGACAGCAGACUGUUAAAAGACUUUCUAACAGCCGCCAGACGACUGUCUAACAAUCGACCGACGACUGUUAGACAGUCGGCUGUCUAACAGCUAGGGCUGGGCAAAUCUCCCGAACCGAACCGAUCGAACCGAACCCGAACCAAACUGAACUGAACGCAACGGUUCUUGUCAAAUUAAAUACCCGAACGGGUGUCUAAAUUGAGAACCGACGGGUACAGUUUGAUUCCCGGUUCUAGACCGAGAACCGAAGAACCGAAUAAGAACCGAAUCUUUCUAAUUUUUUUUAUAUUGAGUAAAUCAAAUUAUUUUAAUUUUAAUUUUUCUAAACAAAUUAACAAUUUCUAAAUCCAAAAUUUUGACCCAAUAAUUUGUUUCAUUUCUAAUUUUUUAAUUUUUGGCCCAAUUACCCAUUUUAUUGUAUCAUUUCUUAGCCCAACAAAAUCCAAUCCACUAAAUAACUCUAAACACCUACAAUAAAGUGCAUAACGUUGUUUCGACUCUCGCACUCACUCUCGUAACCUCGCUAACAUUCCAAAACCUAUACAAUCGUCGGCCGACGCUGUGACCUCCGAUCGAAGCUGUGACAUCUGCUGACCGAAGCUUUGACCGUAGCGAUCAUUUGAACAAUAUAGUAUACUACUCUCUGACAUUCCAAAAACCAUUGAAUGUAAGUAUUUUUAUAAUGUUGUUAUAAAUGUUAAAAAAUUUAAUUAUAGUACAGAACCAAAUGGAAUCGAACCGAACUUAAUCUAACGGAACCAAACCCGAACGGUUCCAUAAUUAUAUUUGAACCUGACGGUUCCAUUUACUAGAUACCUGAAAAUUUCGGUUCGGUUUGAUUCUCUUUAGAACCGAACCGACCCGCACCCACCCUACUAACAGCCGAUAGCCGACUAACAGUUGGCUGUUUUUCCUGACUGUUUUACGAAUUUUUUUAUUAUAAUUUCAGUUUGGCGAUUGUCUUAUAAUUUUAAUUACAAGUUGAUUAAAUAUCUGAAUUUUUGUUGUUGUAAUUGAUUUAAAAAUUCUUUAUCAUUAUGGAGAUAUGCUAAUCCCGGUUUGUUAUUUCGGUGAUUUCGAACUGAACGAAAAUAAUAGAUGGGAAUGGAGAUGGAUGAGUGAUGUAUGUGGUUGUAUUGCAAUUCCCGUAACAGAGAGUACAUCAUAUGCGAAAGUGUACCAGGAUUUACAAAAUAAGCUGAAUGUCAAUUUUUCUCAGUGCGAUAUGCAACUGAGAUAUUUAUUCAAUGGUUAUGGGGAUUCGUCCAUUCCGAUGCCACUUAUAUUUAUUACUUAUGAUGCUGAAUUGAAUUAUCUAUUAGAAUUGAAUAAAAUGCAUAGGACUCCGACUGUUCUUGGUGUGACUUUAGUUAAGAAGGAUGUUGUCGAAGGUGAACGCGAAGAUUCAGAUGGAGUGGAUAAUAAUGACUGAGAUUUUUGGGAGACAGUGGAGAUGGUCCUGCAGAUGAUGUGGUUAUUCCCGAGACAGUUGCUACUGAUUCUGAAGUUACUGUUACGCACAAAAUUCCAUCGACGGCUGAGGACAACAAAAAUAUAAUUUACAAAUGAAAAUUUAAUUGCUUUAUCCCGACAGAGACCUGAGCAGGUGAGAGCUCAGGGGAUGGAAAAAGUGGACCGUCCUCCAAUUCUUCAUGUGUGGCUGCCGAUGAUGAGAAUUUGUAUGUUAAGCAACUAAGAUUUGUAGGAAGCUGUGCACCGGAUAGCAUUAAAAUAUAACUUUGAGUUCAAAGUAAAGAAAUCAACCAAGUCAUUGUUGACAGUAGGCUGCGUUGACGAUAAUUGCAAUUGGCGCUUGAGAGCAACUAAAAUGGACAUGAAUGAGUGCUUUGUAGUUCGUAAAUAUGUAUGGAAACAUACUUGUGAAGUGGGAAUUUGUCGAAAUGAUCACAGGCAAGCUCGAGCAUGGUUUAAUGGUCGACAGAUAAUGCACAAGUAUCAGAACCCACGGACAAUCUAUAGACCUUCGAAUAUUAUUAACGACGUCCGUUGAGAGUAUGGAGUGGUCAUGAGCUACCAGAAAACCUGGAAGGCCAAAAAAUGUGCGUUGGAGGAUUAAAUGGGAUCGGCUGAGGAGAGCUAUACUAAAUUGGCCAAGUAUUGCCAUAACAUAAGGACAGCUAAUUCUGACACGGCAUUUUUUAUUGAGACGGGGGGGGGGGGCGAUAAUUGUUUUAAGUAUUUCUUCAUGGCUCUCGGACAAUGUAUUUGGGGUUUUUGAAAUGCAAUGCGACCCGUAAUUCUAGUUGAUGGUACAACUCUGAAAGCUAAAUAUCAAGGCAACUUAAUUAUUGCUACAUGUCAAGACGCCAACAUCCAAAUUUAUCCUAUUGUAUUCGACAUAGUCGACAUCGAGAAUGAUCUGUCCAUGUGUUGGCUCUUUUCUAAAUUGAGGGAAGUGAUCGGGGAAGUCGAAAACCUUGCCUUUGUAACCGAUUGGGGACAAUCUAUAAUAAACAGUAUCGCUGAAGUUUUUCUCGAGGCACAUCACGGGUAUUGCAUGUAUCAUAUACAAGGUAAUUUGAAGACUAGGUAUCGGGGCAAAGGCAUCGUUUCAUUGUUUAGAAGAGCAGCCAAAGCUUACAGUGCUGAAAAGUGUAAUAAGUUCGUGUUCGGAUAGGAAGUAAAUCAUUACCGGCGUUGGAGUAUCUGACGAACAUGGAGAUCGAACAUUGGGCGCGGUCAUACUUUUCAGGACAUUGACACAACAUGAUGACGUCGAAUAACGUGGAGUCUCUCAAUGCAUUGUUUAAGAAGGAUCGAGAGUUAUCAAUUCUCGCAAUGAUUGAGAACAUUUGUAACAAGCUACAACAGCGGUUUCAUGACCGACGUGUGGCAUCACAGAGUUGCACUAGCGUGUUGGCCCCAGCUCAAGAGGAGAAACUCUUUAAGGCAGCAGAUGUUGGGAGGAAGUUGAAUGUGGAAGCACUAGCUGAGUUCCACUUCUCCGUGUAAUGUGCACGUAAUACGAUAUAUAUGGUGGACUUGACUUAUAACACAUGCACUUGUACGAGAUUUCAGUUGGAGAGUUUUCCAUGUGAGCAUGUAGUUGCGGUGGCCAUGUAUCGAAGCUUUGCAGCGAGAACGUUAUGCUCUUUGUAUUAUACGACUGAGCCUUGGAGAACAGCAUAUGCUGAUACUAUAUUUCCUCUGACAAAUGAAGCCGAGUGGGAAGUUCCCGAGCACAUUCUCCCGUUUCAUAAUUUGUUGCCACCAACAGUUGAACCACGUGGUCCUGGACGUCCAAGUACAUCUAGAAUACCAUCUACCAGAGGGUUUCCUCAACCGCGUAGGUGUGGCAGGUGCAGAGCCAUAGGGCAUACUGGACAAUUUUGUACCAGUCAAAUUUCCCUAAAUGACAAUUAGACAGGUACGUUAAAUGAAUAAUAUUUCUGUUUACUUUACACUGUUCAAUAUUUGUUUUUCAUAAAUGUUCAAUGUUUAGUAUUUAUUCUUGAUAAAUAGUAUUUAUAAUGAUUCAUAUAAAAAAAUAGCUCCAUACUCGGCAUAUGUGUAAAAUAACAAAAAAUCAACUUACAAAAGAAUAAUUAAAUUUCCAAUGUGAAUGUUAUAUUUAUUAAACACAAAUUUACAAUUAUUUCAUAAUCACAAAAAAUAAUUAAAUUUACAAUUCGAAUGUUACAUAUAUUUAAUAUAAAUUUAUGGGUCACCAUUAAAUUUGAACAAAUCACAAGCUAGCUUUUUCUCCAGUUCUGUAUCCACAAUUGGUUGAUUCCAUCAACAUUACGUCCUAUACUUAAAAAUUUAAGGUACUUAAUGGCAAAUAUGCCGCAGUCACUGCUGCAAUUGAAUAAGAAUGGAUCAGUUCAGUACUGUGUAGCUAAAAACUAAAUCUGAAAGAUGAAAAUAAUAAAGUUCAAACACUUACCUUAUGGACUGUCGCGCUGUUGUCGUGUUUCGAACAAUCCGCAAUCUGUCCUGUACAGUUAUCCCCACUUGUAUGGCCAUUAUAGGAACAAUUACAAUUACGGACUCCAGGUUUUGCUCCAGCUGGCCUUGUGUCAAACAUGAAUAAUUUGGGUCGUAGACAUAUAUAGUUAUGUUAGCAAAAACGAUCUCCAGCGUAACAUAGUGAUUAUUGAUGCACGUUGGAAUGUACAUAUGUGUACAACCCUCUCAUGAUUUUCCCCCGACAUUUGGUGACAUUCCUAUGACCCACUCGAGCAUAUAUUCUGGCACCGUGUACUCGUUAUCCAUAAGUUGGAGCAACUGAUACUCUAUGGUAACGGCACGCAGGAACUCGGUGUUUAAUAUGACUCGACCACGGACGUCAAAUGAUUCUGGAUGUCUUUGAGCUCGAUCUCGCAGCAAGUCCAAGGCCAAGUUGAUGUACUGCAUCAGGAAACACCAAAAAAGUAUGAGUUAUUCAUUUAAUAAACACAAAGUGACGUGUACAUAAAAAACACGAAAUGAAUAGUUCACUUACAUCGUCGGUGAGUCAAGCUCCCGAAGUGGUGAUAUCGUGGAACCACUUGUAAGCGUCCGAGACCGUCGUUUGACCUAUCGUGCGGCUAACUCUGAAAAAAAGGGAAAUGUUAAAAUAUGCAUAGACGAGUUAGCGUAUAGUGCUUUGUUAAAAUCAUACAAUACUUACCCGGGGAUAAUUCUCCUCCACUCCAUCUCGAACGCUUUCCACUAGGCGUUGUCCACCUCUUUGAAUAAGUUCGGAUGCGUCCCAUCGAUGAACGUCCUCCUCUUGGCCUCAGUCGUAAAGGGGAAAACAACAUACUGUGAUGACACUCUCAACCUCUUGCCGACCACCUGCUCCGUUUCAUCAACAGCAUGUCUCUUACCCUCAAUCACGAUGGGCGUCCUCUCGACCUCCGGGGCCACCUUCUCCGUCCCUCCCAUUGGGGCCACCCCCUCUCCCUCCAUAGGCAACCACAAUGAUUAUAAUGUCUUAUCACGCCAAAAAUGUGGGUGACCCCCUUUCCAUCACCACUCUGCCACCCUCUCGAUCAUCAUCUCCACCAUCCCCUCUGUCCCCCCAUCGCCUACCGGCUAAAUCUCCUCUAGGUGCCACUACCGUAUCCUGAAGAUCGACAACGCAAGACCGUAGCAUUCCAACAUCAUGGGAUAGAUCGUCAACCCUCUCUGUCAACUCUCGUCCCAUAUCAUCGAUCUUCCCUAUCAGAUAAUCGACCUUCCCAGUCAGAUCGUCGACCUUCCUUGUCAACUCUCUUCCCAGAUCAUCGACCCUCUCCGUCAACUCUCGUCGUAGCGCGCCGACCUCCUCCACUAUAAAUCCAGUCAAACAGGCAUACAAAUCAUCACUGUGUGUCAGAGAUACACGGGGGAGGUGUCUGGACGAGGGAGAAGGAGAUACCCUCGGCGGUGGCGAUGCCAAUGGCGGCGGCGAUGCCCUUAAUGGAGGUGAUGCCAAUGGCGACGACGAUGCUCUUGGGGGAGGUGAUGCCAAUGGUGGUGGUGAUACCCUCGGCGGAGGUGAUCAUCGAUCAACUGGACUGCCCUCCUACAUAAAUAACAUUAAAAAUUAUUCAAUAAAUUUAUAGGUCGACGAUAUUCAAUAAAUUAUAUUUAAUUCAUAUACCCAAUCUCGGUCUAGGUUUGGAUCAGACAUCUCCUCGUCUUGGGUCUGCGGAAUGCCUAAAUCUCGCACAAGACCCCGAGCCUCCUCUUCCAUCGAUGACGUCAACUCAAGUAUGACUUCAAGCUGACAUAUUGACAUUUCAACUAAUUAACGAUCAUGUAAACAUAUUUUAAACUACGCAUAAUAUAAAUCACAAAUGCAUAAUACUUACCUGAGGAUCAUCGAAGAAAGUCGAUAAUUGUUUCCCAGUGGGGCAUCCGUCUGCUCGCGAUGAUCUCCAAUGAUGCAUCUGAGGGCAUCGUGUCUCUCCUCGCUUCGCAAAGCGGGCCCCUAGUACAGGGACUAUCUCAUACACCCAAAUCUGCAACACAUACACUUAUUAUGCGUAAAUAUAAUAUACUAAAACUUUAACUUUAAUUAUAUUAAACAUUUAUCUGUACCGCUAAGGGCAAUCCAUAUGUAUCGUAUUUACACAUUGACCCCUUGGGCCUCGAGUGUGAUUUGGUGAAAACAUGUAAGGUGUCUUUGCAGUAUCUCCGACCCCAUGGAUAGUUGUUGAACGCAUCGAUAUCGUCAACAACUUGCAAUUGAAAAAUGUCGAUGGCAAUCUUCUUGUGAUGACACCUCAUCAUACUCUCGAGGAUGUAGACCAACCCAAGUGUCAAUCUAUCUAGCAUCUGGUCGCACCCCCUGAACGCGACCAUCAACUAGGGUAGAUGCACCCAUCCAUGUCCUUGGAAGUACGUCUUGUACAGCCUAUUUCUUCUCUCAAUGGCUACAUCGUCGCCAAUAAUCCUUAGUCCAGUAAUCAAGCUAAACUCAUACAUCGAGAAACUGACAACCUUGCCCUCGAGGUCGAAGUGGAAGGAAUCGCCGUCGACUGGCCUCAGAAGCCAACACAGAAGUGCAUCGAUGAUCUGUCCUGAGUACUGCACCUCUCUCAUAUGGUACAGUGGCCACGAGAAGAACUGUCAUAGCAUAUCUCCGUGAUGAUAUCGAGCAGCUCCAACACAGCAGUAAAACUCUCAAAGCUACUAUUCCAAGUAGCUUUCCCCGCCAUCCGUCUCAACUCCCCAUCUAAAUGAUACUCCAUCCUGUAAAAAUUCAAAUGUUAGAACAUUGAACAAGAGAUAAUAAAAUAACGCAUAAUCUCAAAAAAACAAUGGGAACCGAAUUCUUGACGCUAAUAACAAAAUAAAUUCAAUACAAAUGUAAAAAAUAAUUAAUUAAAUUAAAAUACAAAUAAAUGAGAUUUUCAGCAAAAGAAAAUUAUUAAUAUUUAAAGAAUACAAAAAAGUUAAAAAUUAAAGAUUAAAUAUAUUUUCAAAAAAAAUAAAGAAUAUAAAUAUUAUUUAAAUAAAUUUAAAAAAAAUUGAAGAAUAUAAAAAUUAAAUAAAUAAAUAACAUAAUUAUUAUUUAAUCAAAUGAAAAUUAAUCUUGUAUAUUACAUUUGGAAAAUAUAUUUACAAAAAAAUUUAAAAUUAAAUAAAUAACAUGGACAAUAAAUUGUUACUUUCAGAUAAUAUUCAAUUAUUAAAUUAUAUAAAAAAAGACAAUUAAAAAAAUAAAAAAAUAAAUAACAUAAUUAUUAAUAAAUUAAUUAUAAAAUAUAUUUAAAAAAACUAAAUAUAUAUAUAUUUUAAAAAAUUAAACUGUUAACAGUCUGAUUAUUAACAGUCGGCCCAAGACUAUUAACAAUCUACUAUUAACAGUUAACAGUCGGCCCAAUUAAUAAAAAUAAAUCUAAAAAUUAAAAAUUAAAUAAUUAUUCAAAAUUUCAAUGAUAAGAAUUAAUGAAAUUCGAUUAAUGAAAAGAAUAUUAUUUAUAAAAAAUUAUUAAUAAAAAUAAAAACGAAAUUUAAAAUUCGAUAAUUAUUCAAAAUUACAAUGACAAGAAUUAAUGAAUUUCGAUUAACAAAAAGAAUAUUAUUUAUAAAAAAAACUAUUAAUAAAACUAAAUAUGAAAUUUAAAUUUAAAAUUAAAAGAAUUAUUAAAUAUUAAAAUUAUAAAAAUUAAUUAAAUUCAAGAAUGAAAAAUUAUUAUUUAUCAAAAAUGAGGAAAUAAAAAUAAAUAUUCAAAUUAAAAUUUAAAUUAAAUAUCACAUUUAAAUUUUACAAAUAAAUAAACUAUUAUUUAUUAAAAACUAAUAAUUAAAAUUAUUUAAAAUGAAAUUCUUAAAUAUAAGUAACUAAAAAAUAAAGGCAGUGGGCCGACCGUAACAAUCGGACCGCUUAACAGUCAAUGGGCUGACUAAACAGUCAGCCCAAAUAAUGGGCCAACUGUUAAUCAGCUCAAAUUAAAAAAAAAAAUAUUAUUGGGCCGAGUCAUGGGCUGAUUGUUAGUCAGUCCAUGACAAUUGGGCCAACUGGCUGUUAACAGUCGGGUGAUUAGGCACCCGACUGUUAACAGCUGAGUUUUCCCCAAAAUGCCGGCUGCAAACGCAGUCGGCAUUUUUUCCGGCUUUUCUCCUCGAAAAAUCUCUAUUUUCGGCGAGAAAAGCUUGCAAAUCUCGAAAUCCACAUAUUAUUCUCCAAUUUAGACUCAUAUUCAUACUUCUACACCUACAUAAUCAAUAUUACAUUUCAAAAACCUCCACAAAUUCAACAUUCACACACAAUAUGAAAAUUAAAACAUUAAUCUGGUUAAUUAACAACUCGAAACUCACCUUAACAAGAAGAAGGUCGCUGGAGAUGAACUGAAAAUGUUUACCGAAUAGCUUUUCCCUGGUUUUAGCUGACUGUAAGCAAAUGGGAAAGUGACCGUCUGAUGGUAUUUUGGGAUUUUGACCUUUAAAAUCAAUUUUCGUUUUUUUUCCUCUAAAAACUGGUCAAAGGCUACUUUGGAACUACACAUGAGUUAUUGGGUCAUUUUCAAUGAUUUCCUCCCCUUUCCUCGUGUUUUCAAAUUUCUACUUCCGAUUUGUACCUUUUUUUUUCUAAUUGACAAAUUAAUUAUAAGUACGUUUAUAGAUAGUAAAUAGAAUAAUUUAAUUUAUAAUUUCUGAUUGGUUAAAAUUUGUAUAUUUUAUUCGAAAGAAUCAUUCAAUUAACUCUAAUAUAUUUUUCCAACUGAAAUUGUCUAAUUUUAGUUCGAAAAAUUUUAAUAUAGUUUCAGUUUAUUAUUUUCAUAUUACCAAUAGAAUUUUAUCAUUAAAAUUUUUUAAUUUAUUUUUUAGGAUUUUGGUUAUUUUGUAAAUUAAAGUUUUAAAAUAAUCUUUAAUUAAUAGUUAGGAUUGAUUGAAAUUAAACGUAUGCUGAAUUUUUAUUUUUAGUUUUGUUCUUUUUUACAACAAGCAAAAAAUAUUGCAAAUCCUUGUUGCAAAACACACUUGCUCGCAACAUUUAAUGAUUGUUGCAAAAGGUUAUAUAGUAAGAAUUUCAACAAUAUGUACUGAACAUUGUUAUAGAACAAAAUUUUAACAAGUUCAAAAAAAAAAAAAAAAAAGAAUUAAAACUUUUACAACAUUCAAAGAACGUUACAAAAAGCUAUAUAUUAAGAGUUUCAACAACGGUUAUUGAAUGUUGUUAUAGAACUAUAUUUUUACAACAUUCAUUAAAUGUUGUGAAAAAUUAAACUUCUUACAACAUUCAAGAAACGUUGAAAAUGGUAAUAUUGACAAAAUGCAAUUAAAAAAAAUAUUGCCAAAGCUUAAUUAAGUUAAUCAAUGGCAUUAUUCACUUAUUAAAAUGUUGCGAUAGACCCAUUUAGCAACAUUCAAUUCACGAGUGUUGCCUUUUGAGUAUCUUAGGGAAGGAUUAGGGAUACAAUAGUAAUAAUUUCUAGAGUUACAGGAGUACAAUUGUCAUUCACGAAUAAACUUACCAUGUACAACAAAAUGGUCUUUUUUUUUUUCCUUCAAUGUGCUCCUAAAAAGGUUUUUAUUGAUAGCAACAAGGUAAGUCGGACGUUCUCUUUUUUAAAUUUUAAGAGGCAGUAAGGAUAUUUUGAUCUUCAUUUUUCGUCCCAUUUAUUUAUUUAUUUAUUUACUUAUUUAUGUAUUAUUAUCUGUUUAAAUUUAAAUUAUAUUCAAAAAAAAUUUUUAAAAAAAUAUUAUGAGUCAUGGAUGGGUCUGUGACAGAGAUCAUGUUUCCCAAGCCCAUCCCUAAUAGGGAUUAUAGAAUUCCUGACCUUCGAUCCACAUCAUGCCCUGUCCCACAUUGUCCUACCUUGAAUAGUAAAUGGGGCGGGAUGCAUAACCUAUAGUCCCUAGUUUCGAAUUUUUAGUACUAUCUCUGAAUCAUUUUUGAUUAAUAUACUUUAUUUUAUUCUUAUGUUCUUCAUUUAAAUCAUAUUAAAAAAUAAAUAAAUAAAUAAAAUGACGAAUGAUGGUUUUUAUGUCUCAACCUACCCUACAUUCUGAAAAUUCGAAACGAAACAAGAAUGAUAUGAUAGCUCCUAUCCAUUGUUAUCCUUAAUUUCAAAUUUCCCGUUGGGCGGAGUAACUUGAAACUGGCGUUUUGUUAAAGAUUUCCUCAAAUAAUUUAGCAGAAAAUAAAAACAAUGAAAAAUAAAUCCACUUUAAAAUAGGGUCAUCUCUAAAAGAUAAAUGUAUUCUCCAUUGAUUCCCAUUUUUCACUUGAAACUCAUCUCUGUAGGAAGGCUAUGAUCCAAUCCAACCUUAAAAUUUCUCAAAUUAUAUUAAAAAAAAAAAUCACCGUACCUUAACUCUACAAAUAAAGUAGAGUUAACUCUACAAAUAAAGUGGAGUGUUGCCCAAAUAUCCAUGGCAGCAGCUACGCAGAGGCAACACUGAUGGUUCGCAGAUGGUGCAACCACAAAGGGCCUCGACAUUAUAGGGACACCAAAAAAUUUUAUUUGUAUAAUAAUUUUAAAAUUUUAAUUUUUUUUAUUAAAAGGACCAUGUUUUAAAAUAUCACACAGGACACCCAAAAUAUUAAGGUCAACCCUACAUCUAAGUACUGCUAUGCAACUUCUCCAUUUCCUAGGUAUUUGAUCAAUAAAAAUAGGGAAUGUGGCUCAAGGGAGUGACAAAAUUAUUAAUAAGAUGAGGCAAAUUAAAGAAACAAACAAAUGUAGGAAGUUGAAAUCUACUUAAGAAACAAAAUGUACUUUCCUAUUAGCCGGAAGGGACAAUAUGACAGAUACCAAAACAAGGCAAUAGCUUAAGAGAUUCAUAGAUUACAUAAUUAUAAGCCAGAAAAAAAUAAACAUUGAUGAUUUAUUGUAGUUGAUAAUGGGGGUUGACUAACGAACCUUAUGUAGAAACUAUAUCAUUCGCAGUCAAACCAUGAUCCCUGAAUUUGAAACGGGCAUAUAACGAUUUGCGAAAGAGAUAAUGGUGUUGGAUUCCCAGUGGAUAACGCACAAGAAGAAUCUGAUUUCCUGCGCACUGGGAUUGAACAUAGCUGCUUUAAAUGUCCCAUUACGAGAGAACAAAAACUCCUAGAAGCAUCUACAGAUUUGAAAUUUGAAGGAGUUAAAUUAGGGUAUGCAAAUUCUUUAAAGGAAAAACCAUAUGCGAGAACCAAUAAUAAGGCUAAAACACACAGAUCUAAUCCAGAUUUUGCCCUAGUCGGCAUGGGUGACUAGCUGUGACAAUUGACUUUGCAGAUUUGACGGCGAGGGGAAAUACAUGAAAUUGACCCAAAUAAAAGAGGCUCUUUUCUAAAAUGGCCCUUGUCUUUUCCAAACAUUUGGAGCUACCUAAAAUACCCUUAGACAAACAUUAAAAACAACCUAUUUCAUAAUAAAAAUCUUCUAUCUAAGUCCUUAAAAAAUUAACAAGUAAUUUUUCUAAAAAUUUGAAAGAAUUAUUAAUCUUUAUGAAUAAUUAUAAAAUGAAAAAACCCAAAUAUAAGAGAGGACCAUAUAAUAUAAAAAAGGUUGUUAAAAAUAAAAAAGAAAUUAAGAUUGGAAAAGAAAUUGAUAAGAUAGGAUAUCAAGAACAAUUAUAUGCAUCACAAGAAGUAUUAAAGUGUUUCAAAGAAAACUUAUUAGAAAAUUUUGCUAAAAGAAUUGUAAGAUCAAUAAUUAUAAAAGAUAUACAAGGUAUCAUAGAUAAAUUAGAAAAAAGGAAGAAAAAUAUCUUAAAAUACGAUAUACCUUUUAGAACAGACAUAGAUAUGAUAAUAGAUGUUGAUAUUAUAAAUUCUCAGACAUUACUAGACUUUGAAGAAUUACUUAAAAAUUUAUGAGAAGGCCAAUAAAAAAUAGAUUACCACAAAGAAUUUUUAGAAUAUUAGAUUUUUGUUCGCUCAUAGUAGCAUCAUCCCGUUGGUAUCAGAGCCAUAGAGAUCAUGAGAAAAUUAUAAAAAUAAAUUACCUAAAAAUAUUGAAAAUAAAUAAAAUUUAUGAUUUUUGAAAUUAUUGAAACUUAUAAAAAUAGACUAAGGUAUCAAGUAAAAUAUAGUUCUAAUAUAAAAGGCUAUAUAGAAGAAGAUAAUAUAGUUGGAACAUAUAGUAAAGACAUAAAAGAAGUAUUAGAAAUUUUUAGAGUAAUUAAAAAUUUACCUUUAGAACUAAAAGAAAAAAUAAUUAAAAAGAUAUUAUUUGAAGAAUAUAAGCAUAUAUAUAUAUUAGAAGAAAUCCAGAGUGAAAUAGAUUUCAUAGUAAUCUAAAAAAAAUAUAUUUUAUUAUGGAAAUCAUAAAAAUAAAUAAUUAUUAUUAAUGUAUUGAAGAAAAAGGAUGUUAUAUAUUUUUCAACCCUAUCCCUAAUAAAUUAAAAAUAAUAACAUUAUAUGUAACUAGGAAUUUACCUAGAGAAAUAAAGGAACAAAUAUUAUAUAAAUUAAUUGUAGGAUUUAUCAAAGAUAGACGUACAUAUGAAAUAAUUAUCGAAGUAUUUGAAAAUGAAUUAUACCAUAGAGAAAUAUUUGAAUCAUCAUAAAGUAUAAUGGAAGAAACUAAAAAUAUUUUGGAAAGAAAGUUAAGAAGAAUAAGAUUAAUAAAUAAUAAAAUUUGAGAUGAAUUAUUAAUACCUGAAGAUAUAACUAAAACUCAAGAAAAACAAAUAUUAAAAUUAAAACAAGAAAGGUAUAAAGAAAAAGCAAGGUAUUAUGAAAAAUUAAAAGAAUUAACAAAUAUUAAAGUUAUAAAACAAAAGUAUGAUAAAAUGAUAAGAGAUUGUAAAAAUGCUGAGUAUAUAGCAUUUUAUUAUUGUCAAUCAAAAAAUCGAUAAAAGAAAAUGUCAAUCAGUGAACAUAUGGAAGAAUUAAAACAUUUAAUAAGAACAUUAAUAAAUGAUGUACAAGAAAUAAAGAAUGAAAUAAAAGAAGCAAGAAAUGAUAUAAAUAUAUUAAAACUUGAAGUUAGAAAAUUAAAAGAAAAUGAAGAAAAGAAUAAUAGGAUAGAUAAAAAAAUUUAUAGAAAAAGAAAUAACCAGAAUAUGAAAAAAACAUAUUGAAAGAGAAAAUAUAAUAAUAGAAACAGGAAGCAUGGAUGAUGAGUUUAGAAAAAAUAUAUUACCUAAAAUAUUAGAAGAAAAUGAAUCUAGAGAAAAAAUGUUAAGUAAACAAAAAAUUAAAGAAAAUCAAGAUAAAGAAAAUGAAUGAAGAAUUAGAUCUACUUAUAGAUAAUUUUGAUCAUUUAAGUUUAGAAAGUAUAGAUGAUGAAUACCAAAAUCUGAAUGAAUACUGGAGGAGGGCCUAAUCCCGUAAGAACCUCUAAACAAGAAUUAAUAGAUCCAAAUGAAAGUUAUGCUCUGAUGUAUAAUAAAUCAUAUAGACAAUUUUAUGAUAAGAUAAGAGAUAAACAACUGUCUAAAGGAAAUAAAUAUAGUAAUAGAUUUGAAUUAAAUAAUAAUUAUGAUAAACCUGUUAACCAUGGAGGAACAAAAUUAGACUUAGAUUGUAAAAUAGAUACUAAGAAAGUUUUAAUAACUUGGGCAGACUCAAUGAUAUUAUUCUUUUUAUAUAAUAAAGAUGAUACAUGGAAAAAUACUAAAAGAAGAAUAGAUUUUUUAAUUGCAUCUUUUGAAAGAAAUGUUAGAAAUUGGUGGGAAUGAAUUAGUAGUGAUACAAAAUUAUUAAUAAAAAGAAAUGUACAAACAGAAAUAAUAAAGUCAGAUAAACUAGGAAUAGAAAGAUUAGUAGAAUAUAUUGCAAAUGAAUUCUUAGGAGAAAAUUGGUUAAGAAAUUAUGAAGAAGAAACAAUACGAGAAAAAGAUAAUGCAAGAGUUAAGUUAAUUAAUUUAACAAUUUGUGAUAUGUGUAAAAUUAAAUAAUAUACUUGUGAAUUCAAGGAUUACUAUUAUAUUCAAUUUUAUAGUAAUGAGAAUCAAGAAAUAUAUCAAGAUAUGUAUUACAAUAAAUUACUAGGAUCAUGGGGAAUAUAUUUUAAAAUAGAAUUUGAAAAAUAUAUUAAAGAAAAUAUAGGAAUACCUAGAACACUAGGAUCAAGAAUAAUAUUCUUAUUUGAAAGACUUGCAUAUAUAUGUCAACAAAGACAAUUAUUGAAAAAAUCAGGAAAAUUAACUAGAAUAUGUUGUGAAGAUAUGGAAAAACCUACAAGAUGGGGAUGUAAUUCUGAAAAAAGAAAUAAAAGAAAGUAUAAAAACAGAAAGUUUAAAAAAUAUAGAAACUUUAAGAAAAAAUACAUAAAACCUGGAAGGAAAUAUUAUUAAAAAAAAUAAUAUACAGAGAAAUAAACCUUAUAAGAAAAAUAAAAAAAACAAUGUAAGUGUUGGAAUUGUGGAGAAAUGGGUCAUAUAAGUCCUGAUUGCGCACAAAAAAAGUGAGAAUAUUACAAAAGGAUUAUUUUGAAAUAGAAAGUGAAUUAAGUAAAAUAUAUGAUAUUAACAUUAUAAUAAUCAGGAAAUAUUUAUAAGUGAAGCAGAUUCAGAAGAUAAUGGAUCAGAAUCUGAAUAGAGAAAUUGAAGAAAUAGAAAAUAAUAACAUAGAAAUCCAAGAAUAUGAGGGAAUGGAAAGUUAUGGAUUAAAAAUAACUUUUGACAAUAAUAAAUUUAAGAAAAUACAAAAGUUAUCCUUAGAUUUGAAAAUAGGAAAAUGGGAAAUUCUAGAUAGAAUAUGGAGAAGAGAAAUAAUAGCAAUAAAUGAAUACCAUAAGAUUGAAAAAACUAUAGAUGUCAAAACAACUCAAAGAACACAUAAAAUAAACAUUUUAACAAAAAGUACAGUAUCAGAAUUAUUAUCAAAAAUAAGUAAAAAAUAUAGUGAAAAGAUCCAAUAUGUUUAUUUAGCAGGAAUAUAAAUAAUGUUUAAAUCUUUAUUUAGGGAAGGAAUAGAUUCACCAUUAAUUGUAAGUUUACAUGAUGGAAGAAUUAUAAAUUUUGAAGAUGGUCAUUUAAGAACUAUAGAAGGAAAUUUAGCAUAUCAAAAGUUAAUAUUUACUUGUUCCCCAAAAUAUUGUGUCUCAUUGAAAGAUAAAAACUUUAAUGAAGUCUUAGGAUUACAUUUCAAAUUACAUAGAAAUGAUAUAAUGGAAUCAAGAGAUCAAAUUAUGAUUAUGGAAUAUAGAGCAUUAUAUACAUUUACUAAUUCUAAUUAUGGGAAUAUUUAUUCCAAUAAACCAUACAUAGAAAUUCAUAAGGAAUGCAAUGAUAUUGGUAGAAUAGUGAAACCAAACAAACAAAUAAAUCUUAUUCCAAAAGAAUAUGAAUUUAAUAUAACUAAAAAUAAGCCUGAAAUAACAGAGUUAAGAGAAGAAGAAGAUUAUAAAAUAAUAUUUCACAAUGGAAGGUUGAUAAAGAAAUCAAAAAGCCUUAAGACUACCGAAUAAAAAAGAAUAUUUGGGAGAAACUAGUGGUAUAAAAGAAAUAAAAUCUCAUGGAAAUAUUGGAAAUAUGAAAAUAGAAGGAAAAUAUUUCAACGGUAGAAGGUAUAUAAAAGGACCAAAUAUAUUGAUAAAUACAGGAGCUGGUGAAUGUUAUAUGGCUGCAAGUAAAAAUGAAGGAUUAAUGACUUACAAGAUAGAACCAUAUGAAUAUAGGAAUUUUGAUGAACAACUAUAUAUUACAGAAUUAAAGGUAAAGGUACCAAUAAAAAUAGGCGGGAUUGAUUUAUUAGUACCAUGUUAUUUGGUUGAAAGUAUGGAUAUUGAACCUCAUAUAUUAUUAGGAAUGAGUUUCUUAAAUGGAUUAGAAGAUUAUAGUAUAAAAAGAGAAGGCUUAGAUAUAACUCAUAAAGGACAAACUACAUUAUGUAAAAUAGGAAGUAGAUGAGUAAUCAAAUAAGUUUUCCAUUGGCAGUAUAUAUACAAGUUACUAUAGUAGAAACAAACAUAACAACUUGUGCCUUAAUUGAUAUAGGAAGUGAUAUAACAAUUUUCAAAAAUUUCUUAAUAAAAUCAUGGAAUAAAAAUAGUAAAAUAAAAAUAACAGGAGUGACUGGAGAAAGUACUCAAAUAAUUGAUAGUGCUAAAAAAAUUAAUAUAAUACUUGGUAUUAAACAAGUUAUAAUAAAUAAAGUAUACAAUUAUAAUAACCUAGAAUGUGAUAUAUUAUUAGGAAAUGACUUUAUCCAACAAUUUCAAUACUAUAAACAAAAUAAUUACAUGAUAAUGUUACAAAUACCUUGUGACAUCUAUUAAAAAUAUCAAGAGAAUUUAGAUCCUAGAGAGUUCAGCCAGCCCAGCGUGGUGAUAAAUGGGAAAAACGACCAAUAGUACAAGAUGAACUAAAAAAUAAAAAACUAUCAUAUAAAAAGAUCCUAAAAACAGAAAUAGAAAUAAGUAUGGAAAAAAUUAUAGAACAAUUAGAAAAGAUUUAUGGAGAAAACCCAUUAUUAUUUUGGAAACAUAUUAUCCUAAAACUAAAAUAGAAUUAACAGAAAAUGUUAUAAUAAGAGUUAGUCCAAUGAUGUAUACCUUACAAGAUAUGCAAGAAUUUAAAAUUCAAAUAAAAGAACUAUUAGAACAAAAAUUAAUUAGACCCAGUAAUUGACCUCAUAGUAGUCCAGCUUUUAUGGUUAUAAAACAUUCUGAGCAGAUUAGAGAAAAAGCUAGAAUGGUAAUAAACUAUAAGGAAUUAAAUAAAUAUACUAAAUUUGAUGGUUACUUUUUACCAAAUAAAAAAGUCCUAAUAAAUCUUGCAAAAGGAAAACAAUAUUAUUCCAAUUUGAUUGUAAAUCAGGAUUUUGGCAAAUAAAAAUGGAAGAAGAUAGUAUAUAAUAUACAGCUUUUAGUACACAUCAAGGAAAAUAUGAAUGAUUAGUUAUGAAAUUUGGUUUAAAAAAUGCACCACAAAUAUUUCAAAGGAAAAUGGAUAAUAUAUUCAAAAAGUUUAGUGAUUUUCUUAUUGUUUAUAUAGAUGAUAUACUAAUAUGCUCUAAUAAUAAAAAAGAACAUAGGAAUCAUUUAUUACAAUUCAUAAAUGAAUGCAAAAAGGAAGGAAUUGUACUUUCUAAAAAGAAAUCUAUAAUCAAGAAUAAGAAAUAGAUUUUAUGGGAUUAUCAAUAGAUAGAAAAAGAAUAAAAUGACAUACUCAUAUAUCUAAAAAGAUAGAAAGCUUUCCAAAUGAAUUAAAAUCCAAAGAAUAAAUAAAAAAAUUUUUAGGAUGUUUAAACUAUGCUAAAGGAUUUAUUGAAAAUCUCUCAAAAAAGAGACAUAAGAUACAAAUUCUACUUAGGAAAACAAAUACUAAAGGUAACAAAGAACAUACUGAAAUUGUUAAAUCAUUAAAAGAAGAAUGUAAAAAUUUAUCAAAAUUAAGGUUACCAGAUGAAAAAGAUAAUCUAAUUGUUAAUACUGAUGCCUCAGAUAAAUAUUGGGCAGUUAUAUUAAAAACAGAUUUAAAUGAAAUAUGCAGAUAUUCAAGUGGAACUUUUAACCAAGCAGAAAUAAAUUAUACUACUCAUGAAAAAGAAUUGUUAACAAUUAUUAGAGGAAUAAAAAAGUUUUCAUUAUUCCUUUUAUCUAAAAAAUUUAUUGUUGAAACUGAUAAUUCUCAUGUUGUAGGACUUAUUAGAAAUAAGUUACCUAUGGAAUCUCAAUAUAAAAGGUUACACAGAUGGCAAGCAUAUUUAUCAUUCUACAAUUUUGAUAUUAUUCAUAUUAAAGGAAUAAAUAACUAUCUUGCAGAUUUUUUGAGCAGGAAUAUCGAAUUUGGAGAUGGAUAAUAUCAAAAAUUUAUUAAUAGACGUCAACAGACGAAUGAAAUUCCUCAUGGAAGAAUCAGAAGAUAUGAAAAUUGGAAUUGAGCAAUUAGAGCAAAUGGCAGAAUCUAUCCAACAAAAUGUCAAAUUGUUGGUGGAAAUCUCUAAUUCUCAUUCCAAAUAUACCAAAGAAUUGAAUGACAGAAUUGUUGAUAUUACUUCACAAUUCGAGUCAUUAAAUACCAAACAAGAAAUACCAAUUGAUACAAUCUAAAAAAUACAAACAGGUACGCAGCAAGGAAGCAGCAAUAGACCCAGCAAUAUCAAACGAGAUAUAGCAAGUCCCCGGAAGGUAACUAUAAAAAAUGGUGAUGAGCAUAUAAGAGUUAUCAGAAUCAAAACUGAUGAAGAUGAUGAUACCCCUUUAUCAUCAAAAGAAGAAGAAUAUAGAUCAUUUGCCAAACUUGUUCAUGAAUUGGAAGAAAAUGAAUCAUAUUUUAUUGCAUCAGGAGAUCAUGUUUAUCCCAGAUUAAUAAUUAUCAAAGAUGCAGACCCUUUCAUGGUCAAAAUGGCGACAGAUUAUGAAUUUCUUGAUUUGAUCUAUCCAGUAAAAGAUUUAAAAGAAAUUGAAAAAUUUGAUGAUAUAUUCAGGGCAGAGGUUUCAAAAUUUGUCCAAGGGAGAUCGAUUUAUAUCAAAUUUUAUUCAAUAAGUCCCGAGGUUGAUGGAAGGAUAUAUUAUCCUGCUGAACAUAUUAUCACAAUUGGAUAUGUUGGCCGAGAUUUUCGUAUUGAAGUUGGCCGAAAUAAUAAACUAUUGCCUAAAAUCAAUAAAUCAUGGAUAAAAUCCCAAAGAGUUUUGGGGAUGAAAGUUCUUUAUAACAUUGCAAAAAACUUAUAUGAUAAAAAAUUCAGAUGCUUGUGUCAAUAUGAAGGAUGGACACUCCUUACGAAUAAUGGAAAAGAAAAAUCUACUAUUUUGAAAGAAUAUAUCUAGAAAUUUGAUACUCAUCAAAUGAAUGGAAGUUCUACAACAAUCCAAGAAUCAUGUAGAUUGAGGGAGUGCCCCACACGCAGACAAGAUUAAAAAGAUUGACAAAAGAUGAAUGGAAGGGGACCUACCACUACCAAAGCAUCUAGCCAGCUGCAUAUGGAGCCAAAGAUGGAGAGACAAUAAUAGAGGAAAAGAUGUCCCUUUGAUGAAAAAGCAAAAAAUGCAUGUGAAAAUGUAGACCCCAGGAGGAAAAGAAUAGAGAGGCAUGCGAGCCUUUUCAAAUUCUGAUGUAUGCAAUGAUGUAAUAGACCAAUAAUAGCAAGUUUGAGUCAUGUAUAAAUAGAGGUCUUUGGGGAAAGAAUGGAUCAUCUCGAAUUAGAAACCAUUCUCUUUCCUUAAACUUUCUUUAAAACCAAUUUUUCUGGAAACCCCUUGUAUACAAUAGAAAUCUUGUAUAAAUCAUUAUAGAAAUAAAAUCUCAAUCUUUUGAUAUCAGAAAAAUAUGAGUUUUUAAACUUCAUAUCCCAUAGAUUCUUGACAGAUUGAAGAAGAUAAUCUCUUUCUUACUUUAACAAAGGGGGAAUUUUCUUUACUUAAAAUCCUUAUUCUUAAUUCUAAGAAAAGAUACAGUGAGGGUAGGAAGCUGAAAUAGCAGAAUUUCCAUUAAGGCAAAAGACCGUUUGAGGGAGCAGUUUGCAGAUUCAGAGCCUGAAAGUCACUCAGUUCUAAGAAUACAAAUUUAAGAUCAUAAGUAAGGUAAAAUUAUUGUCUUUGUUAAAUUUAGAAAGAAUUCUUCUAAUAUCUUGAAAGAAUCGUAGGGAUUAUUACUUUUCAUGUUUGCAAAAAAUUUAUCUAUCAUGUUAUUAUUCAUAAAGCUUGUAAGGAAUUAUCUAAAUGAUACCAGGCUAUACAAUUAAAGGAUUAGAUAAUCUGUUAGAAAGACUGUUAGAAAAAAUAAAAAAUAUUUUUUCUCAACUAGAGACUAUGGAUAUAUCAUAUAAGGAAUAUGAUAAUCUUAAAGAAUUAUAUGACAAUUAUAUUACAGAUUAUACUAAUUUAUUAGAUCAAAAGAUGGAACUAUAUAUUAAAAUUCGAAACGAGAGAAAUAGAAGAAUUUUGGAACUAUUCCAAUAAAUUAGGAUAUUUUGUGCAAAAUAUGGCAAGCCAUUUCAUUAAGGGUAUUAUAGACAUUUUGGCAAAAAUGAAUAACGAUAGGCCAUUUAGAAAAAUUCCUCGACGGCGAGAGUAGAGGAAGAAGAGAUAUUAUAUUUGUCUUAAGAGAUUAGGGCUUCCACUUCCCCUUUCCUCUUGUUUUCAAAUUUCUACUUUUGAUUUGUACUUUUUUUUUAAUCUAAUUGACAAAUUAAUUAUAAGUAUGUUUAUAGAUAGUGUGUAGAAUAAUUUAAUUUAUAAUUUGUAAUUAGUUAAAAUUUGUAUGUUUUAUUCGAAAGAAUCAUUCUAUUAACUUUUAGGGUCAGUUUCAUUGUAAAGAUGAAAUUUGGAUGGAAAGAAAAUGAAUUUCAGGAAAUUGAAUUGUCUAGAAAUUAUUUUAUUGGGAAUUAUCAAUUAUUGUGUUUGAUUGAUAUAAUUUUUUAUGUGAAAAAUGUUAAAAUAAAAGUAUUUUUUGAUGUUCGUUUGACAUUAUUUUACAUAAAAAUUGUCAAUUAAAGGGAUAAAAUUUAUUGGUAUUGGUGAUAGAAUUUGUUCCUCUUGCCCAAAAAAAAAAAAAAAAAAAAAAGGGGCAAAAAAAAAAAUUAUUUUUUGGGGUNNNNNNNNNNNNNNNNNNNNNNNNNNNNNNUCAUCUAUCUUUUGGUGUUCAUUUGCUUUUGUUUUAUAUGGAAAUUAUCAAUUAAAGAAAAAUAUUUUUUUACAAUUAAUGAUAGAAUUUGUUUUCAAUGCCAAAAAAAUAAAAAAUAAAAAAUAAAAAUUGGCAACUUACCUAGAAAACCAAUUCCCCCCAUUCCUUGAAAACUAAGAAAAGUCCACUUUUCAAAAAAAACCAAGCAAAUGAAUUACAUGGAAAAUAUUUGCUAUCAAACACUAUCAAAAGGUGGAAAAUAGACAAAAUUUUCCAUUUUCCAUGGAAAAGAUGCCCAAUCAAACAAGGCCUUAAUAUAUUUUUCCAACAGAAAUUGUGCAGUUUUAGUUCGAAAAAUUUUAAUAUAGUUUCAGUAUAUUAUUUUCAUAUUACCGAUAGAAUUUUAUCAUUAAAAAUUCUUAAUUUAUUUUUUAGGAUUUUGGUUUUUUUUUAAAUUAAAAAUUAAAAAUAAUCUUUAAUUAAUAGGUAGGAUUGAUUGAAAUUAAACGUAUGCUGAAUUUUUAUUUUUAUUUUUGUUCUUUUUUACAACAAGCAAUAAAUAUAGCAAAUCCUUGUUGCAAAACACACUUUCUCUCAACAUUUAAUGAUUGUUGCAAAAUGUUAUAUAGUAAGAAUUUCAACAAUAUGUACUGAGCAUUGCUAUAGAAUAAAAUUUUAAACAGUUCAAUGAACAUUGCUAAAGGAAAAAAAAAAAGAGAAGAAUUAAAACUUUUGCAACAUAAAAAUAAAUAAAUUAAAACUUUUGCAACAUUCAAAGAACGUUACAAAAAGCUAUAUAUCAAGAGUUUCAAAAACGUUUAUUGAACGUUGCUAUAGAACUUUAUUUUUACAACAUUCAUUAAACAUUGCGAAAAAUAAAACUUCUUACAACAUUCAAGAAACGUUGAAAAUGGUAAUAUUGACAACAUGCAAUUAAAAAAAAAUAUAUUGCCAAUGCUUAAAAUUAAAUUAAACAAUGGCAACAUUUUUUACUUUUUAAAAUGUUGCAAUAAACCCAUUUAGCAGCAUACAAUUCACGAAUGUUGCCUUUUGAGUAUUGCAAAAGGCUAUUUUAAUUGUAGUGAAAAUUCGUGAUAUGUAUAUAAAAAUUCAUAUGUCAUUAAAUUAAUUUCGGUACACGUGAUAAAUGAUCAUACUUAAAAAAAUUAUUACCUUCACUAAACUUUGAAAAAUUAAGCUUUCGGACUGAUAACGUAUUAUGAAAAGAGAUAGAAAGAGCAGGGAGAAUAAAAGUCAAUAGACUUGUAUGUAUUAUAAUAAGAACUAGAGUCAUGUAUUCAUAAAGAAGGAUUAUGGAUACAAUGAUAAUAAAUUCUAGAUUUACAGAGGUACAAUUGUCAUUCACAAAUAAAACUUACCAUUUACAACAAAAUGGUUUUUUUUUCCUUCAAUUUGCUCCUAAAAAGGUUUUUAUUGAUAGCAACAAGGUAAGUCGGACGUUCUCUUUUUGAAUUUUAAGAGGCGCGUAGGACAUUUUGAUCUUCAUUUUUCGUCCCAUUUAUUUAUGUAUUUACUUAUUUAUAUAUUAGUAUGUGUUUAAAUUUAAAUUUUAUUCAAAAAAAAUAAAAAAAAAAUAUGAAUCAUGGAUGGGUUUGUGAUAGCGAUCAUGUUUCCUAACCCCAUCCCUAAUAAGGAUUAUAGAAUUCCUGACCUUCAAUUCACGUGGCGCUUUCCGUCCCACGUUGUCCUACCUUGAAUAGUAAACGAGGCGGGAUGCAGAACCUAUAGUCCCUAGUUUCGAAUUUUUAGUACUAGCUCUGAAUCAUUUUUCAUUAUUAUAUUUUAUUUUAUUGUUAUGUUCUUCAUUUAAAUCAUAUUUAAAAAAAUUUAAUUAAAUAAAUAAAAUGAUGAAUGAUGGUUUUUUAUGUCUCAACCUACCCUACAUUCUGAAAAAUUGGAACGAAACAAGAAUGAUAUGAUGGCUACUAUCCAUUGUCAUCCUUAAUUUCACAUUUCUUGUUGGGCGCAGUAACUUGAGGCUGGAGUUUUGUUAAAGAUUCCUCAAAUAAUUUAGCAAAAAAUAAAAACAAUGAAAAAUAAAUCCACUUUAAAAUAGGGUCAUCUCUAAAAGAUAAAUGUAUUAUCGAUUGAUUCCCAUUUUUCAGUUGAAACUCAUCUCUGCAGGAAGGCUAUGAUCCAAUCCAACCUUAAAAUUUCUCAAAUUCUUUUAAAAAAAACUUUUUUCACCGCAUUUUUAACUCUACAAUUAAAGUGGAAUAUAUUUCAAAUGACAGAAUGAAACUUAAUUGAAGGAACUCGUUUUAACAAUAUUUGCAGUGAACCAUAAAUUUGAUCAUGGGCCACAAUUGCAUGACUAUUUGUUUGAACUCAUGAAGUUCGUUCUAUAAAUCAUGAUAAAGAAUUCAUCUAGCGACAAAGGCAUGCUUUGGAUCAACGAAGCUUCUUUCUUAGCUAAGAGUCUAUAGCAUUUGUUUUUCAAUAAAAAGUGUGUACAAUUUGAUCAACUCGUCAAUAAAUAUUCCAUACAAGUCUUCAAUUCGACGUAUACGCCUUUUAAAAUUGUAUUUAGUCAUAAUUUUAUGUUCCAAGCAAAUAAUUUUAUGAUUUAUUCUUCUCAAUAUUAGGAUUUGGGGUCAACAUUGUUAAGAAGGACAGCUCAAACUUUUAUAAGUUGGUCUAUGUUUUCAUCUUUUUUCGAUAUGAAAUUUUAUCCCUUGACAAUCAAGUUAUUAGUAAGUUCUGGAUCCGUAAAAUGAAACCUUAGCAUGUCAUUAAGAAAUCCAUUCGUUAAUAGGAUUCAAUUAAGCUACUGUUGCCAAUUACGAGUUGAUACAUGGUUAAAUGACAUUCAAACACUUGAUAUACUUGAUAACUUGUUAAACUGUUGAUAUAGGUUGCAGUUUGAGAGUUCUGAAGUAGUAGAACGAUAUAAUGACCACUUUUCGAGUAUUAUUGACAUUAAUAUUUUUCUUAACUUCCAAUGAAUUUAAAUGAAUAAAUCUAGAGAUCAUAGUAAAUAUGAGGCUUAAGGAGAAUUUGCAAUGAUUUCAGCUACGUUUGAAAAGUCAAUAGGGUCAAAUUCAUCAAUGACAACCCAACUUUAUUUAAAUAAAUUCACAUAUUCGACGUUAAUUUUAAUAUUUAAAUAAAGUGAUCAUUUGACAUCUUACUAGUGCUACCAAAGAACGUGUGAACCAUAAUAUUAAACACAUCUGAUUUGUUUAUUGUACAAUGUAAAUGGAUAUAAAGACUUCAAGGGGCAUCGCAUAACAUAUUCAAAGUUUCCAAAUAAAUAAAGUCAUCAUGUCCUCAACUCGUCAAAAAGUUAAUACCUUUAAGGUAUCUGCCAAAGAAAGGCAUGAAAAUUGACACCCCCACUAUCUAUAUACACCAUUUGACACUUACCUUAACGAUUAAGAAUAUGUCUAAUCAUCAUUUACUAAAACUCAUAAAUAUGUUUGUGAGUUUCAAAUUUUAUUUUCAAUCAUACAUUUCAUUGAAUUCACAACUUUUUAUCCUCUUUUCUAUCAAGCCUGACCAAAGCCACUUAGGUAACAGCCCAAGGCCUUGGAUAUUCGAUGGAGAAUAAAUCUCCCUGUCCCGGGUUGGGGACAUGGAGGAAGGGUUGGGGACAGGGAGGAAGACAUGCGGCGCCCCUGUCCCUAACCCUGUCCCCAACUCGGGACAGGGAGCAGGGCUCUUCGAGGGACCUCAAAAAUAAACAAUUUGUUCUCUGGUUCUUGCAGAAAGUGGAAAUAUAUCUUGUUAUUGCACAAUGCAUAUUAGUGCAUGACAAGAAUGACGUGUAUGAUUUGCCAAAGAAAUGAAGGUACUUUCCUUGGUUUCCUCCUUCUGCUUUAUUUCCAGUCGUCAUCCAUUUACCAAUAUGAGUUGAUUUCCUUUCCUAGAAAAUAUGCUCAUGCCAAUUUCCUAAAUUUGUGGAUUUAAUUGAAACCCAAAAAAGUUUGACCAUAUUUUCUUACCUUCAUUUCAAUCCAUGAGAAUCUUUGUCAAAUCUUUAAUUUGUGGAAUCACACACAUUGAAAGAACAUUUUAGUCCAACCUAUCUUUUCCGUUCAAUCUCAUCUUUGCAUUGACAUACAUUAUGUGUUGGUUGGACAAUACUGGAGAUUAUAAAAUAAAAUAUUAGACAGCAUUAAAGAAUAAACAACUAUCACAAAUUCACGGCAUAUUUAAAAGAUGCUGCCAAAGAAAUCCAUUUUAAGGAGCUUUUAAUCACUUCCAAACAAGCUUUUAGCUCUGAACAUUUUUCAUUAGCUCGAUUUAUAGUACUAAUUAAACAAUAAAAAGACGUUAAAAUUUUUUCCAUAGUAAUCUACAUUUUUGUCCAGCACUAAGCAUGGCUCCUAAAUAUGAUAGUAAACAUGUGGGCCUUUCCUGUUUAAUAGGAAUCCUCAUCUGAGUAUGUUUCCUCAAGGAUCAAUAGACAAUAGCUAGUUUUUUUUUCACAUUUUACUCAAACUCGUGUAUUUCAUGUUGAACUGCCUCAUAUAGAAAUUCCGAGAGAUUAAGUUAUGAGAAAAAAGUUAUGUUUAAGGGCGAUGUAUUUACUAAUAUCAUACCAGAGGGCCUCAUCAUAAUUAUUUGCUAGCCUUGAGAACCUGACCCCAAUAGCCCCUUUUCUACGAACCACCUUGGUGAGCCUUUCUUCGUCAACGAAUCUAGUUCACAGAUUCGCCUCAUUUUCUCCAUCAACAAGCCUAGUUUGCAGCUUUGCCUCACCAAGUGACUCCAACGAGGUACAUCAACGAGCCUGGAAGUUGUUACUAUGUAGAUGAAUAUGUGGAUCCCUAGAUUCUGACAUUUGCUCAGCAUCUUAGCACUUUGAGGAUGACAGUAUUCAAGCAGCCCAGUUUCACACCUAACAACUUGUUAAGCAAGAGGAAACCUCUUUCAAUGUGGAUGAGGAAUUUAAUUCAGCAACAUAGGUGGUGUACUCUAAGCUGCCUGCAAGGAGCCACGAUCUGAAUUUCUAGAGAGCAUGUUGAAACCAAUACUGAUCUCGGCAAGUUUUAAUAAAUAUUUUGGGUUUCCUUCCGACUCCCAUGACCAGUCCCUCCAUUGUGGCACAAUUCUGGUGCCUGUCCCGCACCAAGAGUGCCUCAACAGCCGAAGCUGGAGGUGAGGGUGCGUUGGAGCUGCCUCGACAAUAGUUGCUAGAGGCUGGAGGUUGCGGUGUACCCAGAAGCCUCAAAAGUCAUAGUUGGAGGUUGAAUUUUGGUUUAGACAAUUUAUCUAACAUCUCAUGGACGAAGUAGCACUGAGAUUUUAUGAGAACAAACAAAGGCUGCCUCUAAUUCCGUGCUCAACAUAAUAUCCCAAUUAUGCUCGUUUUAGAAUAUCUGCGUAGUGCGUCCUACGUAGGCGAAAGACAAGGAAGAGACAGUAUUCAUAACGAUGGAGAGGUGCCCCCUGGUUCAAUGCGAGGCUUAAUUGAAUAUCUCCAGUAUUUGAGAAGAAUCUAAAAGACUUUCAUACAGCAGGAGGCGGCCCAAGGCUCUUACCACCAAUGCAGGAAGAUUUGCAGCCAUCGGAAGCGACUACCACUGCGCCUGCCUCUACGGCAUUCAUCGGAUGCUACGGGAGCCUUGGUGGCGGUGAGAGCACUGGGGCCAGAUCUUGACCAAUGGGGAUCGAGAUCGAGUGGCACAUAGGUCGCAAUGCUGCUGCGACUACGAGAUGUCGUAGCUGGACUAUUUUAACGACAAUGGCUUGAGGCUUACGCCGUGGAGAUGCAGUCCACGAACUGCUGCUUAGGCUUGAAGACUUUGAAAACGGGAAAAUGAAAGUGAAAGUUCUAUAACUUUUAAGUUUUUAUUUUUCAUUUAGGGGGUGUUUGAGAGUCAUUUGUAUGUAAAAAUGUAUUUUAGAAUAGUAAUUUGAUGGGAAAUGUAUAGUUGAAAAAUAAGGAAAAAAUUUUGAUUUACGUGUUAUAUUAUUUUAAUAAAGAAUGUGUAAUUGAAAAGAAGAGAGAAAAAAUACAUUUUAGAAAAAAAUGGGUACCAAAUGGGGGCUUAAUUUCCCUUAUUCUGGCCAAGGGCUCAAUUUGUAAAUUGAAAAGUAAAGAGCCAUUGGACACAUUAUUAAUUUAGUGGGUUAGCGACGAAAUUAUGCCAUUCUAUAUUUUAUUAAAUAGCGUAUAACAACGUAUUUUUUCAUUAUAUUUCAAAUAAAUAAAUAAAUAAGUACGAAAAAUAUAUUUCCCUAAUUUCAAAGUAGAGAAACAAAAUUUUUUGACGUAAAAUAUUAUCAAGGACGAAAUGUAUUAAUUAGGGCUUGUUUGAGCCACAUUAUUUUCAAAAAAAUACAUUAUUUAAUAGUGAUUUGACAUCAUUUCAACCAUAAAUUUUUCAAUAAAAUAAUAUUACACGUAAAUUUAAAACUUUUCAUUAUUUUUUAACCAUACAUUUUUCAUCGAUUUGACAUGAAUAAUGCAUUUUUCCUAGAAUGUGGCUCAAAUAUGGGCUUAAUUAAAAAGUCGAAUAUAAGAGUUUGACGAAAAAAAUUGCAAUAAUAAGCAAAAAUUAAGAACCUUAACUAUAAUUAAAAUGUAGUGUAGCUAAUAAAAAUUGCAAUACCAAUAUUACCGUCCUAAAAUAAAACUUGGCAUCCCUUAGUAGAGACAGAAAAAAAUGAACAAACCACUCGAAAGGGUUCUUUCAUCCUAUCCGAAACUUUAAGAUAUGUUUUUUUAUAUGCUAGCAGAAAUAUAAUACAAAAGAGGCAAAUAAUAGAAAUUUACUACUUUAAAACAUAAUUGUUCUUUCCAAGUACCUAUAUUUAAUUAUCCGCAAAGGGCCAACUGAUUCAAAGCUCCAAAUUUGCAUAUGGCUUAAAUUUGCUGAAUUUGUUCUAUCUCCUACAAUUCUAAGUCUGCUUCAUCAACAAUGUUUGUUGUUGUUGUUGUCAUAAAUAUGGUAUGAACAGGAAUCAUUGGCAGCACAAGUUGAACACUCAGCUUAAAACUCCUCCACGUGCCAGAGAUAUAAACAGUGCAUAAGAAGAGCAGCAUAAUUAUGGAGUAGGUAUACCAAAAGAUAUCUCGUGGGAAGAAUUAGGGGUGUAAGCGAUCCUAUUUUACCGAUUUUUGACAGAUUUUCAAACCAAACCGGUUUGAAAGAAACCCAAACUUAAACCAAACCAUUUUAAACGGUUUGAAAAAAACUCAAACCUAAACCUAACGGUUUGGUCUGAUUUUAAACAGCCGAUUUCGUCAUAUAUAUUUUUUCCGUCUACUUUUAUAUCAUUAAUUCAUUGAAUUAAAUAUAUAUUUAUAUCUUACUAGUAAUAAAUCUAAGACAAACUAAACCCCUGUUUGAACCAAAUUUCUGGAACAAAAAAAUGAAAAUUUGGAUCAUUAUCCCACAAGUCCAGCCUCCUUUGUUGACCUGUUAUUUCAUGUGUGGGACCCAGCCUCCUCUCCAACGAUCAAUUUUCUUGUUACGAUGAUAUGGAAAAUAUGGCUCAAACGAGACUAAAUAUAUCUACUAUAAAUUUAAAUACCAACUAGAUCAAAGAAAAAUUACAAUAAACUAAAACGUAGUUUUUUUUUUUUUGUUCAUCUUUUUUAGGCUAAUAACGAUAUAAUAAUGUUACAGUACAAGUCUAUUAAAUUAGAUAUAAGGGCCAAAAAAUAUAAUGAUGUUCAAUAAGACCUCUUGAUCAUCAUAUCUGAAUAAAGGAUACUGAUUAGACAAAGAGAAUAACCAACCACAAUAAUAAAGCAAUUGUUUAUAAUAUCUAAACAUAACAAUUACACAAGUUUACGUUUGUUUGAUGUUACGAAACGCAUUUAAUUUCAGAUUCUUACCUUAAUUUGUUCCAAAAAAAAUUAUUGAUCUGAAACUUUAUUCGUAGCAAAUAUUAUCACCGAAUGUUUAGGAUCUCUUUGUCUCGGAUUUGGUAUAAUAGAUUACUAUUCAACUUUGAAGAGGCGUGAAAAAUCUAAAAAAGAAGUGUGUGGUGCCGAUGGCUCAAGACUGUGUUGGAUGUCGGCUGGGAGUUCAUUUAAAUUUUGAAGAGGAAAAUGACUUUUGAUAAAUUAUGUUAGUCUUGAGAUUAUUAUAUAUAUAUAUAUUAGGAUUAUUGGAUGAUAAUAAUAAUAAUAUAUCUGUAUUAGAAAAUUAGAAAUUGACUAAAAUACCCACAAAUGACAAAACUAUUAAAUUUUACAUAUUUGGAUGAAUUUCCAAAAAAAUUCAUUUCUUCAUUUUUUUUAUUUUUAUAUAUUUUUUCGCCGGUCCGAUUUGGUUUUAAACCGCAAUUAAAAUUCUCAAACCUAAACCAAACCAUUUUGACCGGUUUGGUUUGGGUCAAAACCAUUUCGUUGAUCGGGUUCACGUGGCACCAAACCGACGGUUUAUAAAAUGCGAUUUCGAUUCAAUUUUUCGAUUUGUCGAUUUUUGCUUACAGCCUAAGAAGAAUAGUGAGGCCAAGAAACAAACCAAUAGGGAAAGAGUAAUUCUUGACUUGAAUGCGUAUGUAUCCCCUAUCAACUUGAGGUGUCAAUGAGAUUUCAUGGAAACAUCCACUAGUGUGAAAAUGAAAACAGUUUCAGAAAAAAAUGGAUGUUUCCAUGAAACUUCCAAUUUUCUUAUAUAUAGGGAUAUAUCAUGCUGCUCAAUGCAAGCAUCAUUAAUGAAAACAGUUUCAGAAAAAAAUGGAUGUUUCCAUGAAACUUCCAAUUUUCUUAUAUAUAGGGAUAUAUCAUGCUGCUCAAAGCAAGUAUCAUCUUCAUAUUCAAUUCAUCACUUCUCCUUAAUUUCUCUCUCUAACCAAAAUCCAAGCAUUCUGCAAUCUAUCCAACCAAAAACCAAGAAUUCUUCAAUUCAUCACUUCUCCUUAAUUUCUCUCUCUAACCAAAACCCCAAGAAUUCUGGAAUUCAUCACUCUCUCAAACCAAAAACCAAGAAUUCUGCAAUUCAUUACCUCUCCUUAAUUUCUCUUUCUUAACAAUCUUUCAGGUAAGAAUAAUGUCAUACUUUGAUCUAAGACACGCUACCCCAUUAGUUGUAAACAUACUGAAAUCAUCUAUAGCCAUGCCUUGGGAAUGGGAUCCAUUUGGUAUAGUAAUUGAAAACUUCACAUGGGUCAAGUUUUGGCUUCUCACUAGCUUUUUUCUUUCUCUUCUCCUUCAUCUCCAUUGAAAUCCCAUUGGCAUCUCAAGUUGAUAUGGGAUGCAUACGCAUUCAAGUCAAGAACUACUCAGUUUCCCUAUUGGUUUGUUUCUUGGCCUCACUAUUCUUCCCACAAGAUGUCUUUUGGUAUAUCUACCCCAUAAUUAUGCUGCUCUCUUUAUGCACUACUUGUAUCUCUAGAAUAUGGAGGAGUUUUAAGCAAAAUGUUCAACUUCUGCUGCCAACAAUUCCUGUUCUUAACAUAUAUAUGACCACAACAAUAAAUAUUGAUGAGGAACCCGACUUAGAAUCGCAUGAGAUUGAACAAAUUCAGCAAGUUUAGGCCAAAUGCAAAUUUGAAGCUUUGAAUCAGUAAUUAACUAUAGUUAUAUGGAAAGAACUAUAAUGUUUUGAAGUUGUAAAUUUUUGUUAUUUGCCUCUUUUGUAUUACAUUUCUGUUAGCCUAUAGCGAAUAUAAUUAGAGCAAAAAAACGUGUUUUAGAUUUUCAGAUUUUUUUUAAUUAUUUUUUUGCCUCUAUCAAGGGAUGUCAAUUUAUAUUGGUACUAUAAUUUUGAUUAGUUGCACUACAUUUUAAUUGUAGUUCUCGUUAUAGCAAUCAUUUUCUUAAUUUUUUUCAUCAAAUUUUUAUCUUCAACUUUUCAUUAAUUAAUACAUUUUGUCAUUAAUGAUGAUUUACUUCAAAUAUUUUGUUCUAUGCUUUGAGAUGACGAAAAAUAUUUUUAGUACUUAUAUAUUUAUUUAAAAUAUGAUAAAAAAAAAAAGUCAUCGUACGCUAUUUAUUAUAAUAUAGAAUGACAUAUAUACCGGUUUGGAUCAAUAACGUUCACUUCAAUUUUCUACUUUUCAAAGUCUUCUAGCAUGAGCUGGAGAUUUUGCAGUCGACUGCAUCAAGCCUCAGGCCAUAGUCGUUAAAACAGUUCAAUUACGACAGGGCUACAUGCCACUCCAUAAAGAUCUGAACACUGGGCCAAGAUCUGGCACCGGUGCUCCCACCGCCACCGAGGCUCUUGUAGCAGCGGCGUUGCGACCUACACGACACACAAUCUUGAUCCCCCUUGGUCUCGGCGGACCAAGUACGACUCUUCGUGUUAGACUGAACACUGGGCCAAGAUCUAGCACUGGUGCUCCCACCGCCACCGAGGCUCCCGGAGCAGCUGCGUUGGACCUACAUGCCACUCGAUCUCGAUCCUCAUUGGUCUCGACUGACCAACCUGGGCCAAGAUCUGGCGCGGUGCUCCCACCGCCACCGAGGCUCCCGUAGCAGCGACGUUGCGGCCUACAUGCCACUCGAUCUUUAUCCCCCCUGGUCUCGGCAGACCAUGAAAUAAAUUGUAAAUUGGAGUAAUUUAUUGAAGUCAUAUAUUGUCCUUGAGAUGAUUGCUCUUUUUUGGUUGGCUUCAAUUUCUACAGGUUUCCAAUAUUUUUCCCAUUGAGAACGCCAGUUUGUGUGACACCAAAUACUCAUUUGGAGGUCCAUUUUUGGUGUUGUUGUGGUUCUACAAGGUAACUCGCUUAACUGGUGGGUUAGCAUAUUUUGUACGGGAAAAGCUAGGAAACCCAUAUUUGUGGGGUUUCUGUCACCGCCUCCCUGUUUUCCCCAGCUUUUCCAUUCUGUAUAGCAUCUAUUGAUCCUUGAUUGUGUACUGAAAAUGUUAAAAAGUGAUUGAAAAGUGACAAAAAGUUCAAAUUAAAUUUGCCCCUGUUUGAUCCCCAUUUUUAUCCAUAAUGCAUUUUUUCCAUCACAUCAACGUGGGACCAACACGCCAUUUUUUAUUGCAAAUUUGAAUUCAAAAGGCAUAAAAUUUCAACUUUACCCUUUGUAUCAAAACAAUUCAAAAAGUUACCAAAAAUCUGUUGAAAAGUCAAAGGACAGGUAAUGGAAAAGAAAAAGCCAUUUUCUCUGUGCAAGUUACAUAGGCUAUCAGAACAAUAAUUGGCAACGGUCCCAAAAUUAAUUUUUGACCGAAAUUAAUGGCCCCCAAACAGCCCCAGAGACCAAUAAUAAAAUAGAGUUGGUGCUAUUAACUGGUCAGAUAAUCAUCUCCACUUUGGAAUCCUAAAAUAUUAUCUGUUGCAAUGUAUUUGUGAUGUUUAAUUUAAAUAAUAUGAUAAUUAUCUAAAUAAAUUUUUAUGUUGGAUAGCCUCAAGUAAUGGAUAUACUGACAAUUUGUAUACUUGCUGCGGAAAAUGAUUAUUAUUAUUCUCUCACAAGUUUGAUACGAAAGGUGAGUAAUGUCUUCUAUGCACAACUCCAUUGGUCACUCACACUGGGUCGGGGUUAAGGGUUUUCUUGGCAAUGCUGUGGCAAAAGGAUCCAUUGCCAGAUGCGAGCUAGAGCAGAUGACCCAAAAUCUGUUGUAUACUGGUUAAAUUAAGAGUAUAAUUUUGAAUGCAGUUCUGGACAACCACUGAAUAAAGUGAGUAUGCAACUUCCCAUUUACCGGCUUCAUUGUUCAAACUAUAAAGCUUUACUGUCUUUUUUUCUGUUCCAAUUUUCGCUGUUCGUCCAAUUUGUGGAUAGUCUUUUUACUCAUUAUCAUGUUUGCCCUCUCACCAAUGCUGCCCUACUGCAUCACGGUGUAAUGCACUAUCCUUCGUUUCAAACCAUCCUUUUAACUCUACUCGUUGGGAAGAAAUUGAAUAUUGUUGAAGAUUACUUUUGUUUAUUUAUAGUCAAUGUGGCAAUCUCUCUCCGGGAGCCUGGAGGCUCCAUUUUUGUCACGAAGUUUGGAUAUGUUAUAUUAUAAAAUUAGAGAGUAAUUGAGUUUAUAUUAAAUCUUCUCAUAUAUAUAUAUAUAUAUAUAUAUAUAUAUGAGUUCUAUACAAGAUAUCAGACCUAUGAAUCUAUUUUAUUUGUGAUUAUUCACAGAUGGCAGAAGUAUUAGACAUUGGUUACUUGUCGAUAUAUAAAUACAUACCUUAAUAAAUAAGACGGUGCAACGUAAAAGUCGGGACUCAAUUCCUUUCUUUUAUUUCCUCUAAAAAUGUUCCUCUGUGGCACAUCACUACCAAAUCCAUUACAGAAGUGGACUUGCAAGUAUGCCUCCGUUAGCACAUUACUCAUCAAAAUCCGAGUAACAAUCUACUCCAUCAGAGUCAAAAUUAUGGGUCUCAUUCCCAAUCCUCGACUUCAACACAAAGCAUAGAAUAAAGAUAUACUAGGGCUCCCUUUGAGAGGAAUUUUGAGAAUUGAUUUUUUGACCGUUAGAAGAAAAAUGAGGUCCACCUGUGAAAAAAAAAAGUCAAAAAUUACGGUUCGAAUAGUGAAAUAACAAUCAAAAAAUCAAUUUUUUGGAGUAAAAAAUCCUUCCUAAACAGGCUCUAGAUGCCGUUAUAAUGGAAUUUAAUAUAAUAUACCAUUGCAAUGGUAGUUGGGAAACUACAUCACCUUAUCAAAAAAAAAUGAAACAGCAUGUGACCAUUACAAAUUUAAAGGAAACAACGGGUGACUAUUAAAUCACCUUAAAAACAAACUGAAGUUUAAAAGUACCUAAUAACAAAUCUACUAAUUUGAUAAUUCGAAAGAAUAACGAAUCUACGAAUUUCAUAAUUCUAAAGGAAAAAGAGAGAGAGAUACAAAAAAAGAAUAGAUAGAGUCAAGACUCAAGUUUGUAAGUUUGUUGCAGUAAUGGAUACAUAUUUAUAUAGUUUAAAAGGAGAGUUACAAUCUAAAUAAAAUAGACCCUUACAGAGUAAAUAAGAUUUAUCUAAGUAUCUUGAUAAGACUAAAUAGGCAUCAAUAAUUAUCUCAUAGUUUUACAAUAUUCUCUUCACUAAAAACCUAGUUUGACAAAAACUCAGUCGGGUCAAAACUACCAACACAAACAAAAAAAGUGUACAAAAAAUUACAACAAAAUUUGUAGUAAUAAAAUAUUGCCUCAUUAAUACCAUGUCAUGAAAAUCCAAUGAGACAAAACUUGAUUGAAAAAAAAAAAAGAAAAAAAGAGAAAAAAAAAGAGAGAGUAUAUCUACUCCUUUGAUUUCAAUAAAUAAAAAUUCUUGUAUUGAGUCAUCUAUGUCUUGUACGUCAUUAUUUUAAAUAUUUCAAUUCUGGUAAAAUAUGUUUCGUUUUGUCUUGUUAUAGCAUAAAAGUAAUAUUGUCUUCAUAGAAGAUUUUUAUAAAUCUUUGUUUGAUUUUAGACAACAUGAUGGCUUUUGAAAUGGCAAUAAUAAGCAAAAAUUAGACCUUAAUUUUUAUCAAUCUUAGAAACACGAGUCUUGAUUUUUAGACCUUCUUAAUUUGAAAUGGCUUUUAAGAACCGAACCAAGUAUGUUGCAUAAUACAAGGAUGACUUCUGGCUAAGGAUGGAAGGCCAACCAAAAUUAGAUACUUUGACUAAAAAAUUGCAAUAAUAAGCAAAAAUUAAGAACCUUAACUACAAUUAAAAUGUAGUGUAACCAAUAAAAAUUGUAAUACCAAUAUAACCGUCCUAAAAUAAAGCUUGGCAUCCCUUAGUAGAGACAAAAAAUAAAAAUAAAACCACCCGAAAGGGUUCUUUCAUCCUAUCUAAAACUUUAAGACAUGUUUUUUUAGCUCGAAUUACAUGGGCUAUAUGCUAAUACGAAAGAGGCAAAUAAUAGAAAUUUACUACUUUAGAACAUAAUUGUUCUUUCCAAAUACCUAUCUUUAAUUACCGGCAAAGGGCCAACUGAUUCAAAACUCCAGAUUUGCAUUUGGCCUAAAUUUGCUGAAUUUGUUCUAUCUCCUGCAAUUCUAAGUUUGGUUAAUCAUCAAUGUUUGUUGUUGUUGACAUAAAUAUGGUAAGAACAGGAAUUGUUGGUAGCAGAAGCUGAACACUCAGUUUAAAACUCCUCUACAUGCUAGAGAUACAAGCAAUGCAUAAGGAGAGCAACAUAAUUAUGGGGUAGAAAUACCAAAAGAUAUCUUGUACCAGUGAGGCCAAGAAACAAACCAAUAGGGAAACUGAGUAAUUCUUGACUUGAGUGCGUAUGUAACUCAUAUCAACUUGAGGUGUCAAUGAGAUUUCAAUGGAGAUGAAGGAGAAGAAAAAGAAAAAGCUAGUGAGAUGCCAAAACUUGAUCCAAGUGAAAUUUCACAGCACUCUCCCUUUCAGAAUGAAAGGGAAAAGGGACAAUAACAUUUUCUUAUGAAAAGGGAAAAAGGAGAAACAACAUUCUCCCUUUUCGUAUGAAAAGGGAAAAGGGAGAGUAACAUCUAAAGGUAGAAUCAUAGCACUCUCCCUCGCAGGGAUUCUCCUUUUUCAUAUGGUGCCUAGUGGCACCCCUGUUUCAACUGGGCAACCUCAGUCCGAUCCAAAUAAUAUAGCCCCCCCCCCUUUUUAGUUAUCCAAUUUGUGCUUCAAUACCGUAUCUGGCUUGACUUUAAUUAAGACUCAUGUUUCUAAGAUUUUCUCGAUCAAUCAUUCGCUAAGAAAGUUAAUUGGCGGACCAAAAUAAACUUAUAUUCUCAUCAUUCUUUAAUAUCUAUGUUUAAAACAAUAUUUUAUGGGAAUAUUAUAUUAAUACCUUUGAACAAUAUUUUAUUUUUUCUAAAAAAUCGCAAAUUUUUAUUUUGAAUAUUAUAUUAUUGAUCUCGAAAUAUCGUAAUGUUAUACAGUAAUAUUCUUUAACAAUAUUCUGUAGUUAUUCUUGGAUAAUUAUGAAUUUAUACACUUCAAUGUAAAAUAUUGUAUUGAUCUUGAAUUUUAACUAUACUGCAUUUAAAGAAGCAAAAAUUUAUUUAUAUUAAUAUUAAAGAAGAAUAUUGCUUUGAUACUCUAGAAGAGUCAAUAUUGCAUUAUGUGGGAGAAUAAACUUCCUGGAAAUAUGCUCAAUAUCAUUUGAUUGAAUAGUUGACCCACUCCUUGUUGUUUGAAGAAACCCUCCACUUCAAUACUAUUGAUAAUAACUUAGUACUAAAUUAGUAAGAAACCUACCAAGUUUCUAAAAUAUUUGUCAUGAUUGAUACUAUAUCGACAUUGGUAUAUUUGAAAUAAACAUUGCAUUGAACAAGAAGUUCAAUUAUUGAAUAUAUUAUUGCUUGACAUUAUUAUUUGGUUCAUCACUUGAUCAAUAAUAAUGCAAAAUUAAGAAUUCAAAUGAAUAUUCAGAAGAACUAUAAAUUCUUCAAUCUAAUGAAUUCCUAAAUAAUACUUUUUCCAUGUGUUACGAAUUGGUCUUGAUCAUCACUAGAUAAAGUUAGAACUAAAUAUCAAUAAUCUUGAAAUUAAAUAGGGCAUGUUGACCAUCUAGUUAUAAUUGUGUGUGAUAAAUAUAUUUACUAGAUGAUUGCAUUGUGUUUGCACCUGAACUUUGCAAAUUCUUUUAUUAAAUUUUAAAUUAUUAGCUUAAAUUUUAUAUUAUACCAUCAAGACAAUGUAUCAUGUCAAUGUUAGUAAAUCUACAUCCAAAUUAAUAUUUUGAUAAAUGUUGAUUGGGAUGACAAUAAAUUGUUUAACACAAUUGAUUGUUAAAUACCUCCAAUUAAUUUCUUAACUAUUAUUGUUAAAAACAAAGUACUUUCCAUUUAUGUUUAGAUAAUGACACAUUAUGCACCAAGCCAAUGUCAAAGUUAGAGCCUAACUUUUCAUUUAUGGUUAGAACCUAAUAUUUUUCAUCUAAUGAUUUUCUAAUGUGCAAUAUAUAUACCAUAGUGCAAUGGGAUAGUUAUUAAAGAAUGAUGAGAAUUUAAUUUUAUUUUGAACCCUUACAAAAUAUUCUAAACUCUCAAGGUUGAUAUUUUAUAACACAGUUUGCUCACGUCAAUUUAAUUAAAUAAUUCUCUCAAUAUUAAGGGAAGAAAUUGGUAGCUGAAAAUAUUACACAAUGCAUCAUAUUAUGCUGUCUAUAUCCUUGCACUUGAUAAUCUGAAAAAAUAAUUCAAUUGCAAAAUACAUUUCUGGCAUAUAAGAAAUUACUAAAAUCUCAUAUACCAACUAUAGACAUUCAAUGCCGUAUUGUUAUCUUAGAAAGACUAAACUAUUGCAACGCAUAAAUAAUAUGUUGAAACUUUGUGACAUUUGAUUCUUAAAAAAACAAAAAAGAAAAGAGAAAAAAGAAAAAAAGAAAAAAAAAACAAGAAGAAGAAAAGAGGUUUAUCCUAAUUAGGAAGCGUAUAUUCUUGGACGUCUCUCAUUAAAUUAUGUCAUUAUGAAAAAGAAAUAGAAUUGAAAAGAAAAGAAAAAGUUGUCGACAAUACUUUUGUACAUAAUAUACCACUUCAUAUUAUGAAUAGCAAAUAUAUCGAAAUAAAUUUGUUGAGCAUAUUGAUUGAAGAAAUGAUUAGCAAAAUUAAGAAUGCAAUCUUAUUAAAACUGAACUUAUUAGGGAAACCAAAAGCAUUUGGACCUAAAGUUCGAGGACCUAAAUGUAUAUACCCAUGCAAAAAGUAAAUAAGAAAAAUGAAGCGUAAUAUGUAAUGCACGACUUUUCAACAUAAUAAAUUUCGCCAUAGUGAAUGCAAUCACAAGUCAAUAUAUUGUUAUCAUCACGAUGCAUGAAAUUUGAAAUGUGAUUGGCAUCACUAUUAAUGUUAUCCUUGAAGAAUUUAAUAUGACUGAAACAUAUAAUUCAAGUAAUAUUAUUUUGAGGAGGAAUAAAUGUGUUGUACUUUUUUUUUUUUUUUUAAAUCAAGAUUUCGUCUCAUUGAAUUUCAUGAUGAGAUUUCUAAUGAGACAACUUUUUUAGUAUACUUUAAAGAAAAAUGUACUAUUUUUCCUUUAUUGGGAUUUUUUGCACAUGAUUUUUCUAGUAUGGUUUUAACGUGGCAUAUUCUUUGUGUAAUAGAUGUCUAAAACCCACUAGACAUUUACUCUCAAAAUAAUAUUCUUAUAUGUUACAAAUUGCCGAUGACUCUAGAAGAGAGCAAUAACACAAUCUAAUUUUCAUUGGAUCAUCAUGUUGUCUAAAAUCAAACAAAGAUUGAUAAAAAUCUUCUAUGAAAACAAUAUUACUUGUAUGCUUUAACAAGACAAAAUGAAACAUAUUUUACCAGAAUUGAAAUAUUUAAAACAGUGACGUACAAGACAUAGACGGUCGAUACAAGAAUUUUUAUUUAUUUAAAUCAAAGGAGUAGAUGUACACUUUUCUUUGUCAAUCAAGUUUUGUCCCAUUGGAUUUUCAUGACACAAUAUUAAUGAGGAAGUAUUUAUUAAUACAUAGUUUGUUAUAAUUAUUUGUACACUUCUUUCGUUUGUGUUCGUAGUUUUGUCCCACUGAGUUUUUGUCAAAUUAGGUUUUUAAUGAGGAGAAUAUUGUAUACAACUAUGAGAUAAUUAUUGAUGCCGAUUUAGUCUUAUCAAGAUACUUAGAUAAAUCUUAUUUACUUUGUAAGGGUCUAUUUUAUUCAGAUUGUAAUGCUUCUUUUAAACCUUAUAAAUAUGUGUCCAUUAUUGCAACAAACUUACAAACUUAGUCUUGACCCUAUCUAUUCAUUUUUUGUAUCUCUCUCUUUUUCCUUUAGAAUUAUGAAAUUAGUAGAUUUGUUAUCCUUUCAAAUUAUCAAACUAGUAGAUUUGUUAUUAGGUACUUUUAAACUUCAGUUUGUUUUUAAGGUGAUUUAAUAGUAACAUACUGCUUCUUUCUUUAUAAGGUGAUGUAGUUUCCCAACUACCAUUGCAAUGGUAUAUUAUAUUAAAUUCCAUUAUAACGGCAUCUAGUAUAUCUUUAUACUAUGCUUUGUGUUGAAGUCGAGAAUUGGGAAUGAGACCCAUAAUUCUCUCUGUUGGCGUAUUGUCACACGGAUUUUGAUGAGUAAUGUGCUAACGAAGGCAUACUUGCAAGUCCACUCCUGUAACGGAUUUGGUGGUGAUGUGCCAAAAGAGGUACAUUUUCAGAGGAUGUAAAAGAAAGGAAUUUGAGUCUUUCGUGUUGCACCGUCUUAUUUAGCUUCCAUUUCAGCCCCUUCUCAUUUUCUGCCAAUUGCUGAAGUCGUGUGUGCUACCUUGACCGUUGGAAAUACAUUUACAAUUUCACCCUUCUUCUCAACUUGCCGAUUCCUAAUUCAAAACUAUUAUAAGGGCAGUAUUGUAAUUGGUGUUGGCUAUGAUAGUAUUAUUUUAUUGUAAAUUCCACAUCCAAAUGACAAACUGGACGGUUCAAUGAAGUAAUAGACACGUUGAUCUAUCAAUAUCCAAUUGGACGAACGGUGUAAACUAGGAACAGAGAAAAAGACAGUAUAGCUUUAUAGUUUGAACAAUUGAGCUGGUAAAUGGGAAGUUGCAUACUCACUUUAUUCAGUGGUUGUCCAGAACUGCAUUCAAAAUUAUACUCUUAAUUUAACUAGUAUACAACAGAUUUUGGGUCAUCUGCUCCAGCUUGCAUCUGGCAAUGGAUCUUUUUGCCACAGCAUUGCCAAGAAAACCCUUGAGCCCGACCCAAUGUGAGUGAUCAUUGGAGUUGUGCAGAGAAGACGUCGCUCGCCUUUCGUAUCAAACCUGUGAUAAUUAAAUCAUAUGAAAUAAUAUCGGGUGCGACAUAGAGAGUUAAGUAAUUCCCAACCUAUAUUCUCUGUUUCUUGACCAGUAUUUUUCAGCGUAUCCUAGGACCAAAAGGACAUUCCAAAAUUAGAUGGAUCAAAACCACCAACCAAAAAACAAAUCUUGAUUCACUUUGUGCCCAUAGAGAUUAAUGAUAAUCUUCAGCAGCAAGUAUACAAAUUGCCAGUGUAUCCAUUACUUCAACGGAAAUUCUUCCUAAAAGAAGAGGAAGCUCGAUUGUCACAUACCACUAACAACUCACCAUCUUUAUUUAGACUUUCAAUGCCAGGGCAGAGCAUGAAGCAAAAUGGUAAUAACCAUAUACAUAAUGAAGGAAUGAUCCAUGUAAGAAGCCUAUGUACUUAAUAUGCUUCAAGUGUCAGGGUAAAGUAAAAAUAAAAAACUACUAGCGUCUACACCUCAGAAAAGUGUCAUCCUAGUACAACUAACAAUUGAAUAUUCACCAUCCCGAAAGACGUUGAACCGACCAUGCUAAUGAAUUUGCCACUCGCUUAAAUGUCCAUUUACCAGUAUAAUAUAAACAACACUGAAAGUUUAAAUGAGGUACAGGAAUUACCCUGAUGAGCCUGUAUUUUGGCUCGUAUUUCUUUGCACUCUCAACAGAAUCAUAGAUCAAGCCAAAACCAGUGGAAUUGCCUCCACCAAAGUGCGUCCUGAACUUAAAAACAAAUAUGGCAUUUGGAUCUUUCACUUCAUACAUCCUUGCCAAUUUCUNNNNNNNNNNNNNNNNNNNNNNNNNNNNNNNNNNNNNNNNNNNNNNNNNNNNNNNNNNNNNNNNNNNNNNNNNNNNNNNNNNNNNNNNNNNNNNNNNNNNNNNNNNNNNNNNNNNNNNNNNNNNNNNNNNNNNNNNNNNNNNNNNNNNNNNNNNNNNNNNNNNNNNNNNNNNNNNNNNNNNNNNNNNNNNNNNNNNNNNNNNNNNNNNNNNNNNNNNNNNNNNNNNNNNNNNNNNNNNNNNNNNNNNNNNNNNNNNNNNNNNNNNNNNNNNNNNNNNNNNNNNNNNNNNNNNNNNNNNNNNNNNNNNNNNNNNNNNNNNNNNNNNNNNNNNNNNNNNNNNNNNNNNNNNNNNNNNNNNNNNNNNNNNNNNNNNNNNNNNNNNNNNNNNNNNNNNNNNNNNNNNNNNNNNNNNNNNNNNNNNNNNNNNNNNNNNNNNNNNNNNNNNNNNNNNNNNNNNNNNNNNNNNNNNNNNNNNNNNNNNNNNNNNNNNNNNNNNNNNNNNNNNNNNNNNNNNNNNNNNNNNNNNNNNNNNNNNNNNNNNNNNNNNNNNNNNNNNNNNNNNNNNNNNNNNNNNNNNNNNNNNNNNNNNNNNNNNNNNNNNNNNNNNNNNNNNNNNNNNNNNNNNNNNNNNNNNNNNNNNNNNNNNNNNNNNNNNNNNNNNNNNNNNNNNNNNNNNNNNNNNNNNNNNNNNNNNNNNNNNNNNNNNNNNNNNNNNNNNNNNNNNNNNNNNNNNNNNNNNNNNNNNNNNNNNNNNNNNNNNNNNNNNNNNNNNNNNNNNNNNNNNNNNNNNNNNNNNNNNNNNNNNNNNNNNNNNNNNNNNNNNNNNNNNNNNNNNNNNNNNNNNNNNNNNNNNNNNNNNNNNNNNNNNNNNNNNNNNNNNNNNNNNNNNNNNNNNNNNNNNNNNNNNNNNNNNNNNNNNNNNNNNNNNNNNNNNNNNNNNNNNNNNNNNNNNNNNNNNNNNNNNNNNNNNNNNNNNNNNNNNNNNNNNNNNNNNNNNNNNNNNNNNNNNNNNNNNNNNNNNNNNNNNNNNNNNNNNNNNNNNNNNNNNNNNNNNNNNNNNNNNNNNNNNNNNNNNNNNNNNNNNNNNNNNNNNNNNNNNNNNNNNNNNNNNNNNNNNNNNNNNNNNNNNNNNNNNNNNNNNNNNNNNNNNNNNNNNNNNNNNNNNNNNNNNNNNNNNNNNNNNNNNNNNNNNNNNNNNNNNNNNNNNNNNNNNNNNNNNNNNNNNNNNNNNNNNNNNNNNNNNNNNNNNNNNNNNNNNNNNNNNNNNNNNNNNNNNNNNNNNNNNNNNNNNNNNNNNNNNNNNNNNNNNNNNNNNNNNNNNNNNNNNNNNNNNNNNNNNNNNNNNNNNNNNNNNNNNNNNNNNNNNNNNNNNNNNNNNNNNNNNNNNNNNNNNNNNNNNNNNNNNNNNNNNNNNNNNNNNNNNNNNNNNNNNNNNNNNNNNNNNNNNNNNNNNNNNNNNNNNNNNNNNNNNNNNNNNNNNNNNNNNNNNNNNNNNNNNNNNNNNNNNNNNNNNNNNNNNNNNNNNNNNNNNNNNNNNNNNNNNNNNNNNNNNNNNNNNNNNNNNNNNNNNNNNNNNNNNNNNNNNNNNNNNNNNNNNNNNNNNNNNNNNNNNNNNNNNNNNNNNNNNNNNNNNNNNNNNNNNNNNNNNNNNNNNNNNNNNNNNNNNNNNNNNNNNNNNNNNNNNNNNNNNNNNNNNNNNNNNNNNNNNNNNNNNNNNNNNNNNNNNNNNNNNNNNNNNNNNNNNNNNNNNNNNNNNNNNNNNNNNNNNNNNNNNNNNNNNNNNNNNNNNNNNNNNNNNNNNNNNNNNNNNNNNNNNNNNNNNNNNNNNNNNNNNNNNNNNNNNNNNNNNNNNNNNNNNNNNNNNNNNAUAUUGAUACAAGAUAUCACUUCAUAAGAGAAAGUAUUGCAAAGAAAGAAGUGCAGCUGAAAUAUGUAACCUCCCAGGAGCAGAUCGCUGACAUUCUCACUAAGCCACUCAAGCAUGAUGUGUUCCGCAAGUUAAGAACUCUACUUGGAGUGUCAAAAUCAAGUUUAAGGGGGGAUGUUGAGUAGUAAACUUGAUUUUUGGACUAAAUAAUAUGGGCUUAAGGAUUUUGCUUAUAGGCCCAAAUCAAUUAAAAGACCCAACAUGCAUAGCAUUUCUAGAAGCAUUAUCUAGAAAAAUCUAUAUAAAUAUCUACUAGAAAUAUCUAUAUAAAUAUCUAAGUAAGAUAUGUAGUUUUAUAAAGAAUAUCUAGAGAAUUCUAGGAAAAUAUCUUGAUAUGUGGUCUAGGUGUCUCUAGAAAAUAUGUGGACUAGAAUCUUCUUGUAAACACUAUAUAAAGGGGUAGUGCCCUCCAUUUUGUAACAAGCCAAAAAGUGUGUAAAGUCUUGAAUUUGAGAAAUACAAGUUUCCUCUUUUUUCACUUCCUUCUUCCUAUUAGUGUUGUCCUCUUAAAAGCCUUAGUCAAUCCAAGUUAGUAAACCCAUCUUUCCUCCAACAAGUUUUACUUCUAUAACCCACUGAUUUUACAGUUAACCUUUUCGGAAUCAGACAUGGACCCAGACGAGUACAAAAUAUAAGGACUUCUCGAUUCUCUGACAUAUAUACUUCAUUCCAUAUCUUACGUAAAACAACGAAGGUAGGAAAUAAAAAAAAAAGAAAAAAAGGGAAAUGAUGCAGAAAAAGCAUAAAACUAGCACUUAAAGGAAUAAUGCGAAUAAGUUGAAUUUUCCAUACAAAAUAGGCUAACCCACCAGUUAAGCGAGUUGCCUUGUAAAACCACAACAACGCCAAAAAUGGACCUCCAAAUGAGUACAUGGAGUCACACAAACUAGCGUCCUCAAUGGGAAAAAUAUUGGAAACCUGUAGAAAUUGAAGCCAACCAAAAGAAAGCAAUCAUCUCAAGGACAAUAUAUGACUUCAAUACAUCACUCCAAUGUACAAUUUCUUUCAUGGUCUGUAGAGAUCAAGGGAGAUCGAGAUUGAGUGGCAUGUAGGUCGCAUCGCCGCUGCUACAGGACCCUCAGUGGCAGUGGGAGCACCGGGGCCAAAUCUUGGCCCAGGUUGGUACGCCAAGACCAAGGGGCACCGAGGCCAGAUCUUGGCCCAGGUGGGUCCUCCGAGACCAAUGGGGGUCGGGAUCGAGUGGCGCGUAGGUCGCAACACCGCUGCUACCGAGGCCUUGGUGGUGGUGGGAGUACCGAGGCCAGAUUUUGGCCCAGUGUUCAGUCUAAAAUCGAGAUCAGGGGAGAUCGAGAUGGAGUGGCAUGUAGCUCCAUCAUAGCUGGAAUGUUUUAACGACUAUGGCUUGAGGCUUGAUGCAGUCGACUGCACGAUUUCUAGCUCAGGCUGGAAGAUUUUGAAAAGGAGAAAAUGGAAUUGAACGUUAUCGAAUCCAAACCGGUAUAUAUUUCAUUCUGUAUUUUAAUAAAUAGCGUACAACGAGAUAUUUUUUUUAUCAUAUUUUAAAUAAUAAAUAAUUAAUUACGAAAAGUAUUCUCUCCUCGUCUCAAAGCAUAGAACAAAAUAUUUGAAGUAAAUCAUCAUUAAUGAAGAGAUGUACUAAUUAAUGAAAAAUUGAAGAUAAGAAUUUAACUCCAAAAAAAUAAAAAAAAAUGAUUGCUAUAACGUGAAGUACAAUUAAAAUGUCAUGUAACGAAUAAAAAUUGGAGUACCAAUAUAAAUUGACAUCCUUUGAUAGAGACAAAAAAUAAAAAAUCUGAAACAUGUUUUUUUUGCUCGGAUUAUAUUAUAUUGGCUAUAUGCUAACAGAAAUGUAAUACAAAAGAGGUAAAUAACAGAAACUACUUCAAAACAUUAUUGUUCAUUUAAUUAUUGAUUCAAAGCUCCAAAUUUGCAUUUAGCCUAAACUUUCCGAAUUUGCUCCAUCUCUUGCGAUUCUAAGUCUGGUUCCUUGUCAAUAUUUAUUGUUGUAGUCAUAUAUAUGUUAAGAACAUGAAUUGUUGGCAGCAGAAGUUGAACACUCUGCUUAAAACUUCUUCACGUACUAGAGAUACAAGCAGUGCAUAAAGAGAGCAGCAUAAUUAUGGGGUAGAUAUACCAAAAGACAUCUUGAGGGAAGAAUAACGAGGCCAAGAAACAAACCAAUAGGGUAACUGAGUAAUUCUUGACUUGAAUGCGUAUGUAUCCCAUAUCAACUUGAGGUGUCAAUUGGAUUUCAAUGGAGAUGAAGGAGAAGAGAAAGAAAAAGCUAGCAAAACUUGAUCCAAGUGAAGUUCUCAAUUACUAUACCAAAUGGAUUCCAUUCCCAAGGCAUGGCUGUAUAUGGUUUCAAUAUGUUUACAACGAAUAGGAGUAAUUGGAAACUUCAGUUGGAUCCAUUUGGUAUAGUAAUUGGAAACUUUAGUUGGAUCAAGUUUUGGCUUCUCGCUAGCUUCUUCUUUCUCUCCUCCUUCAUUUCCAUUGACACCUCAAGUUGAUAUGGGAUACAUACGCAUUCAAGUCGAGAAUUACUCAGUUUCCCAAUUGGUUUGUUUCUUGGCCUCAGUAUUCUUCCCACAAGAUGUCUUUUGGUAUAUCUACCCAUAAUUAAGCUGCUCUCCUUAUGCACUGCUUGUAUCUCUAGCACGUGGAGGAGUUUUAAGUAGAGUGUUCAACUUCUACUGCCAACAAUUCUUAUACUUAACAUAUAUAUGACUACAACAAUAAAUAUUGACGAGGAACCAGACUUAGAAUCGCAGGAGAUAAAGCAAAUUGAGCAAGUUUAGGCCAAAUGCAAAUCUGGAGCUUUGAAUCAGUAAUUAAAUGAACAAUAAUGUUUUGAAGUAGUUUCUGUUAUUUGCCUCUUUUGUAUUACAUUUCUGUUAGCAUAUAGCCAAUGUAAUUCGAUCAAAAAAAAUGUGUUGCAGAUUUUUAGAUUUUUUAUUUUUAUUUUUUUGUCUCUACAAGAGAGAAACUUGGGUGGGGCGGUCGCACCAUCCACGUGGUACGAUUGCCCAACCCCGAGGCGCCAGCUCUGUAGAUGGCCCACAUACCCCCGGCCACCGCACCGCCACGUGGUGCAACCGCCCUACCUAAAUUUUUUUCCUCUAUCAAAGGAUGUCAAUUUAGAUUGGUACUACAAAUUUUAUUCGUUUCACUACAUUUUAAUUGUACUUCGCAUUAUAGCAAUCAUUUUUAAAUUUUUUUUGUCAAAUUCUUAUCUUCAAUUUUAAUACAUCGUGUCAUUAAUGACGAUUUACCUCAAAUAUUUUUUUGGGCGACUUUUGCGACAAUUUUCCCAUCGAAUCCCUUGGAGUUACGGGGAGAUGUUGGGUGUAAUUGAAGAGAAUAUUGUCGACUUUCCAACGUUAUCAAAAUUUGACGAUAAUCCAUGGUCAAAAGUGGCCGAAAUGUUGCAACAAAAGCAGCCCAAAAAAUUGAAAAUGUGGUUUUAAACUUCAGUGACCGUUUCUGUAAAUUUUUAAACUUCAAUGACCAUUUCUGAAAGUUUUUAACUUCAAUGACCAUCUCUAAAAGCGCCCUGAAACUUAAGUGACCGUUACUGAAAGUUUUAAACUUUAGUGACCGUUUUGUAAUUUUUGCAUAAGUUCAGUGACCGUUUUUGAAAUUAAUCCAAAAAAGUUUGCAUGUAGAGUUUCAUGUUUCUUAAAAUGUACAAACGAAUCUCACGAAAAACAAUUUAAAACAUUCUAAUUAAAGAAAAAUAUUUUAUAUUCUUAAUUAACCCACCAACUCCUACACCCAUCCCCUACAUUCCACCACCACUACAAAAUUAAUCAAAGAUAUAAUUAAAAGUAUAAUAAAAGCAAAAUAAUAAUAAUAAUAAUAAUAAUUAACAUAGAAAAAUAAAAAUAAAAAAAUUUAUGGCCCCAUUCGACCCCAUUAAUUUUAAUUGUAAUGGGGGAAAUAGAGUUUUUUUGAAAAAUGAAUGGUUGUAAAAGAAUAAAAAGUUUUCGAUUUACUUCCAAUAUUAUUUUAUUGAAAAUUGUGUGAUUUAAAAUAAGAAAGAAAAAUUUAAUUUAAUUUGAUGAGAUGUAAUGGGGGGCAAACGAGGGCAAUAUAAAAACGAAUGGCGCUUAUUCCUCAUCAAAUAAUUUUUAAACUUUUAAUUCUUUUUUUUAAUUAUUUGAUGGUGGUGUUGAUGGAGGAGGAUAUGCAUAGGGGUUGAGAUAGGGAUAGGUGGUUAAUUGGAAAAAUAAUUUUUUUACUAGAAUGUUUUAAAUUGUUUUGCAUAAAAUUCAUUUGUAAUUUUAAAAAAAAUUAUAAAAUCUAGAUACAACAUUAUAUAUAUAUGUCUAUCUAAAGACGAUGAUAAAUUAGUCAUUUUAUAAUGUUAUAAUAGAAAAAAUGGAUGGUAAGGAUCUUUUAAGCAAAGAAAUGUUGAUCUAAGUGUUCAAAUGUCAAAAUUGAAAUGAUAAGAACUAUUCACGCAAUUAAAGCAAACGAUAGGCACGUUUUUGCUCCAAAUUACACAUAUUUAACUGAAAGAUUUAAUGAAAUAUGAUGGAAAGCACCGAUUCUGCAAGAAACGUUUGAAAUAAGAGUGUAAAUGGCAAGUUUGAAACAAUAUGGACCAUUUUCACAAUGAGUACAAACGAUUGGAAUGCCUUUUGCUAAUUACCCUAAAGUAUAUUUACUCUCUAGAUAUCAAGGGAAUUUAGCCGUUGUCUAACACCAAUUAAAAUUUUAAUAUAUUUUUCUCUUUUCUUUUCAAUCAUGUAUUCAUCAAUAAAAUAAUAUUACAAGUAAAUCAAAAAAUUUCCUUCUUUUUUAACCACAAAUUCUUCCAAAAAAUACUAUUCCAUAAUACAGAUUACCAAAAUUUCUCAUUAUAAUGGAUGUAAAACAAAGGCUUAAUAUAAACUAAUUUACACUUUACUUUUAUAAUAAAUAAUGUUAUUCAUAGUGAAAAUUAUUGAUAGUCAUCCUUCAUAACAUACACAUGACAAUGUGUUAUUUGAAUUUUGAUGCAUAGGACGAUAAAAAAUUAUCAUAUUAAUGUAUCAAAUAAUGUCAUGUGUACGUCACGUAAGAUAGCUAUCGAUAGUCCUCACUAUGAUUAUCAUUACUCUUUUAUAAAUAUAACAUGUCCAAACGUGGCGACAAAAAUGGAGCCUCCGAGCUCCUAUAGAGAGAUUGCCGCAUUGACUAUAAAUAAACAAAAGCAAUGAAACUAUUGUGAAACAAUAAAAAUUUUCAAAAAUAAUCAAUUCUUCUCGACGAGUAGAGUUAAAAGGCUAGUUUGAAACGAAAGAUAGUGCAUUGCACCGUGAUGCAGCAGGGCAGCAUUGGUGAAAGGGCAAACAGGGCAACAUCUGUGAAAGGUAGUAAAAUAAAGGGAACCACCAUAAGAGAGGAGAAUUUGAUUUCAGAAUUUAAAAAUCCCAGCCUCUUAAUAAGUAUAACGAAAGGAGGGCAAGAGUAAAAAUGCUUAAACGAGAAACUUAGCUUGAACUAAACUGCUCUAUAUAGUAGAAAAUGAUGGAGUUAAAUGUUUCAUUGACCACCAAACUUUACACUAGUCACGAUUUAUUCACCGAACUUCAUUAAUUGUCUCAUUGGCCACUGAACUUUGCUCCGUUCAACUCCAUCACUCACCCGUUCAAAACCGUUAAUAGACGUGCUGAUGUGGCGAAUGGAAAAAUGACGUGGCCGGUUAACUCCUUCCAAGUAGUAAGUGAUUUGCCAACUAAGCUUCCACGUUAGUAAUGGAGCAUCCAAACACGGCAUUACCAAUUUCAUUUCACACGACUUUACAGAAUUAUAACCCAAUUAGUGUGAAAUCUCUCUCAAAUUACUUCCUCCCAUUCGCGAAGAACCCUAAGUAUCUGAACCAAGAUUCUCCAAAAAUCUCUCAAAUCCUAUCAUCCUGAAAUCCAUUUCUAUAAAAUCUCACAUGAAGUCUCUGUAUUCUGAAAAUCCAUUCAAUUCAUUCGGGUAAUUUCCCAUGAUAUGGUAGGACACGAAUUGAUGAUUUUUGAAUGGAAAAUUGGUUUUGUUCAUAACUCAUUUUAUUUUUGGUUUGCAUCUUCGUCUUUCCGAUAAUGGUCAAGAACACACUACUUUCUAGUCGUUAAUGGAGGAAAAACAUGUUUAUACCAUUCCUCUCCAUAAUCCAAUUAACACUCAUUUUGGGUAUUCUGCCAAUGUGAAUGUUGGGUAUUUUGUGUUUGGCUCUAAUAAAGAUAGCUCAUUGUUGAAACAGGUGACUGGAAAAAAGGCCCUGUUGAUGAAACUACUUUGACCGUUGAAGGAUUUGAAUCCUGAUGGAACUACUUUGCUUGUUGAUGAAAUGAAUAACACUAAAUUAAAAUUUGGUAGUAGGUGUGUUUUAGGUACUGAAUUUCAGAAAAAGCCUCCUAUUUAAACUCUCGAAUGAGAUGAAGGGAUUAAAGAUUGUUAAUUUUGCAGUGUUGCUGAGAAGAGUAAAAAAUUUGGCAGCAAUUCAUCUGUCUGUCACUGCCAAUAACAUAUUCAUGUUUGCAAUCAAUGGAAGGGGGGUAUCCGUUGCCUUUGUCCACCAUUUAUGGUAAUAGGAACUGGGACUGGUUGUGCUUGGAAACAGCUACAAUUUGCUUCAUUAAAAAUUCUGGUAAUUUGUUCUAUUUUACUGUAUUAUUUUUUAUUGCAUUCCCAGUUCUAUCAUUAUUUGUUUAUUUAAUUAAUGUUUAAUGACACAUCUUUAUGCUUUUUGUCCUUCAUUUAUCUCAGUUAAGUAGAGCCAUAUACCACACCAACAAUUUGAAGCAGAUCAAGGAUGGAACAAUUGUGAAGCACCUCUAUACUAAAGUUUUCAACCGAUUUCGUAUUUUGUAAUGUCCAAAGUUUUGUUUUUGGCAUGUAAAUUGAAGUCAGAUUGGGAUGGUACAAUGUUGUUGUUGAGAUAGAACAUAUUCACAUUUAUGAAAUCAGUGGGUUGCUGCUUCCAUAACUAUUUUAAGCACUAGACGUUGAGAUGAAUUAUGUUUAAAGCACUACAUGAAAUCAGUAUGUUGCUGUUGCCAUAACUAUAUUAGCUUUCGACUAGUUGAAGAAUGAGGUAUUAGAACAUCGUGGAACUUGUACGAAAGCAAGUCUUCGAAGUCUUAACUGCAGCAGUAAUGUAAUUAGACUACAAAUAUUAUAGUACUGUAACUAUCUUCAAAUGAUUCUAUAAUAUCUUGAUGAAUGAAACUAACAACAUCAACAAGCAUACCUACACAUGGUAAAAUAUCAAAUCAAAUCAAUUCAAUUUCCCGAAUAAUGGUAAGAUCCCAGGUGAACAAAAUCAAUUCAAGCUUUAUAAGAAGUGCAUACAACGGCAUAACUAAAAACACAUUACGAAUACAAUAACAUUGGUCCAACUUGAUGAAUAUUCUAACAUUUUUUAAAUCAACAACAUAGGCAGUCUAAUUUCACGGAGUUCUUCCCUUCUAUUUCCCGUUCUUUUCUACAUGACCUUUACCCUUGCGGAUAGUAACAUUGAAUGAGAUUUCCACUUCCUCUUGUUCGAUUAUGUGAAUCCUUCAAUACCCAAGACAAAUCUUCAAUUGGAAUGUCGGGCUGAGAGUUACCCGAACAAACACAUCGGUUUUCACCACUGGACUCACCCUCAAAUUGCACAUAUUCUUCCAUGCCAUGGAAACCUGCCAUUGCAGCCACGAACAGUAAGACAGUCAUAUGGUUAUCGUAAUGAAUUGGCAAUACACACACCAACAUUUAUGCUUACUACUCAUAAUUAACAUCUAGGAACUUGAAGGUAUGAGGGCAAUAUUUAAUGGAUGAGCUGUUUGUUUAUACUCUAGCACAAAAUUUCCAAACGAAAAUCAACAACGUGCUUAAUCCAACUUUGUGAAUAGCAUUAAGUUGUAAGCAUGGCAUUAAGAGUUCAUCAAGCUUAGAAACAUCUAAUCUCGUUCGGCAUAGUUAAUUCUGUCAUAAAAUUACAACUCAUUAACAUUUGGACAGUAACAUAUGAAGAAGAAAAUAUUCAACUUUAACAUUCAAAAUGUACUGCAAUUUCACCGUCUCACAUUUAAGGUGCUAAAUGUGAAAAUUGUUAAUAAGAGACUCAACUUUAUCAAAAACGCAAAACCAAAAAUCAUGCAUUUUCUAUUAAAGUUUGACAGACUCAACGUUAAGUGCUUGGUUUCACAUCAAUUAAACAUUGCAGAAACUUUUCCAAUUGAGUUAUCGCACAACUUCAAUUUUUUUCGGGUCGUGUCAUUAUAAUAAAAAAAAGCACAGAAAUAAGAACCAAGAAAUCCAUUAUUAAAUAAAGCCAAAAAUGAGUUAUUUAUCUAAAUUUCCAAAACAGAGGCAGAAAAAAAUUAUUCCACUAAGCCCACUAAAAUGGCGGAAUUACCUUCAUCAGAACCGUCCAUGUGUAUGCCUUCAAGUGUGUAGAACAAUUGCGGAUUUUUAGCUCACAUACUUCGCAAUUUGAUCGGGGCUAGGAUUCUUGAGCUGAAUUUGGGGAUCACGACAUAGAAGAGUGGCCUAUUGUUUGUUCACAUACUUUCGAUUCAAUCUUGCAGGUUGGGUGCUUGAGUUGCAGUUGGGAUUGCAACCUAGAAUAAUGGUCUAUUCUUUGUUCCCAUACUUCACGAAUCCAUUUUGAGGGUUAGGGUUCUUCAGGUGAACGUUGGGGAUCAAUUGAUUUGAGGAAGAAGCUUAGUUGAGAUGAAAUUAGGAUUCUUCGUGAAUGGGAGAGGAGCAAUUGAUUUUGAAGGAGAAUCUGAUUUGGCAUUUAGCCCCUGUUUGAUCUCCAUUAAAUUAAAUUACAUUACAUUACAUUUUUCUCUCUCCUAUUUUCAACCACACAAUCUUCCAUAAAAUAAUAUUACACGUAAAACGAAAACUUUUCUUCUUUUUCAACCGUUCAUUUUUCUAAAAAAAUACUAUUUUUCCCAUUUUCAUUUUCAGGUAAUGGGGGUCAAACAGGGGCUUAAUANNNNNNNNNNNNNNNNNNNNNNNNNNNNNNNNNNNNNNNNNNNNNNNNNNNNNNNNNNNNNNNNNNNNNNNNNNNNNNNNNNNNNNNNNNNNNNNNNNNNNNNNNNNNNNNNNNNNNNNNNNNNNNNNNNNNNNNNNNNNNNNNNNNNNNNNNNNNNNNNNNNNNNNNNNNNNNNGAGUUCAUCAAGCUUAGAAACAUCUAAUCUCGUCCGGCAUAGUUAAUUCUGUCAUAAAAUUACAACUCAUUAACAUUUGGACAGUAACAUAUGAAGAAGAAAAUAUUCAACUUUAACAUUCAAAAUGUACUGCUAUUUCACCGUCUCACAUUUAAGGUGCUAAAUGUGAAAAUUGUUAAUAAGAGACUCAACUUUAUCAAAAACGCAAAACCAAAAAUCAUGCAUUUUCUAUUAAAGUUUGACAGACUCAACGUUAAGUGCUUGGUUUCACAUCAAUUAAACAUUGCAGAAACUUUUCCAAUUGAGUUAUCGCACAACUUCAAUUUUUUUCGGGUCGUGUCAUUACGUAAUAAAAAAAAAAGCACAGAAAUAUGAACCUAGAAAUCCAUUAUUAAAUAAAGCCAAAAAUGAGUUAUUUAUCUAAAUUUCCAAAACUGAGGCAGAAAAAAAUUAUUCCACUAAGCCCACUAAAAUGGCGGAAUUACCUUCAUCAGAACCGUCCAUGUGUAUGCCUUCAAGUGUGUAGAACAAUUGCGGAUUUUUAGCUCACAUACUUCGCAAUUUGAUCGGGGUUAGGAUUCUUGAGCUGAAUUUGGGGAUCACGACAUAGAAGAGUGGUCGAUUGUUUGUUCAAAUACUUUCGAUUCAAUUUUGCAGGUUGGGUGCUUGAGUUGCAGUUGGGAUUGCAACCUAGAAUAAUGGUCUAUUCUUUGUUCCCAUACUUCACGAAUCCAUUUUGAGGGUUAGGGCUCUUCAGGUGAACGUUGGGGAUCAAUUGAUUUGAGGAAGAAGCUUAGAUGAGAUGAAAUUAGGGUUCUUCGUGAAUGGGAGAGGAGCAAUUGAUUUUGAAGGAGAAUCUGAUUUGGCAUUUAGCCCCUGUUUGAUCUCCAUUAAAUUAAAUUACAUUACAUUACAUUUUUCUCUCUCCUAUUUUCAACCACACAAUCUUCCAUAAAAUAAUAUUACACGUAAAACGAAAACUUUUCUUCUUUUUCAACCGUUCAUUUUUCUAAAAAAUACUAUUUUUCCCAUUUUCAUUUUCAGGUAAUGGGGGUCAAACAGGGGCUUAAUAAAAAGAUUUUGUUAAAUCGUGUUUGACGAAAAUUGCAAGUCGUGUUGGUAAGGUUUAAGGCUUUUUUGCUGUCGUGGGAGCUGAUUUGGUGAAAGAGUUAUUAUUUGUAGUGAUUUAACUGGCCAACUCAUUUUGCCGUCUUCCACAUAGGCACGUCUAUUAACGGUUUUCAUCGGGUGAGUGAUGAAGUUGGAUGGAUCAAAGUUCAGUGAUCAAUGGGACAAUUAAUAAAGUUCGGUGACCAACGAAACAUUUAACUCAAAAAGAUGUUACAGAUUUAAAAACUACGAUAACGAGUAAAGAGUCUAUAAACCAGAGUAAAACACUUUGAUCUAUCAAAUAUCCAAUUGGAUGAACAGUGAAAACUGGAACCGAGAAAAAGAUAGUAAAGCUUUAUAAUUUGAAUAAUGGAGCCGAUAAAUGGGAAGUUGCAGACUCACUUCAUUCAGUGGUUGUCCAGAACUGCAUUGAGAAGUAUACUCUUAAUUCAGUUGGUGUACCACGUUUUCUUCCGAAAUUUUCAAGAUUUUAUACUUUCUUAUUUUGUAGGUUUUUAGUUAAUUUCCUUAUUUCAAAAUCAUACUUUUAAUUAUCUGUGUUUAUUUUUAUUGUUAAAAUUAAAUUAAUUAAGGUUGUGUAAUCUAAAGAAUACAUUCCUCGAGGGAUCGACAGCUUGGACUCAAAAGAUCCACUUUAUUACUUGAACGCGAUCCGUGUACUUGCAGUGUACAAUUUUAGGGAAACAGUAACAAGUAAUCAAAAUUACAGGGAUGUUACAAGUAAAACUUGACAAUAAUACCGUAAUCAAGGAAUAGAAAGUCUUUCAAGCUAACGUUCAAGCUGAGCCACCAUAGCUUGGCAAUCCUAAAACAGACAUAAAUUUAGAUAAGAGUAGUUCUUAUUAUAUAAUUCAUCAGCAGCAAUCUUAAAACGGACAUAAAUUUAGUUAAUAGUAGGUCUUAUUAUAUUAAUUCUUCAGCUAAUAUAUAAUCAGUCCUUCCUAUAGCUUACUAGUUGAGUGUGAAAGGGGAUAGCAAAACAAAAAUAAAUUACUUUACAUUAUUAUUAUACAAAAUGGCUACAUUUUUGGCAGAAGGGAGAAAAAUACUAGGCAACCCUUUCAUUUCUGAUUAAACAGAUAUACCAUAAAAGAAUAAUUGACAUUCCUUCCCCUUUCAUCAUCCAACUGAACUUUCUUUAAGAAAAAAAAUAUCUUAAGUUAAAAAUCCAUGAGUAACAAAGAAUUUUUUCUGUUGUUUUUUCUCCUCUUUGCCCACUGUUUUUCCCGUCUUGGAUUUUCAAGUAAAUUUUGUGCUCUUGUUAUCAUUUUAUAUUGUCAAUUCUUGCUUUUUCGUAAUAUGUAAUUUGGAAAAAAAAAAUAGCCUUGUAAAAUAGGUAGUCCUGGUAAAGUUAGCAGUGAACAAAUAUAAUAUGAAUGUGAAAAACCAAGUGACAUCAAGCCAAAAAGCAGCUCGAUGAACUAUGUAAAUUUAUUAUUAUUAUGAUUAUGGUUAGUAGAUCUGUAGUAUGCUACAAAUACCUAGAUAUAUAAUUACUAAAGUCCAAGGUAAACCCAAUUUAUUUUCACUUGCAAUUCAACUUACAUAGUGAAUAAUUAUUCAUUAUCAACAACUUCUACAUCAUUAUAGAAAAAAUGAGAUAUCUAGGAACUAGGUAUUUGAUCAAUAAAAAUAGGGAACAUGGCUCAAGGGACUAACAAAAUUAUUAAUAAGAUGAGGCAAAUUAAAGAAACAAACAAAUGUAGGAAGUUGAAAUCUACUUAAGAAACAAAAUGUACUUCCCUAUCUGUCGGAAGGGACAAUAUGACAGAUACCAAAACAAGGCAAUAGCUUAAGAGAUUCAAAGAUUACAUAAUUAUAAGCCAGAAAAAAAAAAUAUUGAUGAUUUAUUGGAGUUGAUAAUGGGGGUUGACUAACAAACCUUAUGUAGAAACUAUACCAUUCGCAGUCAAACCAUGAUCCCUGAAUUUGAAACGGGCAUAUAACGAUUUGCAAAAGAGAUAAUGGUGUUGGAUUCCCAGUGGAUAAUGCACAAGUAGAAUCUGAUUCCCUGCGCACCGGGAUUGAACAUAGCUGCUUUAAAUGUCCCAUUACGAGAGAACAAAAACUCCCAGAAGCAUCUACAGAUUUGAAAUUUGAAGGAGUCAAAUUAGGGUAUGCGAAUUCUUUAAUGGAAAUACCAUAUGCGAGAACCAAUAAUAAGGCUAAAACACACAGAUCUAACCCCGAUUUUGCCCUAGUCGGCAUGGGCAACUAGCUGUGACGAUUGACAUUGCAGAUUUGACGGCGAGAGUAGAGGAAGAAGAGAUAUUACCUUUGUCUUAAGAGAUUAAGGCUUCCACUACCCCUUUCCUCUUGUUUUCAAAUUUCUACUUUUGAUUUGUACUUUUUUUUAUCUAAUUGACAAAUUAAUUAUAAGUAUGUUUAUAGAUAGCGUGUAGAAUAAUUUAAUUUAUAAUUUGUAAUUAGUUAAAAUUUGUAUGUUUUAUUCGAAAGAAUCAUUCUAUUAACUUUUAGGGUCAGUUUGAUUGUAAAGAUGAAAUUUGGAUAGAAAGAAAAUGAAUUUCAAGAAAUUGAAUUGUCUAGAAAUUAUUUUACUNNNNNNNNNNNNNNNNNNNNNNNNNNNNNNNNNNNNNNNNNNNNNNNNNNNNNNNNNNNNNNNNNNNNNNNNNNNNNNNNNNNNNNNNNNNNNNNNNNNNNNNNNNNNNNNNNNNNNNNNNNNNNNNNNNNNNNNNNNNNNNNNNNNNNNNNNNNNNNNNNNNNNNNNNNNNNNNNNNNNNNNNNNNNNNNNNNNNNNNNNNNNNNNNNNNNNNNNNNNNNNNNNNNNNNNNNNNNNNNNNNNNNNNNNNNNNNNNNNNNNNNNNNNNNNNNNNNNNNNNNNNNNNNNNNNNNNNNNNNNNNNNNNNNNNNNNNNNNNNNNNNNNNNNNNNNNNNNNNNNNNNNNNNNNNNNNNNNNNNNNNNNNNNNNNNNNNNNNNNNNNNNNNNNNNNNNNNNNNNNNNNNNNNNNNNNNNNNNNNNNNNNAAAAAAAAAACCAAGCAAAUGAAUUACAUGGAAAAUAUUUGCUAUCAAACAAAAGGUGGAAAAUAGACAAAAUUUUCCAUUUUCUAGGGAAAAGAUGCCCAAUCAAACAGGGCCUUAAUAUAUUUUUCCGACAGAAAUUGUGUAGUUUUAGGUCGAAAAAUUUUAAUAUAGUUUUAGUAUAUUAUUUUCAUAUUACCAAUAGAAUUUUAUCAUUAAAAUUUCUUAAUUUAGUUUUUAGGAUUUUGGUUUUUUUGUAUAUUAAAAAUUAAAAAUAAUCUUUAAUUAAUAGGUAGGAUUGAUUGAAAUUAAACGUAUACUGAAUUUUUAUUUUUAUUUUUGUUCUUUUUUUACAACAAGCAAUAAAUAUAGCAAAUCCUUGUUGCAAAACACACUUUCUCGCAACAUUUAAUAAUUGUUGCAAAAUGUUAUAUAGUAUGAAUUUUAACAAUAUGUACUGAGCAUUGCUAUAGAACAAAAUUUUUACAGUUCAAUAAACAUUGCAAAAAAAAAAAACGAAGAAUUAAAACUUUUGCAACAUUCAAAGAACAUUACAAAAAGCUAUAUAUCAAGAGUUUCAAAAACGUUUAUUGAACGUUGCUAUAGAACUUUAUUUUUACAACAUGCAUUAAACAUUGUGAAAAAUAAAACUUCUUACAACAUUCAAGAAACGUUGAAAAUGGUAAUAUUGACAACAUGCAAUUAAAAAAAAAAUAUUGCCAAUGCUUAAUUAAAUUAAUCAAUGGCAACAUUUUUCACUUUUUAAAAUGUUGCAAUAAACCCAUUUAGCAACAUACAAUUCACGAAUGUUGCCUUUCGAGUAUUGCAAAAGGCUAUUUUAAUUGUAGUGAAAAUUCUUGAUAUGUAUAUAAAAAUUCAUAUGUCAUUAAAUUAAUUUCGGUAUAUGUGAUAAAUGAUCAUGCUUAAAAAAAUUAUUACCUUCACUAAACUUUGAAAAAUUGAACUUUCGGACUGAUAACGUAUUAUGAAAAGAGAUAGAAAGAGCAGGGAGAAUAAAAGUCAAUAGACUUGUAUGUAUUAUAAUAAGAACUAGAGUCAUGUAUUCAUAAAGAAGGAUUAUGGAUACAAUGAUAAUAAUUUCUAGAUUUACAGGGGUACAAUUGUCAUUCACAAAUAAAACUUACUAUUUACAACAAAAUGGUCUUUUUUUAUUUUUAUUUUUCUUCAAUUUGCUCCUAAAAAGGUUUUUAUUGAUAGCAACAAGGUAAGUCGGACGUUCUCUUUUUUGAAUUUUAAGAGGCGCGUAGGACAUUUUGAUCUUCAUUUUUCGUCCCAUUUAUUUAUGUAUUUACUUAUUUAUAUAUUAUUAUGUGUUUGAAUUUAAAUUUUAUUCAAAAAAAAAUUUAAAAAAAAUAUUAUGAAUCAUGGAUGGGUUUGUGAUAGCGAUCAUGUUUCCUAACCAAAUGCCUAAUAAGGAUUAUAGAAUUCCCGACCUUCAAUCCACGUGGUGCGUUUCGUCCCACAUUGUCCUACCUUGAAUAGUAAACGAGGUGGGAUGCAGAACCUAUAGUCCCUAGUUUCGAAUUUUUAGUACUAGCUCUGAAUCAUUUUUUCAUUAUUAUAUUUUAUUUUAUUGUUAUGUUCUUCAUUUAAAUCAUAUUUAAAAAAAUUUAAUUAAAUAAAUAAAAUGAUGGAUGAUGGUUUUUUAUGUCUCAACCUACCCUACAUUCUAAAAAAUUGGAACGAAACAAGAAAGAUAUGAUGGCUACUAUCCAUUGUCAUCCUUAAUUUCAAAUUUUUGUUGGGUGAAGUAACUUGUGGCCAGAGGCGGUCUUGAGGGCGCGCGAGUUGAGUGACCGCACAGAGCCUCAAAUUUGUAGGGGCAUCAAAAAAAAUUUUGUUAUAAUUGUAUAUUUAUUUAUAAUUAAAUAUUUAAAAUAUAAAAUUUUUAUUAUUAUGCAAAAGAUAUUAAAAUUAAGAAUAAUGUGACUAACUAGUUAUAAUUUCCUUAAAUAUAAUAUUCUUAAAUAGUGUUUCUACCUUAAAUAAUGUGAGAGAAAAGAAAAAAGUCAAAAAGAGAUUAGGCCGACUAGAGAACUGAGAGAAGAGAGAAAAAUUGAGCAAUUGCCUUUUCCAAUUGUUUUUUAAAGAGAAGAAUUAAAGAAAACAACCAUCUUUUCCAAUUGCCUCAAAGAUAAUUGAGGCAGAGAAGAUAGAAACCAACCGUUUUUUUUUUUUUUUUUUUUAAAAAAUUUGAGAAGAAAAAACACCGUUUUUUUUUUUUUUUUUUUGAAGAAAUCAUCUUUUUUUCCAAUUAUCUUUAAUCUGGCUCCAAAAAAUUCUCUCUUUUCUUUAAGCAACGACUAACGAUUCAUAUUUUUCACUGAACUCUCACUAAAAAUUUGAAUUACAUGAUAUCUUUUCUUUAUUAUCUUUUCAUCAAUCUUAUUCUAUGAUUUCACUGAUUUGAAUUCUUUUUGCAAGAACUUGUUAAAAUUUGAAUUCGCUUUGCCUGAACGUGGGGACUGAGGAUUGAGAAAGCACGACAUAAUUUUCCUCCG
This 89881-nucleotide long non-coding RNA is filed under the name Olea europaea (common olive). RNAcentral describes it as "long non-coding RNA (OEUR_LNC015040)". Lineage: Eukaryota; Viridiplantae; Streptophyta; Magnoliopsida; Lamiales; Oleaceae. The record is from RNAcentral.